UGCUUGUACCUUUAUAUUUCAUGAAUUACCAUAAGUCUUCUUCACGUUCCUAACUAGCUUCACUGUCGGGGAGGUCUCUCCACUCCAUCAAGUACUCAUUGUAAGUCGGUACGCUCCUUGUUCGGAUGACUCGAUUGGUAAGGAUGCAUUCUACAUCUUUGUCGUAUGUGGUGACAAUGGCUGUUGGGGCACAUUUAGAUUCACAUGGCUUGGGUCUCAUGCGUCUCCAUGAUACGACUUGAGUAGGCUUACAUGGAGGACUGAAUAAUUCUUUAGUCUUGGCAGAAGUAAGAGUUGAUACGAGAUGUUGCUCACAUGUCAGACAAUCAGGAAGGGCUUUUCGUAUCGCCUUACUAACCCUUGUGGACUUUUCGUAAAGUCUUGAACUCUUGGUAUAGGAGCUUGAUCAUAACUUAAUUGCUUUGCUUAUACUCGAUGUGGCAUCUCCUAGUGUCAGCCCACUUUUUCAUCUUCUGUGCUACUUUUCAAGAUAAGCUGGUAUGAUCUUUGCUUCCUCGUGACACUCGCAGGCAAGCUUAUAAGCUACAGGGGCUUUUCCUCCAUAUGUCGAGGCUAUGGCGUUGAGGUCAUGGGCUGAAAUCCCAUGAUAAUAUAGAAUGAACUCUUGCCCAUAUUCUUACUUUGUUGAAAAUUGUAUGAGAAUUCGACAACAACCAACAAUUUUGCCAAUCUUGUUAAUGAGCGCUCACAUAGUACCUUAGAUAUAUCUCGAAAAGGUUGUUGAUGCGCUCAGUUUGCCCAUCAAUUUGCAGGUGAAAGUCGUUGAUGUAAUUGCGGAUGUAGGCGCGCUCUCGCUUUUUUCUCCGCAUUACUCAAGGACAAGUGCUUUGGAUGUUCAUUUUGGAAAUAUGCCCAUGUGUUAAUGGCACAAAUGCCUUUGCCCAUCUCACUAUACUUUCACUACCACCAUAGUUAUACGGUGCCUUAGAGAAAUGUAGGCGUUGUGCCUACCUUUGUGCCUCAUCUCGCACACUAACAACAUUGAAGUAUUGUUCUAGCCAAAAGAGAAAGUUAUCCACAAUAGUGGCGUUGCGUGAACUGUAAUUGAUGUUCGGUUUCAGCACAUCAAUGCGAUGCACAUGACUCGAGCUUGUGGAAUUUGGGCUAGAUGUGAGUGUGUGCUUUUGCUCAACCCAAUCCGAGUAGACUUCCUCCACUUCCGCAUGGAUCGCUUAUAGCUUUUCUUGCACAAAGCCACAGAGUUUAAGCAACUCAUCAUGGAAUGCUUGAUGAGGGCUUUGUUGGCUAUCGUAAGUUAGCAUACUCGCCCUUGAGACCUUAGACCCUUUCCUCUAAGCUUUCGAGGGUAUCCUGAUUAAUGGACAUAGAAGUUUCAAGCGUGGCGAUGCAAGGCUCCAAGGUAUUGAGUUCAAGCAAUAGAGGCGGCCUUGGAAUUUCUGCGGGUCUUUGCUUACAAGUGACCCUCCUCAUGGCCAUGAGUUGGUUCUGGGGUGGGCAAAAAAGCCCGGGCCAGCCCAGACCAGACCCGCAGGCUUCGGCCCGGGUCUCCUACAUGUGGGCGUGGACACAGGCUACAAAAAAGCCCUGGGAAGUUGAGGCCCACUUUUUUUAAAAAUAAAUUUAUCAAUUAGAAUAAUAAAUAAAAAAAUAGAAAAAGAAAAAGAAAAAUUAACUUCUUAAUUCAUAUAUAAAUGAUGAUUAAAAAAAGUUAAAAUUAUAAUACUAAACUCUCUCUUAUGCGUUAAUUAAUUAAGAGAGUACUUAAAUUAAAGAAUCCAAUAUUAUAAAGUUAAAUCUCUAAACUUUUAUUUGCUUUAUUUUUCUUUAUUUAUUAUUUUCUUUUAAAAUAUUCAUUUUAUUUAUUUAUUAUUAAUUAUAAAAAAAUGUUGAUUAUUAACUCAUUUCAAAUUUACAACAAUUUAAAAAAAAAACUUAAAAAAUAGAUGAAACCCUAGCCUGAGCCUCCUUAUGUUUAUCCUGCAGUGGGUUUGGACCUGGACUUGGCAAAUAAUUUCUUUACACCUCUAUGUUUAUCAUGAGCACUCUUCCUAUCCAUCUGAGGUAACCACACUUAUUUUCUAAGCUCCCUCUUUCCCUCAGGUCUAAAACACUCUUCCUCUCCGUCUGAUGGUGAUCAUGCCGUUUUAGUCUGGAUUGAGUCCUUGAUUUUGAUUUGCGAACAAUGAGUACAUAUCUAACCUUCUAAUGUUGCAUCUUCUUUUUCUUGUAGAGACACCUUAAUUGGAAGUUUACUCAAUGAAGUUAGAACCUUUAGCCAUGAAUCCGAUAUCGCAAAUGGGAAAAGUUUAAAUAUCAAAGAUCAAGAAAUGACAGAUUUCUCUGAAAAUGCAAUGCAAACAGUGAGAAUGAACUAUUACCCUCAGUGUCCAUAGCCAGAGAAGGUUAUACGCCUCACACCUCAUUCUGAUGGCUCUACUCUUACAAUUCUACUACAAGUUUGUGAAGUAGAAGGUCUGCAGAUAAAGAAGGAUGGAAAGUGGACUUCCGUUAGCCCACUUCGUAAUGCUUUCAUUGUCAAUAUCGGAGACAUGUUUGAGGUAUUAACUAUAGUAUAUUACCUUAACUUAGGCAUUUACAUUUAUGACUUAUCAUGCAUCACAAUAUCAGAAUACAGUUUUUAGGUGAUUCGUAAUAGGAGAAGCAGUAUAACUAAAUUACCCUUCAAAGGCUUGUUUUGACUGUUCGUUUUUCAAACUCCCUGAACUGUUGGCAAGAACGGUGCAAUUUGAGCCUCAAGUUAAAGAAUACUAAUUUAGUAAUUAACAAUUGAAGAACGGAUAUGUGAUAACUCAUAUGCUUUUAGAAUUUUUACAUUGCAGAGUAUAAACCAAUGGGAACUACCGUCGGCAUCACAAGAAAGAAUUUCCAUCAGCACAUUUUACAAAGCGAGAUAUGAAGAGCACCCAGCAUCCAGUUUGAUCUCUGAAGAAACACCCGCGUUGUUUAGAAGAGUGACAGUUGAAGAAUAUCUCAGGGGCCGAUUUGCUCGUGUGCUUAGGGAAAAGUCUUGCCUGGAUGUCCUGAGAAUUCAACAUGGUCAAGGCUAGUACAAGUUUAUCUGGACAGUGGCUAAUAAAAGCGUGAGCAACUGGAAAGAAGAAAUAAGUUCUAUUAUUGUAACCUGCUGCUUAGGUCAUCGUGUUUGUGACACAUUAAUGUGAAUUAUAUUAUGUGAAAUAAUGAACAGACAAUGUAUAGAACAGGAUGAUCUGGAGUCAAAAGGCAAACCAGGUGAUUGGAAUAAUUAUUGAGAUAAAAUAUUAAUACCAUGUUUGGCAUGCUCACUUGGAUUGAACUAAUGGAAUAAAUUCAAAAUUUAAUCCUAAAUUUAUGGGAUUGCUAAUCCUAAUUUUCAUGUGGGUUUAGUUGGGACUAGAUAAUAUCAAGAAAAAUAUUUGUCCAUUUAUAAUGUCUUCCAUAAUUUAUUACACCAUUUUAUUUAUAACUUAAAAAUUAUUUAUUAAUUAUUUUUAAUUAAGUAAUUUAUUUUUAUUUAUGAUUUACUUAAAAGUUAUUAAUUACUUUAUUAUUUGAAUAACUUUAUUUAUUUUAUUUAAUGAAAUGAUAUAUCUCAUUUGAAAUGACCUAUAAUUUAAAUAAUUUAUACUUCUUUAUUUGUGUGUGUAUAUAUUUCUUAUUAGUUUUAUUUUUAAUUAAUUAUAUUAUUUCUUGUUAAGUAUCUAUAAAUAGUUGAUAUUUAAAUUCAAAUAUUAAUGUAAAUACUAUUUAAUUUCAUGUAAAUUUAAUUUAGCAUAAUCCAAUCCAAUACCAUACCAAACAUAAGUCAACACUAUAUAUAAUUCAAUAUAAUUUAAUCUAUUUUAAUUUAGUUCAAUUUUAAUAAUUAAUUCAAUUUAAUCCUGCCUGCCAAACAUGACCUUGAGGUGUAAGGUAACAUGGGAAUUACAAAUAAUUAAUUGACUAGCUAAUUUGUUGCUUCUGAUUAUCAAUAAUUGUUUUUCUUUCUCGUGCCCAUAUUUUACUAUCAUUUUGAAUGGUCCCCUUGAAGUAAUCCAGAUCAGCCAUUUGCAUAAAAAUAUAUGAUGAAUGGUUAGGCGGAGGGUGCUGAUUUGUUAGAAAAUAAUUCUUUUUAACUCUUGCGAUUGUCUGCAGUCUGCACCCUGCACUCUUCUCCUAAAACCAAUACAAAAGCUGUAGCAAUCUUGAGAGGAUUUUUGGAACAAAAGAUGGCCAAGAUUGGAGGUUCUCUGCUUGUUCCUUGUGUUCAAGAGUUGGUCAAGAAUCCUAUGUUAGUUGUCCCACCCAGAUACAUACGUCCGGAUCAAGAUUCACCACUCAAUUCUGAUGAUACUUUGAUUUCACAAAUACCAGUUAUUGACAUGCAGAGCUUGCUUUCUGAAGAAUCAAUGGAUUCUGAGUUAGCCAAGCUCGACUUCGCUUGCAAAGAUUGGGGUUUUUUCCAGGUAAAAUGAUUUAGCAAAGUUACAAUUUUUUUUUAACUAGAACAUGCUUGUCUGUGAUUAAGAAUAAAAAAAAAUCGCAAAACUCUCAAUCACAAUAUUUAUUUUAGAAAUCCAGUCUCCAUUGAUGUUAGCAUAUCAUGAGUUUUCAGUUUUUCCCAUCUUGUUCUUUCGCUGUUUUCAGUACUUUUAGGACUGCAGCAGCUUGUGAGAUGUGAAGGAAGUUGUCUCUGUGUUUAUUUGUACAAAUUAUGAGGAGAUAUGAGAAGAAAACACCCAUCAUUUAUUUUUGAAACCCAGAUUCCAUUGAUUUAUUUGUUUUUGACUUUCUUUAUUGCUUUACCUUUCCACCAGAGAUGGAUUGGGUUAGGAUUAAUUUGUUAUUUUCUCAUUCCUAAAAGUAACUAGGCAGUAAGUAUGAAAAUAUUCUCUUGACAAAUUUCACCUACUCUGUCUCAAUAGCUUUUGGUAGCUAAUGAGAAAUAUGCUUCUGUCAAAAUGUGAUAAAAGAUAUACUAAUUUUAUAAGAUUCCUGGAGAUUAUUUGCUGUUACAUGGUUUUGCAAAUUCAAUUUGUGAACCAAACUAGAAGAACUUCAUGCUUAUUAUUGUUAUUCUAGAAUAUUGAACUUUCUGCAAAACAAUGAGUGAAAAACACUUUUAGAAACUAAUCGUUGGGAAGAUAUAUAAGCAAAUUAAGAUUGGUGUUUCAUGCAACAGCAAUGUUCUAGGUUGAAAUGCAAAAAAUGCUUUCAGCCAUCUUUGACGGUAAAUCUUCUCUAAAUCAGUCAAAUAAGUUGCAAUCUGUCUCAGUAAAACACCUGGACCACUGUGAACUUAGUGGCAUGAGUAUUAAAUCUUAGAUGCUGUUCAUUCCUGCAUCAUUUCAGCUGGUAAACCAUGGAGUGAGCUCGGCAUUUCUAGAGAAAUUGAAGAAAGAGGUUCAGGGAUUCUUCAAUCUCAGCAUGGAAGAAAAGAAAAAAUAUUGGCAGCAUCCAGGAGAUGUAGAAGGAUUUGGACAAGCCUUUGUUGUAUCUGAGGAACAAAAGCUUGAUUGGGCUGACAUUUUCUCCGUGAUCACUCUUCCAGUUCAUCUGAGGAAGCCACACUUAUUUCCUAAGCUUCCUCCUUUGCUCAGGUUCUCUCUGUUUGUGCUUGAUAUGGAUUUGCAAACAAAAAGAGCAAAUUAAACCUUCUAUGAUUCUAUCUAAUGCUUUAUCUUCUUUUUUCUUGUAGAGACACCUUGGAAGUUUACUCGAUGGAGUUAAAAUCUCUGGCCAUGAACCUGAUAUCGAAAAUGGGAAAAGUUUUGAAUAUCAAAGAUGAAGAAUUGAGAGAAUUCUUUGAAAAUGGUUUCCAAUCAAUGAGGAUGAACUAUUACCCUCCAUGUCCUCAGCCGGAGAAGGUUAUGGGCCUCACCCCUCAUUCUGAUGGCUCUGCUCUUACCAUUCUGCUACAAAUCAAUGAAGUAGAAGGUCUCCAGAUCAAGAACGAUGGAAAAUGGAUUCCUAUCACACCGCUGCCAAAUGCUUUCAUUGUCAACAUCGGAGACACAUUGGAGGUAAUAAUUAUGAUUACUUUCCUUGGCAUUUUUAUGUCCCUUCUCAUGUGCUUUAAUAUUUUUAACAUUGCAGAUUAUAACCAAUGGGACAUACCGUAGCAUUGAGCAUCGUGCAAUUGUAAACUCUUUACAAGAAAGACUUUCCAUUGCCACAUUUUACACAAAGAGAUUAGAUGGUGAAAUAUAUCCAGCAUCCAGUUUGAUCUCUGAAAAAACUCCUGCAUUGUUUCGAAGAGUGACAGUUGAAGAAUACUUUAGGAACCGGUAUGCUCGUGAGCUUAGGGGAAAAUCUCAACUGGAUGACCUGAGAAUUCAAAAUGGUCAAGGCUAGUAAGAUUAUUUUGGAUAAUUGCAGAUUUGUGCCUUAAUUGUGCUUAUUUUGGAUCAGUAUCUUUCAUUUUUGAAAUAGAAUUUUUGCAGGCUAGUCAUGUUUUUAUGAUAUUUCAAGAACUAUUUCACUUGCUUUUGGAGUUAAAGAUGAUUCAAAUAUGAUAUGAAAUACUUAAGCAUGCCAUUCUAACGCUUGCAUGUCCAAUUACAUCCUUAUCAACAAUAUACUUUGUUACAAUGUCACUGAAGUUGAAUAUAUAACAACAUGCUUGGGUUAUAUGUUGUCAUUUGGCUUAACCAUCCGUCACAUUAAGCAGAUUGUUGUGAUAAUGUGUUUUACAACCUUCCCCAGUAGCAUGCAUGUUGUUAAAAUAAGUAAUUUUUUACCGAAAAUAUUCAGGGCAAUAAAUUGUAAAAAAUUUUGUAUUACUUGUAGCAACAUUGUUCGAACAUAUCUUAAAUGUUCCAUAGCACACAUUGCAUGAGUACAUAAGUUGUAACUUGUUACCAAUAAUUAAAAAAAAAAAAUAGUGAUAAUAAUUAUCAAUAACUAAAAACGAGACAGAUGUUACUUACAUAAGUGGAACCUCGAUUCACAAGCAAAAUAUGGGUUUUAAUUGGUUGUUAUCAGAGAAAAAUAUAAAGAUAAUUAAUGCCUAAACAUAAACAGCUAUGAAUGUAUAAAUGACUAAUUGGCUACAAUUUAAAUCCUCUAUUUUCUUAAUAGUGCACAGUCAAUUACAACACAACACCAGAUUGCAGCGUGUUAGAAAAAGUUUUAGGUAAUCAUAGAAUACUGUUAUUUGUUCAUUCAUUUCUUAUGACAUAUAUGUUUUAAUCAAUUAUGAUAAUUACCCUUGUAACAAGAUUUGCAUAGAUAAAAAGUAAUACUCAAGAACCACCAAAAUCCUUUUAACUGCAGACCCGCAAUGGUGGAUUACUCUCACAAGUCGUGCAAAUGCUGACUAGCUCAAAAUAAUACAUUUUAAACGGUUGCAAUGCUCCAAGACCAAUACCAAUACCAAUACCAAGUUGUGAAAGAAAAAUAAAAAGGGAAAAAGAAAACAAAACGCAGUAUUGAAAAUACCUUUACCUUUUGGGUUGUGACACAAGGUGGGAACCUAAAAUAAUUAAGCUGAUGGUUUGUUAUCGUUAUCUAUAGAGGAUAGUUUUGACCUGCGAAUAUUUUAUUAUGCAUUCGAAACAUGUGCAAAAAAUUAAAAAUACUUCAUGAAUGGUUAGGUGGAGGAUGCUGAUUAAUUUGUUGGAAAAAGAUUCCUUGUUACUUUUGUGAUUGUCAGCACUCAGUCUUGUUCCAAAACCAAUACAAAGCUGCAGCAAUCUUGAAAGGAUUUGAGGAACAAAAGAUGGCCCAGAUUGCAAGAUCUCUCCUUGUGCCUUGUGUUCAAGAGUUGGUCAAGAAUCCUGCGUUAGUUGUCCCCGACAGAUACAUACGUCCAGAUCAAGAUUCACCCCUCAUUUCUGAUGAUACUUUGAUUUCACAGAUACCAGUUAUUGACAUGCAAAGCUUACUUUCUAAAGAAUCAAUGGAUUCUGAGCUAGCCAAGCUCGACUUCGCAUGCAAAGAAUGGGGUUUUUUCCAGGUAUAAUGCUUUAGCAAAAUUAGAAAAUUGUUUCGCCAGAACAUGCUUGUUUGUGAUCAAGAAUCGAGAACUAUGCAAAUUCUCAAUCAAAUAGGCAAAAUUAAAAUUCAUAUUUAUUUCUUAAACCCACGUAUCAUUGAUGUUAGCAGAUCAUGGUUUUACUUUUCGGUGUUGUCAGUGGCUUAGGACUGCAGCUUGUGAAAAGAAGAACUUGUCUCUGGUUUAUUUAUUAUUGAUUUUCUAUACUGCUUUACCUUUCCCCCUCCAGACAUGGGUUAAUUAGCUAUUUCAUUCCUAAAUGUCAAACACGCAAUAUGUAUUAAAAAGACGGUCUUGAGAAAUUUCACCUCCUCUGCCUCAAUAGCUUUUGGUACCUUAUGAGAAAUAUGCUUCUGUCAAAAUUUUAAAAGAUAUACUAUAGUAAAUUGUGGAAGACCCCUUAGAAAAUGUAUCAUUUCUGUAUUCAAUGUUGCAAAUUUACUCUAAUUUAAAGAUAAUUUGAAGUAACAUUGAGAUUAUUUGCUGCUGUAUGAUUUUUCAAAUUCUAGGUGUGAACAAACCACAAGAACUUCAUGCUCAUUAUAGUUAUUCUAGAAUAACCGAAAUUUCUCUGAUAGAAUGAGUAAAAACACCUGUGGAAACUAAUUGUUGAGAAGAUUUAAAUGUAACAAAUGCUUUUAGCCAUCUUUGAUGGUAAAUCUUAUCUCUAAAUCAGUCAGAUAAGUUGCAAUCUGUCUUAAUAAAACACCUGGACUAUUGUGAGCUAAGUGGCACGAUUAUUAAAUCUUUGCUGCAUUUCGUUCCUGUAUUUCUUCCAGCUGGUAAAUCAUGGAAUGAGCACAGCAUUUCUAGAGAAAUUAAAGAAAGAGGUUGAGGGAUUCUUCAAUCUCAGCAUGGAAGAAAAGAAAAAAUAUUGGCAGCAUCCAGGAGAUAUAGAAGGAUUUGGACAAGCCUUUGUUGUAUCCGAGGAACAAAAGCUUGAUUGGGCUGACCUUUUCAACAUGAUGACUCUUCCAGUUCAUCUGAGGAAGCCACACUUAUUUCCUGAGCUCCCUUCUUCCCUCAGGUUCUCUCUCUCUCUCUCUCUCUGUUUCUACGUCAAUGUCAUUUGGAUUUGCAAACAAAUAAUGGAUAGUGCAUCUUCUUUUCCUGUAGAGAGACCUUGGAAGUUUACUCAAUGGAAUUAAAAACCCUUUCCGAGAACCUAAUAUCGAAAAUGGGAGAAGUGUUAAAUAUCAAAGAUGAAGAAAUGAGAGAAUUCUUUGAAAAUGGAGUGCAAGCAAUGAGGAUGAAUUAUUACCCUCCAUGUCCUCAGCCCGAGAAGGUUAUGGGCCUGUCGCCUCAUUCUGAUGCAGCUGCACUUGCCAUUCUGCGACAACUUAAUGAAGUGGAGGGUCUCCAGAUAAAGAAGGAUGGAAAGUGGAUUCCUGUUACCCCACUCCCGGAUGCUUUCAUUGUCAACAUUGGAGACACAUUGGAGGCAAUAAUUAUAAUAAAUUACCUUAACCUGGCAUUUUUAUGCGCUUGCUUAUGUGCUUUAAUAAUUUUUGCAUGGCAGAUUAUAACCAAUGGGACAUACCCUAGCAUUGAGCAUCGUGCAGUUGUAAACUCUGUACAGGAAAGACUUUCCGUUGCCACAGCUUACUCACUGAGAUAUGAUGGUGAAGUGUAUCCUGCCCCCAGUUUGAUCUCUGAAAAAACUCCUCCUUUGUUUAGAAGAGUGAGAAUUGAAGAAUACUUUAGGAGCCGGUAUGCUCGUGAGCUUAGGGGAAAAUCUCAGCUGGAUUCCCUGAGAAUUCAACAUAGUCAAGGCUAGUAUAAGUUUAAUUCGGAUAACUAAAGAGUUUGGUACAAAAACUCUGAAGCAGCUCGCUAUUAAGAUUGUGCGUGGAACUGAAAAUAAGAAAUAAGUUCUAUGAAUACUGUGGAAUAACCUGCUAUGCUAGGGUCGAUCUGUUUCUAAUAGCUCUAUCAUUUGAUAUACUGAAAAGACCAUGUAAUAAUCUUAAGAAUUGCAGACUUAUGCCUGGAAUCUUCCGAUGAUAUAUAGGGGUGCUUAUAUCAGAUCAGUAUCUUUCUUUCUUGAAGUAGAAUUUUUGCAUACCUGACUUGUUUUUAAUGAGAUUUCAAGGACUAUAUGACUUGGUUUCCAAAUUUUUAUGAUACAUACAGAUAAUAUUACCACAGAACCAGUGUAGUUUCUGUAUGAGCCGUUAUAGAUUUCAGUUAAUAGUAACAAGUUUUUGAUUAUUAACAACAAUGUUGUCCUUCCACGUCUUAAAUAUUCCAUUCCAUAACACACAUUGUGACGAAUACAUAACUUGUUACCACUAACGAAAAUUUUUGCCAUCAAUAGCUGAAAAUAGCUGUUAGUUACACAAGCUGCAAAGCUAUAACUUUGGAUUUCAUAUUCAGAUUCUCUCUCAAAGUUGAACUUGGAACUACGGUUGAUGAUCUGCUAUUAUGCUGAGAAAACUACAAGAUUUUGAUUGGUUGUCAUCAGACAAUGUAAAAGAAAUUAGCAUGGUAUCCAAAUUCUUAAGAGUUUGAGAAGACAAUGCACUAUCUUUUUUAUAAUUCGCAGCAGACAGCAAUACAACAGCAGACUGCAACUGUCAUAUUCACAAAAUAUCUAUGGGCCAACCCUAGACCCGCAAUGGUGGAUUAGUCUCGCACAAGGCCACAGCAAAUAAUGACUUGUUGAAAAUAAUACAUUUUCAACAUUUGCUUUGUCAAUAAAACUCUGGAGCAUUAUUGUUGAGAGAAUUUGUGGAACAAAAAGAAGGCCAAGUUCGGAGGUUCUCUGCCUGUGCCUUGUGUUCAAGAGUUGGCCAAUAAUUCUAUGUUAGCUAUCCCUCCCAGAUACAUACGACCAGGCCAAGAUUUAACCACAAUUUCUGAUAAUAAUUUGGAUUCACGGCUAUUGCAGAGCUUGUUUUCUGAAGAGUCAACGGAUUCUGAGUUGUCCAGGCUCCACUUCGCUUGCAAAGAAUGGGCUUCUUUCCAGGUAAACUCCUUUGCCAAGUUAUUAUUAUUUUGCUUUUAAAGGAUUUGCUUGGGAUGAGACCUCAUCUACUAAAUACCACCCUUUGUCCCAUAUUGUUACUCGAGAGCAGAUAUCUGCAAAUUGCGAAUUACAUUCACAACCAGCUAAGCUACACCUGCCGUGAGGCACCCAAGUUUGUAUUUUUUUCCUUUGGACAUGCUUGGUUUAUUAAUAGUAGUCUGGCGUCAAGAAUUAAGAAAUCUGUAUACUCUCAAUCAAAGAGCACAGUCGAUCAAAUUCAGAUUAGAUUGUGUUUCAUUCUUAUAGGUCAAGUAGGCCACAAAUUUGGCCUACUCUGUAUCAAUGCUUUCUUACUCUGUAAGUUAGCAAUAAGAAAGCUCUAACAAAAUUUGAGUCUAGAUAGUCUUAACCAAGCCGGUUUAAGCACCCUUUUUUUUUAAAAAAAAAAAAAUUGUGGGAUGUAACUGACCUUGUCCGAUUAUGGACCACCUAACUUGCUUUCUUGUAUAGCUGAGAAGACAAACCUGCAUUCUUGAAAAUUAAAUUGUCUUUAAUAUCUUUCGGAUGUCUAGGCUUACGGUAGCUUGCGAAGAACUAUAAGCAAAUUUAUGAUGUAGUAUAAUGCAAAUGCGAUUCUAUUAGUUUAUUGAAAUCUAACAAAUAUGGAAGGAUUUGGACAAGCAUUUGUUAUAUCCGAGGAACAAAAGGUUGAUUGGAUUGACAUUUUCUUCAUGACAACUCUUCCAAUUCAUCUGAGGAAACCCCACUUGUUUCCUAAGCUCCCUCUUUACCCCUUAGAUUUCUCUCUCUCUCGUCAGUUAUUUGAUGGUUGCAAAUGUAUUAGGUUCAGAGAAAGAUCCCAAGUCAGUUAUAUUUAGUAAAAUUUGACAAUCAAACAUGAUUUUGAAAGAAUACUGUUAAAUAAUAACUUACUUAACAAUCCACCACAAUCAUAUACUAAACCUUCUAAUUGCGUCUUCUUUUUUCUUAUAGGAAAUCUUGGAAUUUAUUCAGCGGAGUUAAAAAUCUCUGGCCAUGAACGUGGUAUCGAAAAUGGGAAAAGUUCUAAAUAUCAAAGAUGAAGAAUUGAGAGAAUACUUUGAAAAUGGUUUCCAAUCAAUGGGGAUGAACUAUUACCCUCCAUGUCCUCAGCCGGAGAAGGUUGUGGGCCUCACAACUAAUUCUGAUGACUCUGUUCUUACCAUGCUGCUGGAAAUCAAUGAAGUAGAAGGUCUCCAGAUCAAGAAGGAUGGAAAGUGGAUUCCUGUUACACCUGUCCCAAAUGCUUUCGUUGUCAACAUUGGAGUCGUGUUGGAGGUGAUAAGUUAUUUUAACUUGACAUUCAUAUGAGCUAGCUAAUGUGUGCUUUCAUUAAUUCCCGUUGCUCCACUCCCUAAUGCUUUCAUUGUCGACAUUGGAGACACACUGGAGGUAAUAAUUAUAGUAAAUUACUUAACUUGGCAUUUAUAUGAGCCUGCUCAUGUGCUUUAAUAAUUUUUACAUGGCAGAUUGUAACCAAUGGGACAUACCGUAGCAUUGAGCAUCGUGUAAUUGUAAACUCUAUACAAGGAAGGCUUUCCAUUAGCACAGUUUACUUAGUGAUAUAUGAUGGUGAAAUGUACCCUACGUCCAAUUUGGUCUCUGAAAAUAAUCCUCUAUUGUUUAAAAGAGUGACAGUUGAAGAAUACUUUAGGAACCUGUGUGCUCGUAAGCUUAGGGGAAAAUCUCCUCUGGAUGCCUUGAGAAUUGAACAUGUUCAAGACUAGUAUAAGUUUAUUUUGGAUAACUAAAGAGUGUAGUACAAAAACCGUGGGGGACCUUGCUAUUGCAAUUUUGUGUGGAGCUAAAAAUAAGCAAUAAGUAUACGAAUAAUAAAUCCUUUGGUGAAAAUUAUCACCUAAAUUUAGGAAUAUACACGUUCUAUCACCAAAAAUCAAUAACAGAAUAUACGACAGCAUACCUAAGAUCAUAAUGCACAAUUUGUCUCUAGAGUCUAGUAGUUUGUCUUCCAAAUUAACAUGUUCUCCUAGAGAAUCCUUUAAAAUUCUCUGUGCACUCUCUCUAAUGAUGAGAUGUCAACAGAGAAUAGAACGAUACGUGUGACCUAGGGACAAUAACUACUUAUAUAAACAAAUUUUUCUUUUGUCUUUAUGUAUUCUUAUUCCAACCCAUCAUGGAAAUAGAAAAUAGUCUUAAGUCUCUGUACAUUAAAGGCCUACAAUUGAUUAGAUACAUUAAAGCCCAAAUUAUCGAAAACUUUAAUAGAUCAUUUUUAAUUUGCCUUAAACUUAUAUAAUAGUUCACAACAUAUAAUUAUUCACAUAUAAGCCCAACAUUGGAUCAAUGAUCUAACAAUGCUAGAUUAAAGAUCCAACAACCUUUCACUUGGGCUAUAUAUGUAACCUUAUAAUUAUACUUUGCAAAAAUAACCAUAUGAGCUCAAUUUUACUGUCAUUACUAAAAUGUAUCUAUAGUCAAUUCGGUCCAUCAAUCAUACCAACAAAGGAUCAAAACGACCUUUGUUACAACUAUCGUAACUUGACCCAUCAAUGCGCACUAUGCCAAUAUAGCUGAAUGACAUAGAUCAUGAUAUGGGCGUGUAGGAUGGAAAUUUCAUGUAAUGUGAUCUUAACAUGCCUAUUUCCAAUUGAUCCACCUUAAACUUUAGUGAGAUCAAAUUAUAUAAAAAUUAGAGUGUGAAUGAAUAAACCAAAACUUUAUUUCUGCAGAAAAUAACCUUAAAUAUCCCUAAACCGAAAAAUGUUUAUAUCAUAAGAACAUUUAAAAGUUACAAAAUCCCAUUAAAAAUGAAUAUCCUUUAAUGACACGACACCUAUAUGAACAGUGUGCCUACGAAAAAUUUUAGAUGGUAUUCCCUUAGUAAGCGGAUCCGUGAUCAUGGAUUUUGUACCAUUAUGCUUUAUAGACAAUUUUCCACUCUAAAUUCUUUAUUUAACAACUAGGAACUUGAUGUUUAUAUACUGUGACUUCGUCGAGCUCCUAUUGUUAUUGGAAUAUAGCACUGCUAACUUAUUGUCACAUAAUAACUUGAGUGGUCUAUCAAUACCAUCUAAAAUGUGUAACUCUGUGACGUAAUUCCUCAGCCAUAUUCUGUGAUUGGAUGUCUCGUUACAUGCUAUGAACUUUGCUAUUAUAGUAGAAGAGGCUAUAAGAGACUGCUCAACAGAUGUGGCUCGCUCUAAAAGAUAAGUUCAGUGGCACUUCGACUACUAAAUUGAGAAGGCUGAUGAUCAAGUUUGAUUCUUAUUGGAAUUGCCAAAAUCAUAUUAUGAGGCAGCAUCUAAGGGAGAUGUCAAACAUGAUUUGCGAACUUAAGGCUGCUGAACAUAUUUUGACUGAUGAACAAUAAGUCCAGGAAGUAAUAAGAUCUUUACUUGAUUCUUGGGUGCACAUGAUGGUGAAUAUGACUCACAAUGAAAGUAUUAGAACUUUCAAUGACAUAGAACAUCACCUAGAAUUAGAAGUAAAACGCCUUGAGGCAACUAAGCUUUUUGAUCGUGUUUAUUUGACCGAAUCAAAUUCGCACAAAGCUUCAAGCUUCAAGUGCAAAAGGGUCAUAAUUAUAACCAGAAUGGUGAGAAAUCUGAUCCUAAGAAGAGGAAUUUAGAUGCUAAGAAGCGCCCAAGGGGUAGACGCACUGACAAGAACAAUGACAAAUCUAAGAUGAAAUACUAUAAUUGUAGUGAGCCGGGUCACUUUGCUCGCGAGUGCACUGAGCCCAACUCCACUUUAUUAAAUUUUGUGUUAGUUAUGAGUUAUGUACUCCUAAUUGAUUCUCGUCCUAUGUAGACUGUAGACUCAGGAUCAACAGACUAUAUAGCUCGUGAUCAAAAUGCGUUUGUAGAGUAUCAUCAAAUUAGUCAAGGGACUAGAUGGAUAUACAUGGGCAACAACUCCAGAGUUGAAGCAAAAGAAAUAGACACCUACAAAUUGACUUUGCAUGGUGGAUGUAUUCUUUUAUUACACGAUGUCCUAUAUGCACUAGAGAUUCGACAAAACUUAGUUUCUGUUCCCAUUCUUCUUGAAUUAGGAUAUAAUUUAAACUUUUAUGAUUUUUUUUUGGAGAUUUUCUUAAAUUUAGUCCUUAUUAGAACUGACAUUUCGUUAAUGGUUUUAUUAUAUUAGAUACAAUACUUGAUAAUUCAAGUUAUGAUAAUAAUUGUUUUUCAUAUGCUACUUCUUUAAGUAAUAAUAAGAUAGAUGUUAUUACUUGGCAUGCUUGAUUAGGUCACAUAGGGCAAAAAAGAAUGAAUAGACUUACGAGAAAGGGCAUAUUGAGUUUACUUACCAAGGUUGAAUUGCCCAUAUGUGAGAAUUGUUUAGCUGAAAAAACAAUUAGAAAACCAUUUGACAAAGGAAUUAGAGUUGAAAAAUCAUUACAAUUAAUCCAUUCUGACAUCUGUGAUACAAUGAAUGUAAGGGCUAAACAUGGAGCCUCAUAUUUUAUAACAUUCAUUGAUGAUUAUUCAAGUUUCGGUCAUGUCUACUUGAUUUCUUAUAAAUCAGAAGCAUUGAAUUGCUUUAGAUUAUAUCUAAACAUGGUAGAGAAUCAACUAGAUAGUAAUGUUAAAGUUCUAAGGACUGACUGAUGACAUGAAUACCUUUCAAAGUAGUUCAAGGACUUGUGUAAUGAGAAAUGAAUAAAUAGACAACUGACUAUUUUUGGAACUCUGUAACAAAAUGGCAUGGCGGAAAGAAGGAAUAUAAUUUUUUUAGAAAUGGUUAGGUCAAUAAUGGCACACUCAAAUAUUCCAAUAUCAUAUUAGGGAGAUGCAUUGUUAACUACUGCCUAUAUAUUUAACCUAGUUCCUUCAAAAUCAGUUAGUUAUUCUCAUAUGAGUUAUAGACGGCUAAGAAACCUGACCUAUUUCAUUUGUGACCUUGGAGGUCUGUAGCUUAUGUUUAUAACUCCAUUCAUAAGUUUGGGAAAUUAGGAGAUAGAAGCAAAAAGCGUAUCUUUAUUAGAUACUCAGAACACUCCAAACGAUAUGUGUUCAUUGGUGAACAUGAAAGUGGAUUUUUAACUGAACUGGAAUCAUAGGAUGUUGAUGACUCUAUGAAAUGAAGUUAUCAUUAUAUUUCUAGACUUAAAUCAAGAUUUCUUAAAGAGUAAAUAAUGUCUUUCUAUUACUUUUUAAUGAUAUUUUGCAUUAACAUCCGUUUUAGUUUAAUUCUAGUAAAUUUUGUUUGGUUUCGAAUAAUCGUGUGCUUAAAUCAUAUACGCAAGUGUGGGUAAUUGGAAGUUUGAAUUUCAAGGACAAGAUGUUGUUGCAAUGAGCUUGCAAAAUGAAUGAAAGAACAUGGCUGUAGAAGAAUUAAAACAAGUCUGGAACAAUGCAGAUGUUGCAGACAUUGUUGUAGCAAUGUUAGAGCAUUGAUAGAGAAGAUUUCAUGUGAGGCACUUAAAAGAUUGAGAUAUGGAGUUUUCAAAUCUGGCAGAUACACACCCUAGACUUUCAGUUGCCCUAAGUUUUAUCUAUAAAAAGAGCACACAUGCAAAGGAAGAGAGAGGCCGUCAACCAAGAACAAAAACCGAAAAGAAAUAAAAGAAAAACAUAAUUCAAGAGCAAAAUUAAGGGCUGCAUCAUAGGAGAAUUUGUAGAAAUCAUUCAGGAACUUAGUCUUUCUUAGUCUUCUCUUGUUUUCUUGUUUAUUCUUUAAUCAUGAGGAUGCAUUUGCUGACCAAAACUCCAUUGUUCAUGUUUCUUUUACAUAUUAUAAACUAAAUUUAUUUGUGGUUGAGUGAUAAAUAAUCUUGAUGGUCCAUUGACUAUAUAAAUGUGUUGUUGUAUGCUUGCUAUAGCAUUUUAUUUUGAUGAUAUUUAUUUAUAUUCAUUAUUUCGGUUGACCACCCAUUUAAUGAUACAAGCUAAGAAAGAGCUACAAAAGGACUUAUCUUAAUGUAACAUAUCCGAGUAAUACUUGGUUUUAGAUUGGGUUUCUUGAGUUGAGUUUUACUUGAUUCCAAAAGGGCCAUGCCUAAUAUAAAAUUCGUGAUGAAUUAGACAUACGAAUUCACAUUGUAGGAUAAAUAGAACCUAAAUGUGUAAUGUUAUAUCUUAUGUUGGCAUAACAAUUGGUCACUAUUAGAUUGCAUAAGGAUAUAAGACAUCCAACAUGCGACAGUUGAGGAUACAAUAUGAUUUUGCCUAGUGCUGUAUCAAACGUUGUAGCAACCGAGCCAAAGAUUAGAAGAAACAGUCAAAACCAUUAAGAGAGUUUAAUCACUCAACUACUCCAUUCUCAUUGGCUUUAUUCUUAUGUUUGACAUGAGAAUUUUAUUUAUUGCCUUUUUAGUUAUUACAUUUUAUAGUUUAAUUAGUUAUUUAGUCUCAUUAAUUAUUUAGUCUAAAUUUAGAACACAAGCUGCACUGUUCAGGAUUAUUUUAGCAAUUCUGAUAACAUCAAUCCCUGUGGAGACGAUCUUGAAUAUUUAUCAUUAUAUUACUUAUUGUGUACACUUGCAUAUUGAUACUAAUAAUACAAGAAAAAUUGCAACAAAUGUCAGUUUUUUAGAAAAUGAAUUUUCUAGCAUUGAAGAAGUUGAUAAGGAUUUUCAAUUUUAUGAAUUAGAAGAUCCAAAUGGGGUUAUCACUUCUAAUGUCGAUAUUGGCAUUAGUACGAAUCCUCUGGGGAUUGUUACUCUGAGUGGGAGUGAAACACCGGACACUUCGAUUCGAAUUAAGGAAUCGACUUAGAAGAGUAGUCGUAAGUCAAUUCCUUGUCAUCAUUUUGAAAUUGAGGGAGAAGUUUUAUGAUUACUUCACACGAUAGUGAAGAGCCAAAUACUUUUAAUAAAGCUCUCACAUCGUCUACUAGGGAUUUAUAGAUGAAAGCAAUAGAAGAAGAGAUAAAAUCUAUGAAAGUUAAUCAAGUUUGGGACUUGCUUGAAUUUCUGCCUAAUCGUAAAAUUAUCAGAAAUAAAUGGGUUCUCCAUAUAAAAUGUAAAGUGGAUGGGACAAUCGAGAGAUACAAAAUAAGAUUAGUCGCUAAAGGCUAUACCCAAAAGGAGGGAAUAGACUAUAAAGAAACCUUUUCUCCUAUGGUAAGGUUUGCUUCUAUACGAUUAAUUUUGGUCAUUAUUGCACAUCUAGACCUUGAAUUGCAUCAGAUGGAUGUAAAUAUUGCAUUUCUCUAGAUAAUGAACUGAGAGGUAGGCAAAUUUGGUUUGGAUCAGUUUGAGACAAAUUAUCAAACCGAUCCAAACUGAUAUCGACCUAAAUUUUUUUUAAACCAAACCAACUAGAUUGGUUUUUUUCUUGGUUUGAGAUUAUUAGCUAAAAGCCCACCUCUUUUAUAUUGUUGUACCUAAAUUAUUUGUUAUUUUUUGUAUCCAUAAUCCAAAUUGAUAUCUCUUUUAUAUUAUUCAUAUCUACAUAACAAUUUAAAGAUACAUCCAUACAAGUUCACAACAGAAUACAUCCUAAUAAAGAAGUUCUCAACUUGUUCAUUCAAAACAAACUCACAAAAUUAAAAUAAACUUGAACAACAUUUGACAAUCAAAAUAUCGUGCAUCUUGUCCUUUAAAACUUAUGGCCCAAUUACUUUUGAUUUGUCAAAAUCUGCAUAAAAUGACAAAAUGAUAGAUUGCUUAACUUAGAAAAUAAUAUAAUUAUACUAUAUGUAAAGCAUAGGUACCUUGCUCCACAGACGUACAUAAUUCCAAAUCACUAAAGUAUGAUGACAAUACUUCUACAUCAAACUUCCUAAUAAUUUUUUCAUCCAUACCAGAUGCUUUAAGCCAUUGUUGACUAUAUAUCAAAGUCUCUACCAUUGUAGGGGUUAAUGAACUUCGAAAUGCAUAGACUACACGACCUCCAGUAUUAAAAACAGGUUCAGAAGCCACAGUAGAUACAGGAAUUGCUAACAUAUCCUUUGCAAUUUGUGACAAAGUCCCAAACCUUGCACUAUUUGCAAUCCACCAACUCAAAACAUCAAACUAAUCAUCAGUUUCAUCCUCACUAGGUUAGAACAAAUACCUUUCUACCUCAUUUUUCAAAUCAAUGGAAUCUUUCUGCACUUUUAACUGCUUAUAUUGAGUCUUUGUAUUAAUAAAUGCAUAGUCCUUGCCACUUUUCCUUCUUAAACCCACAUCAAUUGCCAAAACAUCAUUAGUAGAUUGGCUACCAUCACCAGAAGUAGAUUCUACAAGACAAUAGGUUUUACAUAGCUAUGAACAUAAAUUUAAGUAAAUAUGAAUACAGUUACAAAAAAAAAGAAAAAAGUAACUAUUGUUAUAACUGAAUCUAAUUUGAAAGUUUAAGAAUACACCUUUAAAAGUAGCUUCUUAAUGUUUGAUGUAAUUUCUUUCGCUUUCUCAAGAUUAUGCAAAUUUUCAAAGCAAAAUGACACAUAAUCAAAUUUGUACCUUAGAUAUGAAAUGAAUUAGAGUAAAUAAUUAUCACAAUUGAUUUUAUCAUAAAAAAUAAAAAUUCAAAUGAAAUAACAGAUUUUUACCUUGGAUCAAGUACCACAGCAAUGAUCAAUAGUUGAUGUAUAGUGUCCAUAGAACCCCAAUACUUGUCACACUUUAUUUUCAUUUUUUCUGCCCUUUUACUAAGAAGCACCUCUUUUUUUUUUCAAUGAAUGAAUGCAACUAGGUUUGAAUGGUGCAAAGAUGAUGAAAAUACAAGUUAGACAUGACAAAUAAUAAAGCACUGUAUUCAACUAUACCAUUAUUCACAAAUUUCAAAAACUCGAUAAAUAUUGCAGCAUUUUUCCAAUCUUCAGUUGUGGGUGGCCUGAUAUGUUCUGCUUUCCUCUCAUUGAAAAAACUCAUAUAUGGUCCAUCACAUUCCUCUUCUUUCAGACUUUCAAAAGCUUUCUGAAAGUGUAUAGCUAUGGACAACAUAGUGUAGAUAUAAUUCCAUCUAGUGGGCACAUGAUAUGCUAAAAGCCCUUCAUAUUCAAUUUUCUCUCUCUCAACACAUGAUUUAAAUUUAUAAUGAUAACUCUAUGAAAUGAGAGUUAUCAUGGCACUUUGAGACUUAAAUCAUGAUUACUUAGAGAGUAAAUGACAUGUUUUUAUUGCAUUUUAGUAAUGUUUUGAAUAAACAUUCCAUUUUAGUUUACUUUUAAUAAGUUUUGUUUGAUUCAGAAUAAAUUGUAUGCUUAAAUCAUAUGCAUAAUUGUAAGUGACCGGAAGCUCAAAUUUCAAGAAAGGAAUACGGCUGCAAUAGGCUUGUAAAGAUAAGGAAAGAACGUAAUUAGAGAAGAAUUGAAACAAGUCUGGAACAGUGUAGAUGCUGAAGCCAUUGUUGUAGCACUGUUGUUGUAGCAUCGUUGUUAUAGAUUUUCUGGAGCAUUGACAGAGAAGAUUUUACGCGAGAUACUUUGAAGUUUGCGGUCUGGAGUUUUCUAAAUUAGAAGAUGCACAUUCUAGGCUUCCAGUUGCCCUAAUUUUAAGCUACAAAAUGAGCACACAUGCAAAGAAAAGGGAGCCGUCAUUGGAGAAGAAAAAUAGAUAAACAACACAAGAAAAAACAAAGAUCAAGAGAGAGAAUUGAGGGCUGCAACUAAGGAAUUCGAGAAGAACAUCAAGCGGAUCUCACUCUUAUUUUUUGUUCUCUUGUUUCUAUCUCGUUAUGAUGAAUUGUUUGAUGGCUGAAACUAUUUUACUUCUUGUUUUAUCCCAAAUUAUGAACUAAAUUUAUUUGUGGUUGAAUAAUGAACAAACUUGAUGGUUAAUUGACUAAUAUUCUGUGUUGCUACAUGUUUGCUAUAGCACGUUGUUUUGAUAAUACUUAUUUCAAUUUACUAUUUCAAUUUACUAUUUCGGUUGACCACCCAUUUAGUGAUACUAGUUAAGAAAGAACCUAAAAAAGACUUGUCUUAGUGGAACAUAUGAAAGCAAUACGUGGUUUUAGAUUGGGUUUCUUGAGUUGGGUUUAACUUGAUUUGAAAAGGGUCAUGCUUAAUAUAAAAUUAGUGAUGAACUAGAUAUAUGGAUUCACCUUGUAGUGUAAUUAGAAUCUAAAAUGUGUAAUGUUAUAUACGAUGUUAGCAUAACAAUUGGUCACUGUUAAGUUGCAUUUAGAUAUAAGUUAUCCAACAUGCGACAGCUGACAAUACAUAAGGAUUCUGCCCAGUGCUGUAGCAAAUGCUAUAGCAAUCGAGCCAACAUUAGAAAAAUAGUCAAAACCAUUAAGUGAGUUUAAUCGCUCAACUACUCCAUUCCCCUUGGGAACAUCCUUGUAUUUGCUGUGUUGCUACAUGUUUGCUAUAGCACGUUAUUUUGAUAAUACUUAUUUCAAUUUACUAUUUCGGUUGACCACCUAUUUAGUGAUACUAGUUAAGAAAGAACCUAAAAAAAACUUGUCUUAGUGGAACAUAUCAAAGCAAUACGUGGUUUUAGAUUGGGUUUCUUGAGUUGGGUUUAACUUGAUUUGAAAAGGGUCAUGCUUAAUAUAAAAUUAGUGAUGAACUAGAUAUAUGGAUUCACCUUGUAGGGUAAUUAGAAUCUAAAAUGUGUAAUGUUAUAUAUGAUGUUAGCAUAACAAUUGGUCACUGUUAAGUUGCAUUUAGAUAUAAGCUAUCCAACAUGCGACAGCUGACAAUACAUAAGGAUUCUGCCCAGUGCUGUAGCAAAUGCUAUAGCAAUCGAGCCAACAUUAGAAAAAUAGUUAAAACCAUUAAGUGAGUUUAAUCGCUCAACUACUCCAUUCCCCUUGGGAACAUCCUUGUAUUUGCUGUGUUGCUACAUGUUUGCUAUAGCACGUUGUUUUGAUAAUACUUAUUUCAAUUUACUAUUUCGGUUGACCACCCAUUUAGUGAUACUAGUUAAGAAAUAACCUAAAAAAGACUUGUCUUAGUGGAACAUAUCAAAGCAAUACGUGGUUUUAGAUUGGGUUUCUUGAGUUGGGUUUAACUUGAUUUGAAAAGGGUCAUGCUUAAUAUAAAAUUAGUGAUGAACUAGAUAUAUGGAUUCACCUUGUAGGGUAAUUAGAAUCUAAAAUGUGUAAUGUUAUAUAUGAUGUUAGCAUAACAAUUGGUCACUGUUAAGUUGCAUUUAGAUAUAAGCUAUCCAACAUGCGACAACUGACAAUACAUAAGGAUUCUGCCCAGUGCUGUAGCAAAUGCUAUAGCAAUCGAGCCAACAUUAGAAAAAUAGUCAAAACCAUUAAGUGAGUUUAAUCGCUCAACUACUCCAUUCCCCUUGGGAACAUCCUUGUAUUUGUUGUGUUGCUACAUGUUUGCUAUAGCACGUUGUUUUGAUAAUACUUAUUUCAAUUUACUAUUUCGGUUGACCACCCAUUUAGUGAUACUAGUUAAGAAAGAACCUAAAAAAGACUUGUCUUAGUGGAACAUAUCAAAGCAAUACAUGGUUUUAGAUUGGGUUUCUUGAGUUGGGUUUAACUUGAUUUGAAAAGGGUCAUGCUUAAUAUAAAAUUAGUGAUGAACUAGAUAUAUGGAUUCACCUUGUAGGAUAAUUAGAAUCUAAAAUGUGUAAUGUUAUAUAUGAUGUUAGCAUAACAAUUGGUCACUGUUAAGUUGCAUUUAGAUAUAAGCUAUCCAACAUGCGACAGCUGACAAUACAUAAGGAUUCUGCCCAGUGCUGUAGCAAAUGCUAUAGCAAUCGAGCCAACAUUAGAAAAAUAGUCAAAACCAUUAAGUGAGUUUAAUCGCUCAACUACUCCAUUCCCCUUGGGAACAUCCUUGUAUUUGUUGUGUUGCUACAUGUUUGCUAUAGCACGUUGUUUUGAUAAUACUUAUUUCAAUUUACUAUUUCGGUUGACCACCCAUUUAGUGAUACUAGUUAAGAAAGAACCUAAAAAAGACUUGUCUUAGUGGAACAUAUCAAAACAAUACGUGGUUUUAGAUUGGGUUUCUUGAGUUGGGUUUAACUUGAUUUGAAAAGGGUCAUGCUUAAUAUAAAAUUAGUGAUGAACUAGAUAUAUGGAUUCACCUUGUAGGGUAAUUAGAAUCUAAAAUGUGUAAUGUUAUAUAUGAUGUUAGCAUAACAAUUGGUCACUGUUAAGUUGCAUUUAGAUAUAAGCUAUCCAACAUGCGACAGCUGACAAUACAUAAGGAUUCUGCCCAGUGCUGUAGCAAAUGCUAUAGCAAUCGAGCCAACAUUAGAAAAAUAGUCAAAACCAUUAAGUGAGUUUAAUCGCUCAACUACUCCAUUCCCCUUGGGAACAUCCUUGUAUUUGCUGUGGUAUUUUACUUUAUUGCAUUUUUCUCAUUGCGUUUUUAUUUUUAUUAUUUCAUUAGUUUAAUAAUUUGUUUUAAUUCUUGUUUAUAAUAAAAAUUGCACUAAUAAAAUUGUUGUAGCAAUUCCUAUAACAACCUAUGGAGACAAUCUUGAAUAUUCAUCAUUAUAUUACUUAUUGUGUACACUUGCACAUUGACAUCAAUAGCAUUAGAAAACCUGCAACAUGCAACCUCAAACCAGAAGACCUCACAUAUAUAAUUGCAUUGCAAAUGCUAGUAAUUAAGUCAUGCAUCUCUUUCAGCCGUUCAGUCACAAUUAUAUUAACAAUAUGGGCACAACACCACAAAUGUGAAUAAUCUCCAUCUAAAGUCAUUGCAUCACCCUUCCAAUUUUUCAACUUUUUUUUUCAAAUAAUUGAUAGAAACGUCAUUAGCACUCACAUUAUCAACUAUAACAGUCAUCACUUUUUCUAUACCUCAAUCAAGUUAGCAUUUUUUAAUAAGGUUGCCGAUUAAGUCCCCUUUGUCGCUUGUUAUUUGGAAAAAAAAAUUCAAAAUUUUCAUAUGCAAUUUCCAAUUAUGAUCAACCCAAUGGGUUGUCACAACAUAUAAUUAAAAUUUUUUAUGGAAGUCCAAAUGUUUGUGGUAAUAGAAACUCUAUACUUAUUUGCAAUAAAAAUAUUUUUGAAUGCUGCAUUCUCAACUAAAUACAGUUGAUAUAUAUCUCUAACAAGUGUUCCCCUCGAAGGAGGGCCAAAUCUAGGAUAAAGUUUAUCUCACAAAAGAUGAAACCUAUAAGACUCUACCUUCCUAAAUGAAACCUUAUUAAGAAUAAAAUACAUAACUACAUUCUUCCUACAAUCCUCCUGAUCAAACUUUCCAGCAAUCCCCAACCCAAUACCAUACACAAUAUUCCCAGUGCCACUACCACUUGCCAUAUUAGACUUUUUUUUCUUAUCACGGAAGCGAGCUAAUUUAACUCGAGUCACAUAAUCCAAAGUAGCCCAAUAUUUUUCACAUUGUUCUCUUAAGUGAGUCCACAAAUUAAAAGUCUCAUUAAACUUACUAUCACACUUAUACUAGUUCCCACAAUAUUUGCACUUACAUGUCCUAUUCACUUAAUCUUUGAUUUAAUGAGGCCAAACUUUUGAACCCCUUUCACUGUCAUGAAGACGACCACUCCCUGUUCUAGAUUUCCUACUUUUAGGUUCUAGAAAAUCAUCCAUCAAUAUUUCUCCAUUUUCUAUGAUAUUAUUCACAUUGGAAUUAUCUUCCAUGUUGAGAGCUUCUAUAAUUAAUAAAAAUUAAAAAACAUUAGUUAUGGAAUCAAUUAAUCAAAUAAAUUAUCAUCAAUUAUACCAAAAUCCAUUUUAACUUUUGACUAAAAUAAAAUAAAAUUGUAGCAAGUAAAAUAAAAUCAAAACAUGCCAUUUUGUUCCCAUUUUUAAAAUUAUGACUAUGAGACUUGAGAAUGAGCGAUUGAGAUUGAGAGAGUUGAGAAUGAUAGGAGGCACUGGAGGUUGAGGCAGCUGUGAGUGUUGGACAAUUAGGUUUUUGUGUUUUUGUUUUUAUAAUAAGAAGUAUGCUAUUGUGUAUGAAAGUGUACAUUUCUUCUGUUAAUAAUCCAAUAAUAAAUUGACACAUCAUAUGUCUUAAAGCUUUAUAAAUUUUCUAGAUUGGAUUGGUUUGCCGAAAUCCAAAUCGAGUGAUGUCGGUUUGCAAUCCAAUAAAUCAAAACUAGUUUUUUUACUAAUGAAACCGAUCCAAAUGGUCGGUUUGGAUAGGUUCAGUUAAAAUAUGCCCACUUGUAAUAGAACCUUAAAUUCUAUCAAGCUAUAGUUUCUUAGCUUUAGGAUGGUUAAGGAAGACCAUUGUGUGUACAUUAAGAGAUAUAAAGACGCUUUUACAAUAUUGACUUUGUAUAUGGAUGAUAAAUUAUUGGCAGCAAAUAGUAAAGAGUUUGUCAAAAUUAUUAAAGAUUGGCUACAUUCAAAUUUUGACAAGAAAGAUAUCGGCGAAGCAACUUAUAUCUUAGGGGUCAAAAUUUUUAAGGAUCGUUCAAGGAAAUUUAUGGCUCUGUCACAAGAGUCUUACAUUAAGAAAAUCAUUGAAAGAUUCAAUGUGGCUGAUUGUAAGCACAAGGAUACCCCUAUAGCUAAAGGACAAUCUUUUAGUCUCGAUAUGUGUCCCAAGACUCCUCAAGAAAAAGAAAGAAUGACUAGAGUUCCUUUUGCAAAUGCCAUUGGAAGUCUUAAGUGUGUCAUAAUGUGUAUAAUGCCUGAUAUUAGUUAUGUUGUAGGACUAGUAAGUAGAUACCAGUCUAAUCCUGGUCAGAGGCAUUGGAGUACUGUUAAAAGGAUUUUAGCAUAUCUCAAAUGCACUGCAAAUUAUUGUUUAUGCUAUCAAGGAGGUGGUUUGCGGCUUGUUGGAUAUUCAGAAGCCGACUAGGGUGGUGAUCUGGAUUAGCGCAAAUCGGCUUCAAGAUAUGUAUUCUUGCUAAAUAGAGGAACAAUUACAUGGAGUAGCAAGAAGCAAACAUGCACGACUUUAUCAAUGGUGGAAGCCGAAUAUAUUGCAUGUUCUGCAGUAGUGCAAAAAGUUAUGUGACUUAAGAGAUUUAUAGAGAACUUAGAGAUUAAUAUUAGUAAUGAUAAUCUAGUGACUAUCUAUUGUGACAAUCAAGCUACUAUCCCUUUCUCUAAUGAUGCUAAAUACCAUACCAAAUCGAAACACAUUGAGUUAAAUACAAUUUUGUAAGAGAUAUUUUGGCAAAGAAAGAAGUAGUCAGCCGUACAAUAUAUAUCUACACAGAGCAUGAUAACUGAUCCACUUACCAAAGCUGUAAUAAGGGAUGUAUUCGCCUAUCAUGCUAAAUCAUUAGGGCUACGUAGAUUAUAAAUUACUACUAUUAAGAUGUACUUAUUUGUUAUAAACAUCUUCAUUACAUAAGUUGUUUGAAAAUGUAAUAGUAUCUCUUAUUUCAAUUUAUUCCAUGAAAGACAUAAUUACACAUAUAUAAGAGUAUGUCGUCAGGUCCAGACUAGUAUUUUUACACAAGCGGUCACCUCAAUUGCUUUAGGAGCAAGAUGAGAUGAGACAAGUAGAAUAAUAAAACAAUAUUUUUGUGUGAGAGCCAAAUAAAAAGCAUUAUUCUACAAGUUUUUUUGCCUUGACUAGAAUCAAGAGGUCUCACACGAUUUUCAUUAUAGACUGACUAUGAUAUACCCCACCAUCAUGGAGACUUGAUUGAAGCUAGAUGUGAGAUCUUACUUUUUACGCUAGAAGACAGCGUUCAUUCUAAAAGAGUGACUAGACUAAGAUCUAUAGUCCUGGAAUGGAAAAUUUAUCGUAACACGUGUAUCAUACCACGCGUGCUUGGUAAUCAAAAUGGAAAAUGAAAGAAUCUUCAAUCUUUCUCAUUGUGUAAGUUUCAUAUAACUUUUUAUAAGUCAAUCCUGGUAUCAUCUUCUUCUCUUCUUCGUGAAGAUUAAAAUUAAGAACAUUGAACAAUCCAUAAAAAGGGCAUUUAUACUGUGAUCAGAUAAGGAUUUCCGCUUGCGAUUUCUUCUGACCAUUAACAUGAUCCAAUACUCGAUUACUCCGCUGCUGAAUUCAAUAAGAAAAAUAUUUCUAGAAUUUUCAUUUUUCCUUCAGACCAUGUAAGAAGCAUACGAACAGGAUGAUCCGGAGUCAAAAGGUGAACGAGGUGACGGCUCGUCCGUUAGUACUAUUAAUGUAUAAGGUAAUAUGGGAAUUACUAAUAAUUAAUCGACUAGCUGAUUUGUUAGUUAUGAUUAUCAAUGACGGUCUAUUUCCUGCCCAUAUUUUACCAUGCUGUUGAAUGGUCCCCUUAAAAUAAUCCAGAUCAGUCAUUUGCAUAAAAAUAUAUCAUGAGCGGUUAGGUGGAGGAUGCUGAUUUGUUAGAAAAUAAUUGUUUUCAACUCUUGCGAUUGUCUGCACCCUGCACUCUUGUUCCAAAACCAAUACAAAGCUGUAGCAAUCUUAAGAGGAUUUGUGGAACAAAAGAUGGCCAAGAUUGGAGGUUCUCUGCUUGUUCCUUGUGUUCAAGAGUUGGUCAAGAAUCCUAUGUUAGUUGUCCCUCCUAGAUACAUUUGUCCGGACGAAGAUUCACCACUCAAUUCUGAUCAUACUUUGAUUUCACAGAUACCAGUUAUUGACAUGCAGGGCUUGCUUUCUGAAGAAUCAAUGGAUUCUGAGUUAGCCAAGCUCGACUUCGCUUGCAAAGAAUGGGGUUUUUUCCAGGUAAAAUGCUUUAGCAGAGUUAGAAAGAUUUUUCAUGCUUGUCUGUGAUUUAAGAAUCAUGAAAUCUGCAAAACUCUCAGUCACAAAUUAUCUAUUUUUGAAACCCAGUUUCCAUUGAUUUAGCAUGUCAUGAUUUCAAAUUUCCCAUCUAGUCCUUUUGCUGCUUUCAGUGCUUCUAGGACUGCAGCUUGUGAAAUGUCAAGGAAGUUGUCUCUUGUUUUAUUGUACAAUUUAUGAGGCGAUAUGAGAAGAAAACACUCACCAUUUAUUUCUGAAACCCAGAUUCCAUUGAUAUAUUUGUUUUUGACUUUCUUUAUUACUUUACCUUUCCAUAUAGCCAUAGAUUUGUUAGUAUAAUUUGUAUUAAAAGAUGCCCAUGACAAAGUUCACCUAUUUUGUCUCAAUAGCUUUUGGUAGCUUAUGAGAAAUAUGCUUCUGUCAAUAUGUGAUUAAAGAUAUCGUAAUUGUAUAAGACUCCCGCAGAUUAUUAGCUGUUCUAGAAUAUUCAAAUUUCUCCAAAACUAUGACUAAAAAACACUUGUAAAAAUCAAUCAUUGAUUAGAUUUAUAAACAAAAUAAAAUUGGUGUUUAAUGCAACAGCAAUGUUCUCAGUUGAAAUGUAACAAAUGCUUUUAGCCAUCUUUGAUAGCAAAUCUUGUCUCUAAAUUAGUCAAAUAAGUUGCAAUCUGUCUUCAUAAAACGCCUGGACGAUUGUGAACCUAGUGGCACGAUUAUCAAAUCUUAGCUGCUGUUCAUUCCUGCAUAAUUUCAGCUGGUAAACCAUGGAGUAAGCUCAGCAUUUCUAGAGAAAGUGAAGAAAGAGGUUAAGGGCUUCUUCAAUCUCAGCAUGGAAGAAAAGAAAAAAUAUUGGCAGCAUCCAGGAGAUGUAGAAGGAUUUGGACAAGCCUUUGUUGUAUCUGAGGAACAAAAGCUUGAUUGGGCUGACAUUUUCUCCAUGAUCACUCUUCCAGUUCAUCUGAGGAAGCCACACUUAUUUCCUAAGCUCCCUCCUUCCCUCAGGUUCUCUCUUUUUGUGGUUGAUAUGGAUUUGCAAACAAAAAGAGAAAAUUAAACCUUCUAUGAUUCUAUCUAAUGUUUUACCUUCUUUUUUCUUGUAGAGACACCUUGGAAGUUUACUCGAUGGAGUUAAAAUCUCUGGCCAUGAACCUGAUAUCGAAAAUGGGAAAAGUUUUAAAUAUCAAAGAUGAAGAAUUGAGAGAAUUCUUUGACAAUGGUUUCCAAUCAAUGAGGAUGAACUAUUACCCUCCAUGUCCUCAACCAGAAAAGGUUAUGGGCCUCACCCCUCAUUCUGAUGGCUCUGCUCUUACCAUUCUGCUACAAAUCAAUGAAGUAGAAGGUCUCCAGAUCAAGAACGAUGGAAAAUGGAUUCCUAUCACACCGCUGCCAAAUGCUUUCAUUGUCAACAUCGGAGACACAUUGGAGGUAAUAAUUAUGAUUACUUUCCUUGGCAUUUUUAUGUCCCUUCUCAUGUGCUCUAAUAUUUUUAACAUUGCAGAUUAUGACCAAUGGGACAUACCGUAGCAUUGAACAUCGUGCAAUUGUGAACUCUAUACAAGAAAGACUUUCCAUUGCCACAUUUUACACAAAGAGAUUAGAUGGCGAAAUAUAUCCAGCAUCCAGUUUGAUAUCUGAAAAAACUCCUGCAUUGUUUCGAAGAGUGACAGUUGAAGAAUACUUUAGGAGCCGGUUUGCUCGUGAGCUUAGGGGAAAAUCUCACCUGGAUGACCUGAGAAUUCAACAUGGUCGAGGCUAGUACAAUUAUUUUGGAUAAUUGCAGAUUUGUGCCAGGAAUUUUCUGAUGAUAAUUGUGCUUAUUUUGGAUCAGUUUCUUUCAUUUUUGGAAUAGAAUUUUUGCAGGCUUGUCAUGUUUUUAUCAGAUUUCAAGAACUAUUUCACUUGCUUUCGGAGUUAAAGAUGAUUCAAAUAUGAUAUUAAAUACUUAAGCAUGCCAUUCUAACGCUUGCUUGUCCAAUUACAUCCUUAUCAACAAUAUAUUUUGUUACAAUGUCACUGAAGUUGAAUAGAUAACAACAUGCUUGGGUUAUAUGUUGUCAUUUGGCUUAACCAUCCGUCACAUUAAGCAGAUUGUUGUGAUAAUGUGUUUUACAACCUUCCCCAGUAGCAUGAAUGUAGUUAAAAUAAUUGUAACAAAUUUUGUAUUGCUUGUAGCAACAUUGUUCUCCAUAGCACACAUUGCCUGAGUACAAAAGUUGUAACUUGUUACCAAUAAUAAUAAUAAAAAAUAAUAAUAAUAGUAAUAAUAAUUAUCAAUAACUAAAAAUGAGACAGAUGUUACUUUCAUAAGUGGAACUUGGAUUCACAAGCAAAAUAUGAGGUUUUAAUUGGUUGUUAUCAGAAAAAAAUAUAAAGAUAAUUAAUGCCUAAACAUAAACAGCUAUAAUUGUAUAAAUGACUAAUCGAUUACAAUUCGAAUCCACUAUUUUCUUAAUAGUGCACAGUCAAUUCCAACACAGCACCAGAUUGCAGCGUGUUAGAAAAAUUUUUAGGUAAUCAUAUAUAUGUUUUAAUCAAUUAUGAUAAUAUGUUUACCCAUAUAUAAGAUUUGAAUAGAUAAAAAGUAAUACUCGAGAACCACCAAAGUCCUUUUAACUGCAGACACGCAAUGGUGGAUUACUCGCACAAGUCAAGAGCAAAAUACCAAGUUGUGAAAGAAAAAUAAAAAGGGGAAAAGAAAACAAAACGCAGUAUUGAAAAUACCUUCGCCUUUUGGGUUGAUGACAAGGUGGGAACCACAAAUAAUUAAUUGGCUGAUGGUUUGUCAUCGUUAUCCAUAGAGGAUAGUUUUGACCUGCGAAUAUUUUAUUUUGCAUUCGAAACAUGUGCAAAAAAUUAAAAAUACUUCAUGAAUGGUUAGGUGGAGGAUGCUGAUUAAUUACUUGGAAAAAGAUUCCUUUUUACUUUUGUGAUUGUCAGCACUCAGUCUUGUUCCAAAACCAAUACAAAGCUGCAGCAAUCUUGAAAGGAUUUGAGGAACAAAAGAUGGCCCAGAUUGGAAGUUCUCUCCUUGUGCCUUGUGUUCAAGAGUUGGUCAAGAAUCCGGCGUUAGUUGUCCCCGACAGAUACAUACGUCCAGAUCAAGAUUCACCCCUCAUUUCUGAUGAUAUUUUGAUUUCACAGAUACCAGUUAUUGACAUGCAAAGCUUACUUUCUAAAGAAUCAAUGGAUUCUGAGUUAGCCAAGCUCGACUUCGCAUGCAAAGAAUGGGGUUUUUUCCAGGUAUAAUGCUUUAGCAAAGUUAGAAAAUUGUUUCGCCAGAACAUGCUUGUUUGUGAUCAAGAAUCGAGAAAUAUGCAAAUUGUCAAUCAAAUAGGCAAAAUUAAAAUUCAUAUUUAUUUCUUAAACCCACGUAUCAUUGAUGUUAGCAGAUCAUGGUUUCACUUUCCAGUGUUGUCUGUGGCUUAGGACUGCAGCUUGUGAAAAGAAGAACUUGUCUCUGGUUUAUUUAUUAUUGACUUUCUAUAUUGCUUUACCUUUUCUCCCUCCAGGCAUGGUUUAAUUAGCUAUUUCAUUCCUAAAUGUCAAACAGGCAAUAUGUAUUAAAAAGAUUGUCUUGAGAAAUUUCACCUCCUCUGCCUCAAUAGCUUUUGGUACCUUAUGAGAAAUAUGCUUCUGUCAAAAUUUUAAAAGAUAUACUAUAGUAAAUUGUGUAAGACCUCUUAGAAAAUGUACUCAUUUCUGUAGUCAAUGUUGCAAAUUUACUUUAAUUUAAAGACAAUUAGAAGUAACAUUGAGAUUAUUUGCUGUUGUAUGAUUUUUCAAAUUCUAGGUGUGAACAAACCACAAGAACUUUAUGCUCAUUAUAGUUAUUCUAGAAUAACCAAAAUUUCUCCGAUAGAAUGAGUAGAAAACACCUGUGGAAACUAAUUGUUGGGAAGAUUUAAAUGUAACAAAUGCUUUUAGCCAUCUUUAAUGGUAAAUCUUAUCUCUAAAUCAGUCAGAUAAGUUGCAAUCUGUCUUAAUAAAACACCUGGACUAUUGUGCGCUUAGUGGCACGAUUAUUAAAUCUUUGCUGCAUUUCGUUCCUGUAUUUUUUUCAGCUGGUAAAUCAUGGAAUGAGCACAGCAUUUCUAGAGAAAUUAAAGAAAGAGGUUGAGGGAUUCUUCAAUCUCAGCAUGGAAGAAAAGAAAAAAUAUUGGCAGCGUCCAGGAGAUAUGGAAGGAUUUGGACAAGCCUUUGUUGUAUCGGAGGAACAAAAGCUUGAUUGGGCUGACCUUUUCUCCAUGAUGACUCUUCCAGUUCAUCUGAGGAAACCACAUUUAUUUCCUAAGCUCCCUCCUUCCCUCAGGUUCUCUCUCUCUCUCUCUCUGUGUCAAUGUCAUUUUGAUUUGCAAACAAAUAAAGGAUAGUGCAUCUUCUUUUCCUGUAGAGAGACCUUGGAAGUUUACUCAAUGGAAUUAAAAACCCUAGCCGAGAACCUAAUAUCGAAAAUGGGAGAAGUGUUAAAUAUCAAAGAUGAAGAAAUGAUAGAAUUCUUUGAAAAUGGACUGCAAGGAAUGAGGAUGAAUUAUUACCCUCCAUGUCCUCAGCCCGAGAAGGUUAUGGGCCUGUCGCCGCAUUCUGAUGCAGCUGCACUUACCAUUCUGCUACAACUUAAUGAAGUGGAGGGUCUCCAGGUAAAGAAGGAUGGAAAGUGGAUUCCUGUUACCCCACUCCCGGAUGCUUUCAUUGUCAACAUUGGAGACACAUUGGAGGUAAUAAUUAUAAUAAAUUACCUUAACCUGGCAUUUUUAUGCGCUUGCUUAUGUGCUUUAAUAAUUUUUACAUGGCAGAUUAUAACCAAUGGGACAUACCGCAGCAUUGAGCAUCGUGCAGUUGUAAACUCUGUACAGGAAAGACUUUCCGUUGCCACAGUUUACUCAGUGAGAUAUGAUGGUGAAGUGUAUCCUGCCUCCAGUUUGAUCUCUGAAAAAACUCCUCCUUUGUUUAGAAGAGUGAGAAUUGAAGAAUACUUUAGGAGCCGGUAUGCUCGUGAGCUUAGGGGAAAAUCUCAGUUGGAUUCCCUGAGAAUUCAACAUGGUCAAGGCUAGUAUAAGUUUAUUUUGGAUAACUAAAGAGUUUGGUACAAAAACUCUUAAGGACCUUGCUAUUAAGAUUGGCGUGGAACUGAAAAUAAGAAAUAAGUUCUAUGAAUACUGUGGUAUAACCUGCUAUGCUAGGGUCGUUGUGUAGCUCUAUCAUUUGAGAUACUGAAUAGACCAUGUAAGAAUCUUAAGAAUUGCAGACUUAUGCCUGGAAUCUUCCGAUGAUAUAUGGUGGUGCUUAUAUCAGAUCAGUAUCUUUCUUUCUUGAAAUAGAAUUUUUGCAUACCUGACUUGUUUUUAAUGAGAUUUCAAGGACUAUAUGACUUGGUUUCAAAUUUUUAUGAUACAUACAGAUAAUAUUACCACAGAACCAGUGUAGUUUCUGUAUCAGCCGUUAUAGUUUUCAGUUAAUAGUAACAAGUUUUUGAUUUUUAACAAGAAUGUUGUCCUUCCACGUCUUAAAUAUUCCGUUCCAUAACACACAUUGUGACGAAUACAUAACUUGUUACCAUUGACGAAAAAUUUUGCCAUCAAUAGCUGAAAAUAGAUGUUAGUUACACAAGCUGCAAAGCUAUAACUUUGGAUUUCAUAUUCAGAUUGUCCCUCUCAAAGUUGAACUUGGAACUACGGUUGAUGAUCUGCUAUUAUGCUGAGAAAAAUACAAGAUUUUUUUUUUGGUUGUCAUCAGACAAUGUAAAAGAAAUUAGCAUGGGAUCCAAAUUCUUGAGAGUUUGAUAAGGCAAUGCACUAUAUUUUUUUAUAACUCGCAGCAGACAGCAGCACAACAGCAGACUGCAACUGUCAUAUUCACAAAAUAUCUAUGGGCCAACCCUAGACCCGCAAUGGUGGAUUAGUCUCACACAAGGCCACAGCAAAUAAUGACUUGUAGAAAAUAAUACAUUUUCAACAUUUGCUUUGUCAAUAAAAAUCUGUAGCAUUAUUGUUGAGAGAAUUUGUGCAACAAAAAGAAGGCCAAGUUCGGAGGUUCUCUGCCUGUGCCUUGUGUUCAAGAGUUGGCCAAGAAUCCUAUGUUAGCUAUCCCCCCAGGUACAUACCACCACGCUAAGAUUUAACCACAAUUUCUGAUAAUAAUUUGGAUUCACGGGUAUUGCAGAGCUUGUUUUCUGAAGAGUCAAUGGAUUCUGAGUUGUCCAGGCUCCACUUCGCUAGCAAAGAAUGGGCUUCUUUCCAGGUAAAGUCCUUUGCCAAGUUAUUAUUAUUUUGCUUUUAAAGGAUUUGCUUGGGAUGAGACCUCAUCUACUAAAUACCACCCUUUGUCCCAUAUUGUUACUCGAGCGCAGAUAUCUGCAAAUUGCGAAUUACAUUCACAACCAGCUAAGCUACACCUGCCGUGAGGCACCCAAGUUUGUACUUUUUCAUUUGGACAUGCUUGGUUUGUUAAUAGUAGUCUGGGGUCAAGAAUUAAGAAAUCUGUAUACUCUCAAUCAAAGAGCACAGUCGAUCAAAUUCAGAUUAGAUUAUGUUCCAUUCUUAUAGGUCAAGUAGGCCACAAAUUUGGCCUACUCUGUAUCAAUGCUUUCUUACACUGUAAGUUAGCAAUAAGAAAGCUGUAACAAAAUUUGAGUCUACGUAGUCUUAACCAAGCCGGUUUAAGCACUCUUUUUUUUAAAAAAAAAAACAUUGAGGGAUGUAACUGACCUUGUCCGAUUAUGGACCCAUCUAACUUGCUUUCUUGUAUGGCUGAGAAGAAAAACCUGCAUUCUUGAAAAUUAAAUUGUCUUUAAUAUCUUUCAGAUGUCUAGGCUUGCGGUAGCUUGAGAAGAACUAUAAGCAAAUUUAUGAUGGAGUAUAAUGCAAAUGCGAUUCUAUUAGUUUAUUGAAAUCUAACAAAUACUUUUAUUCAUCGCACUCAGUAAAUUUUGCCUGAAUUAGUCCAAUAAGUUGUACUCUGUCUCAGCAAAAUACCUUGACCAAAAUAAAAAACGUAGUGACACGAUUGUUAAUGUCUUAGCUGUUUUUCUGUUUCUGAAUUGUUUCAGCUGGUAAAUCAUGGAGUGAGCCCUGCAUUUCUAGAGAACGUAAAGAAAGAGAUUCCGGAAUUCUUCAAUCUAAGCAUGAAAAAAAAAAAAUUGGCGGUCUCCAGGAGCUGUGGAAGGAUUUGGACAAGCAUUUGUUGUAUCCGAGGAACAAAAGCUUGAUUGGAAUAACAUUUUCUUCAUGACAACUCUUCCAGUUCAUCUGAGGAAACCCCACUUGUUUCCUAAGCUCCCUCUUUUCCCCCUCAAGUUUCUCUCUCUCUAGGCAGUUAUUUGAUGAUUGCAAAUGUAUUAUGUUCAGAGAAAGAUCCCAAGUCAGUUAUAUUUAGCAAAAUUUGACAACCAAACAUGAUUUUGAAAGAAUACUGCUAAAUAAUAACUUAUUUAACAAUCCACCACAAUCAUGUACUAAACCUUCUAAUUGCGUCUUCUUUUUUCUUGUAGGAAAUUUUGGAAUUUAUUCAGUGGAGUUAAAAAUCUUUGGCCAUGAACCUGGUAUCGAAAAUGGGAAAAGUUUUAAAUAUCAAAGACGAAGAAUUGAGAGAAUACUUUGAAAAUGGUUUCCAAUCAAUGGGGAUGAACUAUUACCCUCCAUGUCCUUAGCCGGAGAAGGUUGUGGGCCUCACAACUCAUUGUGAUGACUCUGCUCUUACCAUUCUGCUGGAAAUCAAUGAAGUAGAAGGCCUCCAGAUCAAGAAGGAUGGAAAGUGGAUUCCUGUUACACCUUUCCCAAAUGCUUUCGUUGUCAACAUUGGAUAUGUGUUGGAGGUAAUUAUUAUGAUAAGUUAUUUUAACUUGACAUUCAUAUGAGCUAGCUAAUGUGUGCUUUCAUUAAUUCAUGUUGCUCCACUUCCUAAUGCUUUCAUUGGAGACACAUUGGAGGUAAUAAUUAUAGUAAAUUACUUAACUUGGCAUUUAUAUGCGCAUGCUCAUGUGCUUUAAUAAUUUUUACAUGGCAGAUUAUAACCAAUGGGACAUACCGUAGCAUUGAGCAUCAUGUAAUUGUAAACUCUGUACAAGGAAGACUUUCCAUUGGCACAGUUUACUCAGUGAGGUAUGAUGGUGAAAUGUACCCUGCGUCCAAUUUGGUCUCUGAAAAUACUCCUUCAUUGUUUAAAAGAGUGAAAGUUGAAGAAUAAUUUCAGGAAUCUGUGUGCUCGUAAGCUUAGGGGAAAAUCUCAUCUGGAUGCCUUGAGAAUUGAACAUGUUCAAGAUUAUUAUAAGUUUAUUUUGGAUAACUAAAGAGUGUAGUACAAAAACCGUGGGGGACCUUGCUAUUACAAUUGUGUGUGGAACUAAAAAUAAGAAAUAAGUGUAAGAACAAUAAAUCCUUUGGUGAAAAUCAUCACCUCAAUUUAGGAACAUGUAUGUUGUAUCACCAAAAAUUAAUAAUAGAAUAUGCGGCAGUGUACCUAAGUUCAUAAUGCACAAUUGCUCUUUAGAGCCGAGUAGUUUGUCUUCCAAAUAAACAUGUUCUCCUAAAGAAUUCUUUAAACUUCUCUAUACUGUCUCUUUAAUGAUGAGAUGUCAAUAGAGAAUAGAACAAUACGUGUGACCUAUGGAUAAUAACUACUUAUAUAUAUAGAUUUUCCUUUUGUUUUUAGGUAUUCUUAUUUCAACCCAUUAUAAAAAUCAAAAUUAGUCUUAAGUCUCUAUACAUUAAAGGCCCACAAUCUAUUAGAUACAUUAAAACCCAAAUUACCGAAAACCUUAAUAGACCAAUUUUAAUUUGGCUUAGAGUUAGACUAUUGGCACCCCUCCAAAAUUCUUCUAAAACCCCUUUUUCAAUAAUGCUAAGCUUAAUGCCAAAAAUACCCUUAUUUCUAAAUAAACACAUUUAAUUUGUGAAUCUUUUAAUUUUUAUUAUUUUCUCGCUCCUCACAAACAAAAUUUUAUGGGUGAUAAGUUUCUUGAUAAAAAUCAAUUAAUAAAAUAAAAUAUCUGUAAGAUUAUAAUGUAAAAAGUUUUAUUAUGAGCCUUAAAAAAAGGUAGAUAAUUUUUUCAAAAUGUGUUUUGUUUAUUAUCAAUAGAUUGUCUUAGUAAUUGAAGAAAAAUUUACAGAGAAUUUGAGAAAAAAAUUACAUGUGUGAGUUUGAUGGCAGAGAAAAUACAAGAGCUUUUUUUUUAAGAGAGAAAAUACAAAAGUUUGAAGUGAGAUAAAAUAGAUGUGAGAUAUAUUAGAGUAUUUGUCCUUAAAUGUAAUUGUAAUAGAAGAGGAAGUUUAAAAGGAUUUUGAAGGGGUGUCAAUAGUCCAACUCUUUGGCUUAAUCUUAUAUGACAAUUCACAUCAUAUAAUUAUUCACAUAUAAGCGCAACAUUGGAUCAAGGAUCCAACCAUACCAGAUUAAAGAUCCAACAACCUUUCACUUGGACUAUAUAUAUAACUUUGUAAUUAUACUUUACAAAAAUAACUAUAUGAGGUCAACUUUACUGUCAUUACCAAAAUGCAUCUAUAGCCAAUUCGGUCCAUCUAUCAUACCAACAUAGGAUCAAAAUGACCUUUAUUACAAAUAUCGUAACUUGACCCAUCAAUGCUCACUAUGCCAGCAUAACUUAAUGACAUAGAUCAUGAUAUGGUGUAGGAUGGAAAUUUUAUGUAAUGUGAUUUCAACAUGCCUAUUUUCAAUUGAUCCACCUUAAACAUUAGUGAGAUCAAAUUAUACAAAAUUAGAGUGUAAAUAAACCAAAAUUUUAUUUCUGUAGAAAAUAGCCUUAAAUAUCCCCAAACCGAAAAAUGUUUAUAUCAUAAAAGCAUUUAAAAGUUACAAACUCCCAUUAAAAAUGAAUAUCAAUAUCCUUUAAUGACAUGACACCCAUAUGAACAAUGUGCUCAUGAAACAUUUUAAAUGACAUUCCCUUAGUAAACGGAUCUGUAAUCAUGGAGUUUGUACCAUUAUACUUUAUAGACAAUUGUCCACUCUGAAUUCCUUAGGAACUUGAUGUCUAUAUACUGUGACAUCGUUGAGCUCUUAUUGUUAUUGGAAUAUAGCACUGCUGACUUAUUGUCACCAAAUAACUUAAGUGGUCUAUCAUAAGGGUGUCAAAAAAGCCUGCCCGGACCGGACCCGGCCCCCGGACCGCAUGCACAUAAAAACCGGACCCAGGUUUGAAAUUCUCAAACCCGGACAUUUCCGGGCCCGGGUCCGGGUUCAACACCAAAAACCCGGAACCCGGACCGGACCCGGUUUUUUAAUAAAUUUUUUUAAAAAAUAUAUAAAUAUAUAAUUAUGAAUUUAUGAUAUGUUGGAUGUUAUUUAAAUUUAUUGUGUGAUUAUUGUGUUGUUGAAUUUAAUUUAUUUAUUUUAUAUAUAGAUUGAAUGAGUUUAAGUUAGAAAUUGGAUGAAUUUAGGUAUUAGAAAGUGGAUUGAAAUAAUUUUAAUUUAUCAUUUGUGCAAAAUUUGCAUUGUUAGUGUGUUAUAUAUUUGUAUUUGACUAUUUGCUUUUUUAAAGUUUGAGAUUGAAUGAGUUUAUUUGAUUAUUUUCUUUUUUUAAAUUUGCAUUGUUAGAGAAAUGAAAGAAAAAAUUGAAGAAAAAAAUUGAAGUUAUCACAUGCGGGUUUAGAAAGCCCGGAUCAAAACCCGGACCCGGAAGGUGCCGGGCUCAACCCCGGACCGCACCCGAAAAAAUUGGGUUUUAACCCGGGUUCGGUCUUGUAUUUCUCUCAUCCAGUCCCGGGCAACACCAAAACCCGGACCGGACCCAAAUUUUGUCAAGCCUAGUCUAUCAAUACUAUUUAAAAUGAGUAAUUCUAUGACGAAAUUUUGUAGCCAUAUUCCUUGAUUGGAUAUUUCGUAACAUGCUGUGAACUCCGCUGCUAUAGUAGAAAAGGCUAUAAGAGACUGUUUAGCACUCUUUCAGGAAACAACACCCCUAGCCAGUAGCUAGAUGUAACCAAAAGUAGAUUUCAUAUUAUCUUGGGAUCUAACAAAAUCAGAGUUAGCAUAAUGAUCUCAAGCUGAUCUAACUUUCGAUGUAGUCUUUUGUUCUCUGUAAGUAUCGCAAGACCCGUUUGGCUGUUUCCCAAUAGUUUACCCCUGGAUUACUUAAAUAUCUAUCCAACAUUCCAGUAAUGUAUGCAAUAUUCAGUUGCGUACAAACCUAAACAUACAUCAGACUUUCUAUUACUGAUGUAUAAGGAAUCUUCUACAUUUUUUAUUCCUUAAAAUCAUCAUUAGGGCACUAAUUGUGUAACAUCCAUUAUUUUUGUUUUAUUUAUUUAUUUUUUAUUAUUUUACUACUACUACUACUACUACUACUACUACUACUACUACUACUACUACUAUUAUUAUUAUUAUUAUAUCUAUUUUAGAGAAUAUAGUAUUUUAGGCUAAUGAUUUUAAGCGUGUUUUAAUUUUUCUUUAUUUAUUUGAUUUACCAAUUUAGUAAAUACCUUAUUAAAAAAGGAAAUAAAUUCCUAAAUAGGUAAGGGUGUUAAAAGGCUUGGCUUUAUAAAAGCUUCUCUUGCGUUGUUUUAUUUCUCAAAAUCCUAGAGGCUGAAUACAACAACACACACAAGAGUAAACCUUUUUUUUUUAAGAAGAGAAGUAGAUUUUGAUUGGUUUUUUUCUUUUCCAUAAAGAAAUUCUUGAGUUUUGAAUUUGUUUUGAAGGAUUUAGCCUUCUGGUUUUAUUUGUGAUUUUAUGUGAUUGAUUGAAUGAUUUUGUGUGUAUUACAUUGAUAAAAUUGUGAAAGCAUGAUCAUCUAUUGAUUUAUGUUGUUAUUGAGUGAAAGUGGUGCUAUUAUUUUAUCUUGAAAACAGUGAACAACAUAGAUUCAAUGUUUUAUGACUGCUGUUUUCAUUAAGUCUCAUGCAUAAAAUUUUAUAAUUUAUUAAACUAGACAUCUUUAUCUUUCUAUUUAUAUGUUUAUCGUUCAAAACUCAUUGUAUAUUAAUUUUUUUGAUUUUUCAAAAUUGGAACACUAGUGUUGGAAAAUUCCAAUUUUCAGCAGCAGUUCUCGUUACUAUAAUUUAUUUGGUAACUCAAACGAUUUCUGAAAAUUCUAGGAACGUUUUUCAUUUUACACAUAUAUGUCUAGUUUCUGUAUACUUAAAUUCCUAAUUUUUGGCUUUAUAUAAAAAUAAUUAAAAAUCAUAGAGCUAGGCUACCGUAAUAUUGGAAAUUGUUUUCUAGAAUUGCGAGGGUUGAUAUUGAAGCGAGUUUGGGUUACUUUUUCAUAGUGAAUGCUAGGGGUGGGCAAAAUACCCGACCCGAUCCGACCCGAAAAAAUUCGGGUUCGGGUCGGUUCGGGUUGUUAUUGAAACCCGAACGGGUGAAAAAUUGCAAACCCGAUCGGGUUGUGAUUGGGUCGGGUAAAACCCGAUCCGAUCCGAAUACCCGAUCGGGUCGCACAAAAAAAAAAAAUCACUAAACCUAUAAACACAUCACACAUGCACACACCAGACACCAGACACCACACACACGGCCAUGCAAAGUUACAACUCAAAAAGUCACAAAAACAAGUGGCUAAAAAAAUAUUGACAAAUAAAAAACAAAAUAUAAUUAUAACCCACGCACACAGGCCACAGCCACACACAAACAUUGAAACAUAUCUUCGCUGCCUUCACAGCCCUCAUCCCCACAGCCCUCAUCCUUACACUCACAACUUCACACACACACACAAAUAUCGCAAAAGCCAAAAGCAAAGCGGCAGCUAGCAGCCAACGCAGAGAAGAGAACGGAGGAAGCGCAGCCAGUGCAUGCAGCCACCUAACCCGUGACUGGAUCUACUGCUCCGCGACAUCCGUAGCUACCAGAUCUGCUGUUGCCGGAUAUCUACAGGAUCUGUUGCUGCUGGAUCCGCUGCGCUGCUAUCGGAUCUGCUGUUGCAGCCUCCACCAUCACCGAGUUCCACCGCGAAGGUGCGAACCGGCAACUCGAAUUCUUUUCUUUUUUUGAUGUUUUGAUGGGAUAUAAUAAUAUAUUAUAUAUUAUCUGUUAAUUGCUAAGUAUAUGUAUUGUUAAAUGUUAAUAAUAAAAUGAGGGAAAUUCUUGUAUGGAAAGUUUUGGAGUUUAAUUUAUUAAGUCUGUGGAAGCUUAAAUAAUAAGUAUGAAUUGAUUUCUUUUUUUUUGUUUUGUUUUUAAUGAAUAGAUUAAGCAAAUUAAGCAUUAAAAUUAAAUAUUUUGCAUUUGAUCUGUGCAAUGUUUCACCCGAUCCGAAUUAACCCGAAUUUAACCCAAUUAUUUGACCCGAUCCGAUCCGAUCCGAAUAUAUUCGGAUCGGGUUACAACUUCGGGUUGAGUUCGGAUGAAUUCUUUUCUAACCCGAUCAACCCGAAAUCCAAUCGGGUUGAUCCGAACCCGACCCGAACCCAAAAAUGCCCACCCCUAGUGAAUGCCUUAUAAAUUUAACUUUUAUAUUCAAUGCAAACGUGUUCACAAUAGUUUUUUGUAAUAUUUUUGAUUUUUCUGACAUAAUUAUAGCUUGUUAGAAAUUAACUCUUACAAGACGAUCGAGUGUAGUUUAGUGAAUUGAUGUGCUUUAGUAAGAGUAAAUGGUUUAAGGAUAUUUUGGCUUUCUUAUCAACGUCAAAAUUGAAAAAAAAAAUUGAUAAGAAUCUUAUCUUGAUAAUUAUAGGCCAAGAACGAGCUCGUGUGAUUGGGGUUAUUGUUGAUUGCUUCGUAUUGAGUUAAGUGAACUCAUGCAUAAUGUUUAUUAUAGUUAUAUAUGUAAAUAUCUAGAAAAGAAUAAUGUUAUUCAUAUAAAUUGACAUUUUAUGGUUUUGAAGUUAUUUUACUCUUAUAUUUUAUGAUAAUAAAUAAUGUUUUGAUUAAAACUUUAUUUAAAAUAUUUUCUUAAACUAUUUAAAAAAUAACUUUAAAAUAAUUGUCUUUCCAUAAAUUGGUCUUCCUUAAAAAUAUUUGUUAAGCUUGCCAAUUCAAUGUCUUAUAAGAGCAUUUUAUCAUAAUAUUACUGAAUGAUUGAUAUUGAAAGACUGAAAUUGUAUUUAAGAUUUUGGCUCAUUAACCGUAGUUAUUGUUGCUGAUAUAACCGAACAUUUAACUAUAUUGUGCGCACCUAUUGAUGAUUAUAGUUGGGUAACGUACCCUAAUUGAACUACUAACCGAGUCAUCGGGGUUAUAGGUGACUUACUAAACUAAUACCGGGUCAUUAGGGUUAUAGGUGACUUAUUGAACCACUGGCCGGGUCACCGGAAGUACAGGCGACACUAUAUGACAUGAGCAAUUGAAUAAAUGAAUGGUUAUAUUGAUAAAUGAUUUCCGAAAUGAUUAUUUAUUAAAAAUGGUUAUUACAUUAUGAUUUAACUAAUUAUAAGUUUUAAUGUACACUUAUGGUACUUUAUAAUGAUUGUUUUGUAUUUUAUCGUUAUUAGUAACCUUAUGCAUGAGUUAGUGUUGAGUGUUAGAAAAUGCAUAUUUAUAAAGGAGAAAAUUGUCAUUUUACAUUUCAUGUCUUACUAACAGCCCUUACUUUUAUGUAUUUAAGCUUCUUGUAAUUUAAUUAUGUGUGUUUUAUUUUAAUUAAGUAUUUUAUGUAUUUUAGGGGCAUCAUGGUCAUUUCACAAUAAACGAGAGAUCAGACGGCAAAAUGGACAUCACUUUUGAACUCAGGACGGUUGAAAAUCUUAGGAGGAGCAUAAAAGGAAAAAUGACACUGUUCACAUGUACGGUACUGUCUAUGUUACUAUUCACGACACUGUUCACAUAGACGGAUCGAUGAUGUGGCAUUGACCGAUGAUGUGGCAUUGACUGAUGAGGUGUCACGAUCCUGUUGGACUAAAAUUCUUAUGCACUGUUGAUUGAUGACGUGGCAGCAUAUCAGUGGACCAAAAAUCUCGCGUACGGUACAUGCAUUAUACAGGAUUAUUUUCAACCAAACUGAGUCACUGUUCAACUCGGGGCAAACCGUGUUACUGUUCAUCCAAGUGGUCAAACCGCAUACUGUUGACUGAUAACGUGGCGCAAUCCUGAGCGUCCAAACUGUUUUUAAUCCGAUGGCCACGAUUUACUUAAUGUAUCUACAAAAAGGGGGCCUCCCCUCUAAUUUGAUACCUCUGAAUCCAUUUUUUGGAUCCAUUUUCUAUAAUUCCUUCUCCAUCUUGUAUUUUCUACGUAUUUUAAUAAAUUUCUAUUUUGCCCCUAGUUCAAUUAUGAGUAACUAAUUUUCUUUCAAGCUUGGGUUGAAGGUGAAGUCUCAACAUGUGUCAUGGGCUUUAUUUGGUAAAUUUAUUUUCUCUUCCCCUCUAGUUUUUGUGGAUGUUUUGACUUCUCGUCGAUAAAUAAUAAUAAUAUUGUUUAGUACCGCCUUGGUUUCACCGGCUCCCUAAUACAAAGUUAUUAUUAUUUGGCACGAUAAGCCCUUAGCACCAUAUUGAUUAGAGCGUAGUUCAUGAGGUGUGAAUUCCCCCCUCAUGAUUUAAUUGGUAUUAAUAAGGAAUAUUUAGCCCAUGGUGCAUUUGAUAUGAAUUCAAAUACCCAAGUACGUCAAUUUAAUAGAUUUUCACUUUAAUUUCUUCUCGCCAUUUCAAUUCCAAUUUUUAGGAUAAUUUAAAUCACUUCCACCACAAAUCCAACCACCUCAUACAAAAUUAAUUCUAUAUAUAAUUAAAAUCCACCUCCUCGUGAGAUCGACACUCGUCACUAUUAGUCUAUUAUACAAUAGAUUCGUAAGCUUGCGAGUUCAAUAAAAUUUGCACAACAAGUUUUUGGCGCCGUUACUGGGGAGGUAAGUUAUUUUAAUUUGUAGAAUUAAUUUUUGUCAAUAAUUUCUUUUAUUUGUUUUCUUUUUUUUUCUUAUUAAAAAAAAGGGAAAAAAGAGAGUGAAUUUGCAUUGAGAGAUUAGUAUUUCUUUUCUUUUUCUCUUCUUUAAAAUUCUGUAAUUUAAUUUUCAAGUUAUUUUUUUCUUCUUUGUAAUUUUUGUUUAUCUUACUAAUUUUUUUAAGUUAAUUUAUUUCACGUAUUUUUUUGUGUGUAUUUUUAUAGUAAGGUUGUAAUAGCGCGAUAAGGUUAGUAUCGUAAUUUCUCCCUCUUCUUUAUUUUUAUUUGUUUUGUUCCCAUCUUUAUUUUUAUUUUAUUUGUUUUACAUGCAUAGUCGAAGAUCAUUAUUACCUAAUCUUAAACCUAUAGACCUGGAACUAGAAAAAAUACUUCGCACACACAAGCACGUUAAAAAUAAAUUUGGAAUGGAUUUACAAGUACCACAAGAGAGGCCAUUUAAGGACUAUUUUAGUCCUUUAGCUAAUUUGAGCACAUCAUGUAUAAGAUACUCAAAUGUAGCUGCUACGAGUUUUGAACUAAGACCUAGUCUGCUAAAUUGUCUCCCAACAUUCUAUGGCCUAGAAAAUGAGGACCUUUAUAAUUAUUUGAAUGAUUUUCAUACUAUUUGUCAAACAUUUAAAUAUGAGAAUUUUUCAUAUGAUGAUGUAAAACUUAGACUAAUCCCAUUUUCUUUAAAGGAUAGAGCUCGUUCAUGGUUUAAUAUAUUGCCUGCUAAUACCAUUUCAUCAUGGGAACAAAUGGUAACGAAAUUUUUAAAUAAAUAUUUCCCAGUGCAUAAAACUAAUGCUAUUCGCAGGGAAAUUUCAAAGUUUACCCAUAGAGAAGAUGAGCAGUUUUUCGAAACAUGGCAGUAAUUUAAUGGGCUACUCUUGAAGUGUCCACAUCAUGGGUACGAGAAAUGACACCAAUGCCAAUACUUUUUGGAGGGAUUGUUGCUGAAUGUGUAAGAAUGACUAAUGGCAACAAGUGGAGGAGAGCUAAUGUCAAAAAGUGCAUCAGAGAUUUGGGAAUUCUUCUAGCGACAAGUGGAUAAUUCCCAACAACGGAGUCGAUCACUCAGGAAUACUAGAAGAAUUAAGGGAGUGAAUGAGGUUCACAUUGACGAGUCAACUUCAGGAAUCAAAGAAGUCAAGGAGAUGGUUGAAGGUAUCGCUCGACAAAUAGCAUCAUUAUCGACUGCUAAAUCAACAGAGCCACAUGACCAUGACUCAUACUCAGAUCAAGCCAAUACCAUAGGUGUAAUGAGAAGCCAUCAAAUUACAACCCAUACUCCAACACAUAUAACCCAGGAUGGAGAGACCACCCCAAUUUUUUAUGGUCUCAAGGAUUCCAACAGAAUGAAGCAGCAGCUCCAGCUCCACCAAUGCAACGAAUUCCUCAAGUUCCUCAAGCCUCUCAGCCACCAUUUAGACCAUACAAUCAGAACCAGAACUACUCUCAACCCAGACCAUGGGAGGAUGCAUUCCAGAAUUUCAAGAAUGUUACUCACUCUACGAUUGAGCAACAGAACCGCACCAUUGAUAGACUACGAAAUGAGUUGAGAGCAGGUUUCAACUCACAAGCCCAAUCAGUUUCAAGCCUUGAGAAGAUGGUGGGACAACUUGUUUCUUCAGUUCAGACCUUGGCAAUGACCGUUGAGAAAGGUAAAUUUCCAAGUCAACCAGUGCCUAAUCCUAAAGGAGUACAUGAUGCAAGUACUAGUUCACCACAGCAGCAUGGAGAGGUAAAAGUUGUCAUGACUUUGUGAAAAGAAAAAGAAGUCGACAACAAAGUGGAGAUGUAGGUGAUAAAAGAAAAUCAAAUUGUACCUGUAAAUGUUGAGGACUCAUCACCGGAGGAGAAAGAAGAAACGAACCUACGAGAAUAUGUUCCUAAAUCUCCAUUUCCUCAGAGGUUAGUAAAAGGAAAAAAGGAAAAAUUCACAGGUGAGAUUCUUGAAAUCUUCAAACAGGUAAGUGUUAACAUCCCUUUGUUUGACGCUAUAAAACAAGUUCCAUCUUAUGCUAAGUUUCUUAAAGACCUUUGUAUUAAAAAGAGAAACAUUCAUGUUCAAAAGAAGGCAUUUUUGACAGAAAACGUUAGUUCUAUACUCCAACAUAAAAUUCCUCUAAAAUGCAAAGACCCAGGCUCCCCCACUAUCUCAUGUAGUAUAGGGAACCACACAAUUGAAAAUGCUUUGUUGGAUUUAGGAGCUAAUGUAAAUCUGUUGCCUUAUUCAGUUUUCGUGAAACUUGGAUUGAGAGAAUUACACCCAACUCCAGUGGGGUUGCAGCUUGCAGAUCGGUCCACGAAAAUACCUCGUGGCAUUAUGGAAGACGUGCUUAUCCAGGUAGACAAGUUUUAUUUUUCUGUUGAUUUCAUUGUAAUUGACACUCAACCAAUUCAGGAUUCAAGGAAGCACAUCCUCAUUAUUCUAGGCCGACCUUUCUUGGCAACUGCAAAUGCUCACAUUCAAUGCAGGACUAGAAAUAUGCAGUUGUCCUUCGGCAACAUGACUAUGGAGCUGAACAUCUUCAACAUUGCCAAAUAACCUCACAAUGCAGAUGAUAAAAUUGUUGAUGCGGAUUUAAUAGAAACAUUAGUUGAUAAUACCUUUGUUUCAAACCUUAGUGAUGACCCUUUACAAACAUGUUUAACUCAUUUUGGUUUGGAUUUUGAUAUUGACAGAUCAGUCGAUGAGGUCAACGAAUCACCGUUUAAUUCCAGAAACGAGAUUAUGUGUCUGUCCGUUUACCCUUUCACCGUUUGCCACAAUCGGUGAACCGUUUUUCAACAGAGAGUCCUCUAACAGUUACUCCUUAGCCGUUAAGCGCUUAGGCUUUCACCGUUUCCCUUUCUUCAGCCUCUGGAAGUUACCCUUUAACCGUUUUCGCGAAGUCUAAAAUCUGUUCAAAGGUUUUCUUCUCCUUCUCCAGUUACCCUUUCACCGUUUCCUCCAUUGUUGCGCAGCCGAAGGUUUCUUUGUCCUCAAAUCCUCAUUUUUUCUUGCUUUCCUUGCCAAAUCAAACCUUCAAAAUUAUUUCUUAUCACCUUUAGAACAAUUCUACCGAUUCAAAACUUCAAAUCGAGCCCAAAAUUAAAAAAUCCCAAAUCUAAACCCUAACUGUCGCGGGUCGGGUUUCUUCAUUCUUAAUCCGAUUUCCACAUUUCUUCAACCAAAUUGAACAUCCUACUCACAUCCUCUACUCUUCUUUAAACCUUUUAUCGAUUUACUUUCGUCCCAUUACGUGUUUCCAUGGCUGAACCCUCUCGGAGAAAUCCCAGGCGUAAAUCUGUGCCCCCAAUGAAUCCCAUACCACCUCGGGAGGUCUCUGAGUUUUCAAGGAUUCACUUCCCCACACCUGCCUUGGCUAAGCGGUUCGAAGAUCGCUUUGAUGGUCGAAAGGUACUUGAUCCUUUUUUUGUUGAUAUUGAUAAUUUCCGCAACUUAGUUGUAUGUGGUAGAAGCAUUAGGGAUAUGCUUCAGCCUUGGGAGGCUGCCAUUGAUUUUGAUGACCGAGUUUAUCCAAACUUAGUGCGAGUCUUUUAUUCGAACAUGGAAAUCUCCGACACUCGCCUAAAUAGGAUAGUUACUCAUGUCGGCCGUGUGCCAAUAGAGUUUGAUGAUGCGGACCUAGCUGACCUUCUUGGUAUCUCUUGUGAGGGGCUUGAUAUUUACACCUCUAGGAAAGCCCUCUCCUUUGAUAGUUUUUCUCAUACUCAUGGCGUCCGUAAUAUAUGUCGUCGUCAAGACUUAUCGGAUGAGAUUUGUUUGCUUCCGUUUCGGUCUCAACUUUUACCUCUCCAAGUUCGUAUUCUUCACACUAUUUUACAGCACAUAGUGACUCCUAGGAAGGGUCACUCGGAUGAGGUUACGAGGUUGGACGUUCCCUAUUAGAUAGCCUUCUUACAGACCGUCCCAUUAACCUCGGGUAUAUUAUUGUGCGACAUAUGUUGAGUACUCCAGCGAUCAACCAUCGCUUGCUUCCUUAUGGCAGUAUCAUCACUAAAAUACUGCGACGCUUUGAGGUGCCACUUCUUGAUAUUGGACAUAUGGAGACUCGACGGAUUGGUUCCGAGGCCAUGACCAGUAUCGGAUUCUCUAGAAAGAAUGGAGUGUGGAUAAAGACAAGCAACUCCAAAAACCGGGAUACCUUGAUUGCUCCAGAGGACGAUCGGAUGCUCAAUGAUGUCUAUUCUCCCGAUCAGCUUCUUGACUUUAGAUUAGGAGCUCAUCCUCAUCCUCCGCGUCGCCAUUUUUUCCCUCGGCCUCCAGCUGACUCAGACUUUGAGGAGCGUGCGAUGGAUGCUGAUAUUCCCUCCUCUUCCGAGCCGCCUCCUGCUCCUGAGCCUUAUGCUGUUCCCGAGCAGCCAUCUGCCUCUAUGCCGCCUCCAGCUCCAGUUCAGCCCCUUGCUUCAGAUGCAGUGCAGCAGCUGAUUACUGAUGUUCAGCGGAUUUCGGAGCGACAGCAGCUGAUUCUUGAUCGGUUGGACAUCAUUUCCCGUGAUCACCAGCAGCUCCGCUCUGACUUUCAGAUUUUCCAGCAGCAGAGCAUUGACCAGUAGCUCAAGCUUAUCGCCGGACAGCGCACUCUUCUCAGCUAUUUCGGCUAUGAUCCGGGGAGCACAUCUUCUCCGCCUCCAUAGUUUCUGAGUUCUGUUUUCGCACAUACAUUUUUCCAUUUUGGUUGUUAGCUUUUUCAUACUUCGUAUAUGGAUUUUGAUGCAUAUGUGUGUGAUGUUCUUGAUGAUUAGAUGAUUGAUGCUUUGUGAUUGAAUAAUUGUUGGUAUGUUUGUGGAUAUUGAAGUGUUCUUUUGUUUUGAUCAUGGAGUUGUUGGCUUGUUGAAAGAAGAAGUUGGUGUCAAUCUAUUUUUUGAAGUGUUCUAUCUCAUUUUGUAUAAGUGGUUUUGAUCAUUUUUAAGGGGAAACUCUGCCAAAAUUUUCGCUCGCCAAAGCCGGGCAACUUCUUUAAUGGAUUUGUGUAUUUCUUAUUUCUUCUUUUCUUUUUGAUGAUGAAGGGGGAGAUAAUUAUGGUUUUUAAGAUGGUUUUUAAAUGGGGAGAUAUUAUUUUAAGAUGGAUUUAAAAUGGGGAGAUUUAAAGAAAAAAUCCUUUUAUUCAUAUUUCUCAAUUUGUCCAUACAUGUAGGGGGAGCACAUAUUAAGGGGGAGCUAAACAUUGAAUGAAAUUUGUCAUCAUAAAAAAUGGGGAGAUUGUUAACAUAAAUAUGUUAAUAAUAUUGAUUUUGAUGAUAACAAAUUUUAUAUGGUUUUUGACAAAAAUAUUGGAGAUAUUUCUUAAUAAACGAAAGCCCUUUUAUUCAUUGCCUUAUUUUUUCAUAAAAGAUGGACUUUCAAAUUAGAAAGAGAUUCUCUACAAAAAAAAAAACUCGUUUAAAAUUGCAAUUCUGGUUAUAAACGGUUAACCAUUUUAAACGAUUAAAGGCAGAGAGCAACAUAUUUCCUAAACCUUUAACCGUUUAUGAAAAACGGAAAACACAAAAGAUGGGAAGGUUACUGGAACUUAACGGUGAACCGUUUAUUUUAAACGGUUAACCGAUUAACACCAGAGAGCGACAUAAUGCCUAAAGCUCUAACCGUUUAUGAAAAAUGGAAAUCACCAAGAAUGGAAAGGCUACUGGAACUUAACGGUGAACCGUUUAUUUUAAACGGGUAACCGAUAAUGUCCAGAAUUGAAGGUUGUCCUCCUCUGGCACUGAUUAACGAAAAAUGAUAAGGCUAAAUUAUUUUGCAGGUUACUGGAGACAAACGGCGAACUGUUUAUUUCAAACGGUUAACCGAUAAUAUCCAGAAACGUUACUUCACGCAAGUUCUUAACCGUUUAGCGUAAACGGAUAACAAAUGCUCAUCUUGCAGGUCUCUGGUAGUUAACGGCUAAAGGUUAAUUACAAACGGCAAACCGUUUAUUUGAAAUCUAGCCCAACGGUAACUUUGACCAACCGAAACGGUUAACCGUUUAGGGUUAACGGCGAACCAUUUUCUGUCCGACAGUUUGUAACGGCUAGAUUUUCAGCUCCAGAUAUAAAUAAGCUCAUUCAAAUUCAAAGAAGGUUGAUCACAACACGACCAUUUUGAGCUAAUAUUCGAGAAUGCAAUCUUCAUAGAGCUUAGAACACAUUAUUGCUUCAUCUAUUCACAUAUUAAGCAUCAUUGUGUAAUCUUAUAUAUUGUGAGAGGUAAAACAGUUUGUAAUCUUUUACUUUGAGUGAUUGUAAGUGUUGGGAUACACUUGGGUUAAGAGAUUGGGGAUAAUCUCUUGUUGUAAAGGUCCAUUGACACCUUGGAAGUCAAGUGUAAGCAUUUGAAGCCUUGGAGGCUUGCUUAGUGGAAUCCUCAAGCCCGGAAAGCUUGGAGGCGUGGACGUAGGCGAGGUUGGCCGAACCACGUAAAAAUCUCGGUGUUUGAAUCCCUCUUCCCUUAUCUUUUUAUAUUGUGAUCAUCUUAAUUGUUAUUGCUUUGAAUUUGAUUUAUAAUUGCAUUAAGAUUUUCUUUAAUAAAUUGAAUAAUUUUUUAGAAUCCCAAUUCACCCCCCCUCUUGGGUUGCAUACUUGUAUUUCAUAUUUUCCACAUAUACCGGUAUAGUCUCUGACUUUUCUUUUACACUGCUAUCAUCUUCAUCUCUCGUUUGCAGUUGAUCUUCUAUAAAGAUAACAUCUCUGCUGAUGAUGAUCUUGUGGGCAGUGGGGUCCCACAGACGAUACCCUUUUACUCCAUCAGCAUAUCCCAAGAAGAUACAUCUUCUAGAUUUUGGAUCCAGUUUUGUUCUUUCUUGGGCAUUGUACAUCACGUACACAGGACAUCCAAAUGCAUGUAGGUAGGAAUAAUCAGCUGGCUUUCCAGUCCACAUCUCCAUCGCUGUCUUCAGCCCAAUAGCUGUAGAUGGCGACCGAUUUACUAUAUAACAAACAGUUUUGGCUGCUUCUGCCCAAAAUGAAUUGGGUAGACCAGCAGUCCUCAACAUAGCUCUUAUUCUUUCUGUAAGAGUUCUGUUCAUCCGCUCCGCCACUCCGUUUUGUUGAGGAGUGUAUGCUACAGUGAACUGUCUCUGAAUACAUUCUUGCUUACAGAAAGCAAGAAACUCGCCGUCUGUAUACUCUCCACCAUUAUCCGUCCUCAAUUACUUGAUCUUUUUACCAGAUUCAAGUUCCACCCGCGCUUUGUAUUCUUUAAACACUGGAAAUACAUUUGACUUUUUUUUAAUUGGAUACACCCAACAUCUUCUGGAAUAAUCAUCAAUGAAAGUCACCAUGUACUUUGCACCUCCCAUGGAUAUAUCCGGUGAUUCCCAAACAUCAGAAUGAAUCAAGUUUAGAAUGCAUUUACUUCUAGCAAUAGAUCUACUAAAUUUUAAUUUAUGCUGCUUACUUGUAACACAAUGCUCGCAAAAUGGUAAACUUACCGAUUUGAGCCCCGGAAGCAAUUUUCGCUCAGAGAGAAUCUUCAAGCCUUGUUCUGACAUGUGGCCAAGUUUGAGAUGCCACAUCAUCGUUGACUCUUCUCCAUUUGAUGCGACACACGCAUCAGCCUCCUGUAGUGUUUCUCCUUUAAGCAUGAAUAGAUUAGCACUGAUCUUUUCUGCAUUCAUCAAUACAAGCGCGCCUUUAACGAUCUUCAUAAUUCCAUUCUCCACAUGAGUUUUGUACCCAUGACUAUCCAUUUGUCCCAAAGACAAAAGAUUUUUCUUCAGGCCGUUGACAUGGCGUACCUCCCCAAUUGUGCGAAUUGUACCAUCAAACAUUUUUAUUUUGAUAGUACCAAUACCAGCGAUCUCCAAGGCAUGAUCAUUACCUAUAUAUACAGAUCCUCCUGAGAUAGGUUCAUAUGUGUGGAACCAUUCUCUCCGAGAGGUCAUGUGCCAGGUAGCUCCUGAGUCUAUAAGCCAGACAUCAGAUAGUCGUUUUCUGCCUUUUGAAACAAUUGUUGCCUCGCUGUAAAGAAUUUCGCCAUCAUCCGAGGUACUUGCUAUACACCCUUGAGCAUUUGAUGACUCAGGUUUUUUGCCCUCUUUUCUCUUCUGGUUACUCCAACACUCUUUCUUGACGUGCCCUUUCUUGCCACAGUUGUAGCAUUUAACAUUCUUCUUACUUCUGGAUUUUGAUCUACCAUGAUUUUGACUCCCACUAGGGCCACGUUCCGUUGAUCUCCCUCUCGUCACCGAUAGCGCCUCCGUUUGCUGUGAACUUACUUGUCUGUUUUCCUUAUUUUUUCGCCUGCUCUCCUCAUUUAAUACGGAGGCUGCAACAUCGUCAAAAACUAGACUGUCCACUGGAUUAUUGUUCGUCAGGUUGAUGAUGAGUUGAUCAUACGAAUCUGGUAGACUUUGAAGUAGAAGCUCUGCACGUUCAUUUUCCUCUAUAUUAUGACCCAACGUUGUGAGUUGUGAAAAUAGAGUCUUCAAGGUGUUGAUGUGGUCGGUCACCAUUGUAGAUUCCGCCAUUCGAAGAGUAUAAAGUUUCCUCUUCAAGAAAAUUUUGUUGUGUAGUGACUUGGCCUCGUACAAUUUUGUGAGAGUAUCCCAAAUUUCCUUCGUUGUGUUUUUCUCUGCCACACUGGAUAAUACUCCGUCUGCAAGUGCCAAGUGUAGAUCAGAAAUGGCGUUGCCGUCUACCUCGUUCCACUUGUCAUCAGUUAUCUCCAUGGGCCUUUCUCCAAUUGCUGCCAAGCAAUUAUUUUUCCUCAAUACAGCUUUCAUCUUCAUUUUCAACAAUGAAAAAUUAUUUCCGUUAAACUUCUCAAUUUCAUACUUUGCCACCAUUUUGUUGAUAAAUACCGCACACAAGCUAGUGUACCACCUUGAAUAGUUGUGAGUAUGUGUGAGAAUGCACACCAGGAAAGUUCCCAGGAAAGACUGGAGGGGUCACAAUGGUCCCACUUAAAACCCAGACUCAUUAAGCUCUUAUCGCCUUUGUGAUAGAACUUUCCUAGACAUGUACAAAACCACACAGUUGCUAUUACUCACACCACUAUUCUCUGCUUUGCAUCACAAAAUUCUUGGAUCGCUUCCACCGUUUCUUGUGAAUAGUACCGUAUACGUGAACAUUACCGUUUACGUGAAUAGUACCCCUUACGUGAACAGUACCCGACUCCAAAAAUACAACCAAUAGCUCUGAUACCACUGUUAGGAAAUUGGUAGGUGAAGCAGACACGCAGCUAGAAUAAAAUUGAAAGAAAAAUAAAGAACAAGUACAAAAAAUGGACACCAGAAAUUACGUGGUUCGACUUUUAGCCUACAUCCACGGGCGAAGACAGAAGGAAAUAUUUUACUAGUGAAAAGGAGUUACAAGUAUUGUAGUAUUUUAGCUCACUUCCCAAAAUCCCAAUACACCCAAACUCUCAGAACACUAAUCACUCAAGAGUUUAUUAAACUCUUAAUACUCUCAACACUAAAAGAAAGCAAUAUUUCUCUCUCGAUGGAAUUGGAUACAAGCUCUAGAUUGAGAGCUUGUAUUUAUAGGCAAAAAUUUGCCUCAAAUGUCAAACAAGUGGCCAUAAACUUCAAGCCAUACAUCUUAAAAAUUUCAAACUUUGAAUUUUUAGCUUUGAAUUUUUCUUUUCUUUUACCAAACAUUACGGCAUCUAGAAUUUCAAAGCCAAGUGCCAACCAUUCUUGUUUAUUCAAAGCUUCUAGAUGCAGCCAAUUUUGACAAUUACACAUAUAUAAGAGUAUGUCGUCAGGUCCAUACUAGUAUUUUUACACAAGCGGUCACCUCAAUUGCUUUAGGAGCAAGAUGAGAUGAGACAAGUAGAAUAAUAAAACAAUAUUUUUGUGUGAGAGCCAAAUAAAAAGCGUUAUUCUACAAGUUUUUUUGCCUUGACUAGAAUCAAGAGGUCUCACACGAUUUUCAUUAUAGACUGACUAUGAUAUACCCCACCAUCAUGGAGACUUCAUUGAAGCCAGAUGUGAGAUCUUUACUUUUUACGCUAGAAGAGAGCGUUCAUUCUAAAAGAGUGACUAGACUAAGAUCUAUAGUCCUGGAAUGGAAAAUUUAUCGUAACGAGUGUAUCAUACCAUGCGUGCUUGGUAAUCAAAAUGGAAAAUGAAAGAAUCUUCAAUCUUUCUAAUUGUGUAAGUUCCAUAUAACUUUUUAUAAGUCAAUCCUGGUAUCAUCUUCUUCUCUUCUUCGUGAAGAUUAAAAUUAAGAACAUUGAACAAUCCAUAAAAAGGGCAUUUAUACUGUGAUUAGAUAAGGAUUUCCGCUUGCGAUUUCUUCUGACCAUUAACAUGAUCCAGUACUCGAUUACUCCGCUGCUGAAUUCAAUAAGAAAAAUAUUUCUAGAAUUUUCAUUUUUCCUUCAGACCAUGUAAGAAGCAUACGAACAGGAUGAUCCGGAGUCAAAAGGUGAACGAGGUGACGGCUCGUCCGUUAGUACUAUUAAUGUAUAAGGUAAUAUGGGAAUUACUAAUAAUUAAUCGACUAGCUGAUUUGUUAGUUAUGAUUAUCAAUGACGGUCUAUUUCCUGCCCAUAUUUUACCAUGCUGUUGAAUGGUCCCCUUAAAAUAAUCCAGAUCAGUCAUUUGCAUAAAAAUAUAUCAUGAGCGGUUAGGUGGAGGAUGCUGAUUUGUUAGAAAAUAAUUGUUUUCAACUCUUGCGAUUGUCUGCACCCUGCACUCUUGUUCCAAAACCAAUACAAAACUGUAGCAAUCUUAAGAGGAUUUGUGGAACAAAAGAUGGCCAAGAUUGGAGGUUCUCUGCUUGUUCCUUGUGUUCAAGAGUUGGUCAAGAAUCCUAUGUUAGUUGUCCCUCCUAGAUACAUUUGUCCGGACGAAGAUUCACCACUCAAUUCUGAUGAUACUUUGAUUUCACAGAUACCAGUUAUUGACAUGCAGAGCUUGCUUUCUGAAGAAUCAAUGGAUUCUGAGUUAGCCAAGCUCGACUUCGCUUGCAAAGAAUGGGGUUUUUUCCAGGUAAAAUGCUUUAGCAGAGUUAGAAAGAUUUUUCAUGCUUGUCUGUGAUUUAAGAAUCAUGAAAUCUGCAAAACUCUCAGUCACAAAAUAUCUAUUUUUGAAACCCAGUUUCCAUUGAUUUAGCAUGUCAUGAUUUCAAAUUUUCCCAUCUAGUCCUUUUGCUGCUUUCAGUGCUUCUACGACUGCAGCUUGUGAAAUGUCAAGGAAGUUGUCUCUUGUUUUAUUGUACAAUUUAUGAGGCGAUAUGAGAAGAAAACACUCACCAUUUAUUUCUGAAACCCAGAUUCCAUUGAUAUAUUUGUUUUUGACUUGCUUUAUUACUUUACCUUUCCAUAUAGCCAUAGAUUUGUUAGUAUAAUUUGUAUUAAAAGAUGCCCAUGACAAAGUUCACCUAUUUUGUCUCAAUAGCUUUUGGUAGCUUAUGAGAAAUAUGCUUCUGUCAAUAUGUGAUUAAAGAUAUAGUAAAUUGUAUAAGACUCCCGCAGAUUAUUAGCUGUUCUAGAAUAUUCAAAUUUCUCCAAAACUAUGAGUAAAAAACACUUGUAAAAAUCAAUCAUUGAUUAGAUUUAUAAACAAAAUAAAAUUGGUGUUUAAUGCAACAGCAAUGUUCUCAGUUGAAAUGUAACAAAUGCUUUUAGCCAUCUUUGAUAGCAAAUCUUGUCUCUAAAUUAGUCAAAUAAGUUGCAAUCUGUCUUCAUAAAACGCCUGGACGAUUGUGAACCUAGUGGCACGAUUAUCAAAUCUUAGCUGCUGUUCAUUCCUGCGUAAUUUCAGCUGGUAAACCAUGGAGUAAGCUCAGCAUUUCUAGAGAAAGUGAAGAAAGAGGUUAAGGGCUUCUUCAAUCUCAGCAUGGAAGAAAAGAAAAAAUAUUGGCAGCAUCCAGGAGAUGUAGAAGGAUUUGGACAAGCCUUUGUUGUAUCUGAGGAACAAAAGCUUGAUUGGGCUGACAUUUUCUCCAUGAUCACUCUUCCAGUUCAUCUGAGGAAGCCACACUUAUUUCCUAAGCUCCCUCCUUCCCUCAGGUUCUCUCUUUUUGUGGUUGAUAUGGAUUUGCAAACAAAAAGGGAAAAUUAAACCUUCUAUGAUUCUAUCUAAUGUUUUACCUUCUUUUUUCUUGUAGAGACACCUUGGAAGUUUACUCGAUGGAGUUAAAAUCUCUGGCCAUGAACCUGAUAUCGAAAAUGGGAAAAGUUUUAAAUAUCAAAGAUGAAGAAUUGAGAGAAUUCUUUGACAAUGGUUUCCAAUCAAUGAGGAUGAACUAUUACCCUCCAUGUCCUCAGCCAGAAAAGGUUAUGGGCCUCACCCCUCAUUCUGAUGGCUCUGCUCUUACCAUUCUGCUACAAAUCAAUGAAGUAGAAGGUCUCCAGAUCAAGAACGAUGGAAAAUGGAUUCCUAUCACACCGCUGCCAAAUGCUUUCAUUGUCAACAUCGGAGACACAUUGGAGGUAAUAAUUAUGAUUACUUUCCUUGGCAUUUUUAUGUCCCUUCUCAUGUGCUCUAAUAUUUUUAACAUUGCAGAUUAUGACCAAUGGGACAUACCGUAGCAUUGAACAUCGUGCAAUUGUGAACUCUAUACAAGAAAGACUUUCCAUUGCCACAUUUUACACAAAGAGAUUAGAUGGUGAAAUAUAUCCAGCAUCCAGUUUGAUAUCUGAAAAAACUCCUGCAUUGUUUCGAAGAGUGACAGUUGAAGAAUACUUUAGGAGCCGGUUUGCUCGUGAGCUUAGGGGAAAAUCUCACCUGGAUGACCUGAGAAUUCAACAUGGUCGAGGCUAGUACAAUUAUUUUGGAUAAUUGCAGAUUUGUGCCAGGAAUUUUCUGAUGAUAAUUGUGCUUAUUUUGGAUCAGUUUCUUUCAUUUUUGGAAUAGAAUUUUUGCAGGCUUGUCAUGUUUUUAUCAGAUUUCAAGAACUAUUUCACUUGCUUUCGGAGUUAAAGAUGAUUCAAAUAUGAUAUUAAAUACUUAAGCAUGCCAUUCUAACGCUUGCUUGUCCAAUUACAUCCUUAUCAACAAUAUAUUUUGUUACAAUGUCACUGAAGUUGAAUAGAUAACAACAUGCUUGGGUUAUAUGUUGUCAUUUGGCUUAACCAUCCGUCACAUUAAGCAGAUUGUUGUGAUAAUGUGUUUUACAACCUUCCCCAGUAGCAUGAAUGUUGUUAAAAUAAUUGUAACAAAUUUUAUAUUGCUUGUAGCAACAUUGUUCUCCAUAGCACACAUUGCGUGAGUACAUAAGUUGUAACUUGUUACCAAUAAUAAUAAUAAAAAAUAAUAAUAAUAGUAAUAAUAAUUAUCAAUAACUAAAAAUGAGACGGAUGUUACUUUCAUAAGUGGAACUUGGAUUCACAAGCUAAAUAUGAGGUUUUAAUUGGUUGUUAUCAGAAAAAAAUAUAAAGAUAAUUAAUGCCUAAACAUAAACAGCUAUAAUUGUAUAAAUGACUAAUCGAUUACAAUUCGAAUCCACUAUUUUCUUAAUAGUGCGCAGUCAAUUCCAACACAGCACCAGAUUGCAGCGUGUUAGAAAAAAUUUUAGGUAAUCAUAUAUAUGUUUUAAUCAAUAAUGAUAAUAUGUUUACCCAUAUAUAAGAUUUGAAUAGAUAAAAAGUAAUACUCGAGAACCACCAAAGUCCUUUUAACUGCAGACACGCAAUGGUGGAUUACUCGCACAAGUCAAGAGCAAAAUACCAAGUUGUGAAAGAAAAAUAAAAAGGGGAAAACAAAACAAAACGCAGUAUUGAAAAUACCUUCGCCUUUUGGGUUGAUGACAAGGUGGGAACCACAAAUAAUUAAUUGGCUGAUGGUUUGUCAUCGUUAUCCAUAGAGGAUAGUUUUGACCUGCGAAUAUUUUAUUUUGCAUUCGAAACAUGUGCAAAAAAUUAAAAUUACUUCAUGAAUGGUUAGGUGGAGGAUGCUGAUUAAUUACUUGGAAAAAGAUUCCUUUUUACUUUUGUGAUUGUCAGCACUCAGUCUUGUUCCAAAACCAAUACAAAGCUGCAGCAAUCUUGAAAGGAUUUGAGGAACAAAAGAUGGCCCAGAUUGGAAGUUCUCUCCUUGUGCCUUGUGUUCAAGAGUUGGUCAAGAAUCCGGCGUUAGUUGUCCCCGACAGAUACAUACGUCCAGAUCAAGAUUCACCCCUCAUUUCUGAUGAUAUUUUGAUUUCACAGAUACCAGUUAUUGACAUGCAAAGCUUACUUUCUAAAGAAUCAAUGGAUUCUGAGUUAGCCAAGCUCGACUUCGCAUGCAAAGAAUGGGGUUUUUUCCAGGUAUAAUGCUUUAGCAAAGUUAGAAAAUUGUUUCGCCAGAACAUGCUUGUUUGUGAUCAAGAAUCGAGAAAUAUGCAAAUUGUCAAUCAAAUAGGCAAAAUUAAAAUUCAUAUUUAUUUCUUAAACCCACGUAUCAUUGAUGUUAGCAGAUCAUGGUUUCACUUUCCAGUGUUGUCUGUGGCUUAGGACUGCAGCUUGUGAAAAGAAGAACUUGUCUCUGGUUUAUUUAUUAUUGACUUUCUAUAUUGCUUUACCUUUUCUCCCUCCAGGCAUGGUUUAAUUAGCUAUUUCAUUCCUAAAUGUCAAACAGGCAAUAUGUAUUAAAAAGAUUGUCUUGAGAAAUUUCACCUCCUCUGCCUCAAUAGCUUUUGGUACCUUAUGAGAAAUAUGCUUCUGUCAAAAUUUUAAAAGAUAUACUAUAGUAAAUUGUGUAAGACCUCUUAGAAAAUGUACUCAUUUCUGUAGUCAAUGUUGCAAAUUUACUUUAAUUUAAAGACAAUUAGAAGUAACAUUGAGAUUAUUUGCUGUUGUAUGAUUUUUCAAAUUCUAGGUGUGAACAAACCACAAGAACUUUAUGCUCAUUAUAGUUAUUCUAGAAUAACCGAAAUUUCUCCGAUAGAAUGAGUAGAAAACACCUGUGGAAACUAAUUGUUGAGAAGAUUUAAAUGUAACAAAUGCUUUUAGCCAUCUUUAAUGGUAAAUCUUAUCUCUAAAUCAGUCAGAUAAGUUGCAAUCUGUCUUAAUAAAACACCUGGACUAUUGUGCGCUUAGUGGCACGAUUAUUAAAUCUUUGCUGCAUUUCGUUCCUGUAUUUUUUUCAGCUGGUAAAUCAUGGAAUGAGCACAGCAUUUCUAGAGAAAUUAAAGAAAGAGGUUGAGGGAUUCUUCAAUCUCAGCAUGGAAGAAAAGAAAAAAUAUUGGCAGCGUCCAGGAGAUAUGGAAGGAUUUGGACAAGCCUUUGUUGUAUCGGAGGAACAAAAGCUUGAUUGGGCUGACCUUUUCUCCAUGAUGACUCUUCCAGUUCAUCUGAGGAAACCACAUUUAUUUCCUAAGCUCCCUCCUUCCCUCAGGUUCUCUCUCUCUCUCUCUCUGUGUCAAUGUCAUUUUGAUUUGCAAACAAAUAAAGGAUAGUGCAUCUUCUUUUCCUGUAGAGAGACCUUGGAAGUUUACUCAAUGGAAUUAAAAACCCUAGCCGAGAACCUAAUAUCGAAAAUGGGAGAAGUGUUAAAUAUCAAAGAUGAAGAAAUGAUAGAAUUCUUUGAAAAUGGACUGCAAGGAAUGAGGAUGAAUUAUUACCCUCCAUGUCCUCAGCCCGAGAAGGUUAUGGGCCUGUCGCCGCAUUCUGAUGCAGCUGCACUUACCAUUCUGCUACAACUUAAUGAAGUGGAGGGUCUCCAGGUAAAGAAGGAUGGAAAGUGGAUUCCUGUUACCCCACUCCCGGAUGCUUUCAUUGUCAACAUUGGAGACACAUUGGAGGUAAUAAUUAUAAUAAAUUACCUUAACCUGGCAUUUUUAUGCGCUUGCUUAUGUGCUUUAAUAAUUUUUACAUGGCAGAUUAUAACCAAUGGGACAUACCGCAGCAUUGAGCAUCGUGCAGUUGUAAACUCUGUACAGGAAAGACUUUCCGUUGCCACAGUUUACUCAGUGAGAUAUGAUGGUGAAGUGUAUCCUGCCUCCAGUUUGAUCUCUGAAAAAACUCCUCCUUUGUUUAGAAGAGUGAGAAUUGAAGAAUACUUUAGGAGCCGGUAUGCUCGUGAGCUUAGGGGAAAAUCUCAGUUGGAUUCCCUGAGAAUUCAACAUGGUCAAGGCUAGUAUAAGUUUAUUUUGGAUAACUAAAGAGUUUGGUACAAAAACUCUUAAGGACCUUGCUAUUAAGAUUGGCGUGGAACUGAAAAUAAGAAAUAAGUUCUAUGAAUACUGUGGUAUAACCUGCUAUGCUAGGGUCGUUGUGUAGCUCUAUCAUUUGAGAUACUGAAUAGACCAUGUAAGAAUCUUAAGAAUUGCAGACUUAUGCCUGGAAUCUUCCGAUGAUAUAUGGUGGUGCUUAUAUCAGAUCAGUAUCUUUCUUUCUUGAAAUAGAAUUUUUGCAUACCUGACUUGUUUUUAAUGAGAUUUCAAGGACUAUAUGACUUGGUUUCAAAUUUUUAUGAUACAUACAGAUAAUAUUACCACAGAACCAGUGUAGUUUCUGUAUCAGCCGUUAUAGUUUUCAGUUAAUAGUAACAAGUUUUUGAUUUUUAACAAGAAUGUUGUCCUUCCACGUCUUAAAUAUUCCGUUCCAUAACACACAUUGUGACGAAUACAUAACUUGUUACCAUUGACGAAAAAUUUUGCCAUCAAUAGCUGAAAAUAGAUGUUAGUUACACAAGCUGCAAAGCUAUAACUUUGGAUUUCAUAUUCAGAUUGUCCCUCUCAAAGUUGAACUUGGAACUACGGUUGAUGAUCUGCUAUUAUGCUGAGAAAAAUACAAGAUUUUUUUUUUGGUUGUCAUCAGACAAUGUAAAAGAAAUUAGCAUGGGAUCCAAAUUCUUGAGAGUUUGAUAAGGCAAUGCACUAUAUUUUUUUAUAACUCGCAGCAGACAGCAGCACAACAGCAGACUGCAACUGUCAUAUUCACAAAAUAUCUAUGGGCCAACCCUAGACCCGCAAUGGUGGAUUAGUCUCACACAAGGCCACAGCAAAUAAUGACUUGUAGAAAAUAAUACAUUUUCAACAUUUGCUUUGUCAAUAAAAAUCUGUAGCAUUAUUGUUGAGAGAAUUUGUGCAACAAAAAGAAGGCCAAGUUCGGAGGUUCUCUGCCUGUGCCUUGUGUUCAAGAGUUGGCCAAGAAUCCUAUGUUAGCUAUCCCCCCCAGGUACAUACCACCACGCUAAGAUUUAACCACAAUUUCUGAUAAUAAUUUGGAUUCACGGGUAUUGCAGAGCUUGUUUUCUGAAGAGUCAAUGGAUUCUGAGUUGUCCAGGCUCCACUUCGCUAGCAAAGAAUGGGCUUCUUUCCAGGUAAAGUCCUUUGCCAAGUUAUUAUUAUUUUGCUUUUAAAGGAUUUGCUUGGGAUGAGACCUCAUCUACUAAAUACCACCCUUUGUCCCAUAUUGUUACUCGAGCGCAGAUAUCUGCAAAUUGCGAAUUACAUUCACAACCAGCUAAGCUACACCUGCCGUGAGGCACCCAAGUUUGUACUUUUUCAUUUGGACAUGCUUGGUUUGUUAAUAGUAGUCUGGGGUCAAGAAUUAAGAAAUCUGUAUACUCUCAAUCAAAGAGCACAGUCGAUCAAAUUCAGAUUAGAUUAUGUUCCAUUCUUAUAGGUCAAGUAGGCCACAAAUUUGGCCUACUCUGUAUCAAUGCUUUCUUACACUGUAAGUUAGCAAUAAGAAAGCUGUAACAAAAUUUGAGUCUACGUAGUCUUAACCAAGCCGGUUUAAGCACUCUUUUUUUUAAAAAAAAAAACAUUGAGGGAUGUAACUGACCUUGUCCGAUUAUGGACCCAUCUAACUUGCUUUCUUGUAUGGCUGAGAAGAAAAACCUGCAUUCUUGAAAAUUAAAUUGUCUUUAAUAUCUUUCAGAUGUCUAGGCUUGCGGUAGCUUGAGAAGAACUAUAAGCAAAUUUAUGAUGGAGUAUAAUGCAAAUGCGAUUCUAUUAGUUUAUUGAAAUCUAACAAAUACUUUUAUUCAUCGCACUCAGUAAAUUUUGCCUGAAUUAGUCCAAUAAGUUGUACUCUGUCUCAGCAAAAUACCUUGACCAAAAUAAAAAACGUAGUGACACGAUUGUUAAUGUCUUAGCUGUUUUUCUGUUUCUGAAUUGUUUCAGCUGGUAAAUCAUGGAGUGAGCCCUGCAUUUCUAGAGAACGUAAAGAAAGAGAUUCCGGAAUUCUUCAAUCUAAGCAUGAAAAAAAAAAAAUUGGCGGUCUCCAGGAGCUGUGGAAGGAUUUGGACAAGCAUUUGUUGUAUCCGAGGAACAAAAGCUUGAUUGGAAUAACAUUUUCUUCAUGACAACUCUUCCAGUUCAUCUGAGGAAACCCCACUUGUUUCCUAAGCUCCCUCUUUUCCCCCUCAAGUUUCUCUCUCUCUAGGCAGUUAUUUGAUGAUUGCAAAUGUAUUAUGUUCAGAGAAAGAUCCCAAGUCAGUUAUAUUUAGCAAAAUUUGACAACCAAACAUGAUUUUGAAAGAAUACUGCUAAAUAAUAACUUAUUUAACAAUCCACCACAAUCAUGUACUAAACCUUCUAAUUGCGUCUUCUUUUUUCUUGUAGGAAAUUUUGGAAUUUAUUCAGUGGAGUUAAAAAUCUUUGGCCAUGAACCUGGUAUCGAAAAUGGGAAAAGUUUUAAAUAUCAAAGACGAAGAAUUGAGAGAAUACUUUGAAAAUGGUUUCCAAUCAAUGGGGAUGAACUAUUACCCUCCAUGUCCUUAGCCGGAGAAGGUUGUGGGCCUCACAACUCAUUGUGAUGACUCUGCUCUUACCAUUCUGCUGGAAAUCAAUGAAGUAGAAGGCCUCCAGAUCAAGAAGGAUGGAAAGUGGAUUCCUGUUACACCUUUCCCAAAUGCUUUCGUUGUCAACAUUGGAUAUGUGUUGGAGGUAAUUAUUAUGAUAAGUUAUUUUAACUUGACAUUCAUAUGAGCUAGCUAAUGUGUGCUUUCAUUAAUUCAUGUUGCUCCACUUCCUAAUGCUUUCAUUGGAGACACAUUGGAGGUAAUAAUUAUAGUAAAUUACUUAACUUGGCAUUUAUAUGCGCAUGCUCAUGUGCUUUAAUAAUUUUUACAUGGCAGAUUAUAACCAAUGGGACAUACCGUAGCAUUGAGCAUCAUGUAAUUGUAAACUCUGUACAAGGAAGACUUUCCAUUGGCACAGUUUACUCAGUGAGGUAUGAUGGUGAAAUGUACCCUGCGUCCAAUUUGGUCUCUGAAAAUACUCCUUCAUUGUUUAAAAGAGUGAAAGUUGAAGAAUAAUUUCAGGAAUCUGUGUGCUCGUAAGCUUAGGGGAAAAUCUCAUCUGGAUGCCUUGAGAAUUGAACAUGUUCAAGAUUAUUAUAAGUUUAUUUUGGAUAACUAAAGAGUGUAGUACAAAAACCGUGGGGGACCUUGCUAUUACAAUUGUGUGUGGAACUAAAAAUAAGAAAUAAGUGUAAGAACAAUAAAUCCUUUGGUGAAAAUCAUCACCUCAAUUUAGGAACAUGUAUGUUGUAUCACCAAAAAUUAAUAAUAGAAUAUGCGGCAGUGUACCUAAGUUCAUAAUCCACAAUUGCUCUUUAGAGCCGAGUAGUUUGUCUUCCAAAUCAACAUGUUCUCCUAAAGAAUUCUUUAAACUUCUCUAUACUGUCUCUUUAAUGAUGAGAUGUCAAUAGAGAAUAGAACAAUACGUGUGACCUAUGGAUAAUAACUACUUAUAUAUAUAGAUUUUCCUUUUGUUUUUAGGUAUUCUUAUUUCAACCCAUUAUAAAAAUCAAAAUUAGUCUUAAGUCUCUAUACAUUAAAGGCCCACAAUCUAUUAGAUACAUUAAAACACAAAUUACCGAAAACCUUAAUAGACCAAUUUUAAUUUGGCUUAGAGUUAGACUAUUGGCACCCCUCCAAAAUUCUUCUAAAACCCCUUUUUCAAUAAUGCUAAGCUUAAUGCCAAAAAUACCCUUAUUUCUAAAUAAACACAUUUAAUUUGUGAAUCUUUUAAUUUUUAUUAUUUUCUCGCUCCUCACAAACAAAAUUUUAUGGGUGAUAAGUUUCUUGAUAAAAAUCAAUUAAUAAAAUAAAAUAUCUGUAAGAUUAUAAUGUAAAAAGUUUUAUUAUGAGCCUUAAAAAAAGGUAGAUAAUUUUUUCAAAAUGUGUUUUGUUUAUUAUCAAUAGAUUGUCUUAGUAAUUGAAGAAAAAUUUACAGAGAAUUUGAGAAAAAAAUUACAUGUGUGAGUUUGAUGGCAGAGAAAAUACAAGAGCUUUUUUUUUAAGAGAGAAAAUACAAAAGUUUGAAGUGAGAUAAAAUAGAUGUGAGAUAUAUUAGAGUAUUUAUCCUUAAAUGUAAUUGUAAUAGAAGAGGAAGUUUAAAAGGAUUUUGAAGGGGUGUCAAUAGUCCAACUCUUUGGCUUAAUCUUAUAUGACAAUUCACAUCAUAUAAUUAUUCACAUAUAAGCGCAACAUUGGAUCAAGGAUCCAACCAUACUAGAUUAAAGAUCCAACAACCUUUCACUUGGACUAUAUAUAUAACUUUGUAAUUAUACUUUACAAAAAUAACUAUAUGAGGUCAACUUUACUGUCAUUACCAAAAUGCAUCUAUAGCCAAUUCGGUCCAUCUAUCAUACCAACAUAGGAUCAAAACGACCUUUAUUACAAAUAUCGUAACUUGACCCAUCAAUGCUCACUAUGCCAACAUAACUUAAUGACAUAGAUCAUGAUAUGGUGUAGGAUGGAAAUUUUAUGUAAUGUGAUUUCAACAUGCCUAUUUUCAAUUGAUCCACCUUAAACAUUAGUGAGAUCAAAUUAUACAAAAUUAGAGUGUAAAUAAACCAAAAUUUUAUUUCUGUAGAAAAUAGCCUUAAAUAUCCCCAAACCGAAAAAUGUUUAUAUCAUAAAAGCAUUUAAAAGUUACAAACUCCCAUUAAAAAUGAAUAUCAAUAUCCUUUAAUGACAUGUCACCCAUAUGAACAAUGUGCUCAUGAAACAUUUUAAAUGACAUUCCCUUAGUAAACGGAUCUGUAAUCAUGGAGUUUGUACCAUUAUACUUUAUAGACAAUUGUCCACUCUGAAUUCCUUAGGAACUUGAUGUCUAUAUACUGUGACAUCGUUGAGCUCUUAUUGUUAUUGGAAUAUAGCACUGCUGACUUAUUGUCACCAAAUAACUUAAGUGGUCUAUCAUAAGGGUGUCAAAAAAGCCUGCCCGGACCGGACCCGGCCCCCGGACCGCAUGCACAUAAAAACCGGACCCAGGUUUGAAAUUCUCAAACCCGGACAUUUCCGGGCCCGGGUCCGGGUUCAACACCAAAAACCUGGAACCCGGACCGGACCCGGUUUUUUAAUAAAUUUUUUUAAAAAAUAUAUAAAUAUAUAAUUAUGAAUUUAUGAUAUGUUGGAUGUUAUUUAAAUUUAUUGUGUGAUUAUUGUGUUGUUGAAUUUAAUUUAUUUAUUUUAUAUAUAGAUUGAAUGAGUUUAAGUUAGAAAUUGGAUGAAUUUAGGUAUUAGAAAGUGGAUUGAAAUAAUUUUAAUUUAUCAUUUGUGCAAAAUUUGCAUUGUUAGUGUGUUAUAUAUUUGUAUUUGACUAUUUGCUUUUUUAAAGUUUGAGAUUGAAUGAGUUUAUUUGAUUAUUUUCUUUUUUUAAAUUUGCAUUGUUAGAGAAAUGAAAGAAAAAAUUGAAGAAAAAAAUUGAAGUUAUCACAUGCGGGUUUAGAAAGCCCGGAUCAAAACCCGGACCCGGAAGGUGCCGGGCUCAACCCCGGACCGCACCCGAAAAAAUUGGGUUUUAACCCGGGUUCGGUCUUGUAUUUCUCUCAUCCAGUCCCGGGCAACACCAAAACCCGGACCGGACCCAAAUUUUGUCAAGCCUAGUCUAUCAAUACUAUUUAAAAUGAGUAAUUCUAUGACGAAAUUUUGUAGCCAUAUUCCUUGAUUGGAUAUUUCGUAACAUGCUGUGAACUCCGCUGCUAUAGUAGAAAAGGCUAUAAGAGACUGUUUAGCACUCUUUCAGGAAACAACACCCCUAGCCAGUAGCUAGAUGUAACCAAAAGUAGAUUUCAUAUUAUCUUGGGAUCUAACAAAAUCAGAGUUAGCAUAAUGAUCUCAAGCUGAUCUAACUUUCGAUGUAGUCUUUUGUUCUCUGUAAGUAUCGCAAGACCCGUUUGGCUGUUUCCCAAUAGUUUACCCCUGGAUUACUUAAAUAUCUAUCCAACAUUCCAGUAAUGUAUGCAAUAUUCAGUUGCGUACAAACCUAAACAUACAUCAGACUUUCUAUUACUGAUGUAUAAGGAAUCUUCUACAUUUUUUAUUCCUUAAAAUCAUCAUUAGGGCACUAAUUGUGUAACAUCCAUUAUUUUUGUUUUAUUUAUUUAUUUUUUAUUAUUUUACUACUACUACUACUACUACUACUACUACUACUACUACUACUACUACUACUAUUAUUAUUAUUAUUAUAUCUAUUUUAGAGAAUAUAGUAUUUUAGGCUAAUGAUUUUAAGCGUGUUUUAAUUUUUCUUUAUUUAUUUGAUUUACCAAUUUAGUAAAUACCUUAUUAAAAAAGGAAAUAAAUUCCUAAAUAGGUAAGGGUGUUAAAAGGCUUGGCUUUAUAAAAGCUUCUCUUGCGUUGUUUUAUUUCUCAAAAUCAUAGAGGCUGAAUACAACAACACACACAAGAGUAAACCUUUUUUUUUAAGAAGAGAAGUAGAUUUUGAUUGGUUUUUUUCUUUUCCAUAAAGAAAUUCUUGAGUUUUGAAUUUGUUUUGAAGGAUUUAGCCUUCUGGUUUUAUUUGUGAUUUUAUGUGAUUGAUUGAAUGAUUUUGUGUGUAUUACAUUGAUAAAAUUGUGAAAGCAUGAUCAUCUAUUGAUUUAUGUUGUUAUUGAGUGAAAGUGGUGCUAUUAUUUUAUCUUGAAAACAGUGAACAACAUAGAUUCAAUGUUUUAUGACUGCUGUUUUCAUUAAGUCUCAUGCAUAAAAUUUUAUAAUUUAUUAAACUAGACAUCUUUAUCUUUCUAUUUAUAUGUUUAUCGUUCAAAACUCAUUGUAUAUUAAUUUUUUUGAUUUUUCAAAAUUGGAACACUAGUGUUGGAAAAUUCCAAUUUUCAGCAGCAGUUCUCGUUACUAUAAUUUAUUUGGUAACUCAAACGAUUUCUGAAAAUUCUAGGAACGUUUUUCAUUUUACACAUAUAUGUCUAGUUUCUGUAUACUUAAAUUCCUAAUUUUUGGCUUUAUAUAAAAAUAAUUAAAAAUCAUAGAGCUAGGCUACCGUAAUAUUGGAAAUUGUUUUCUAGAAUUGCGAGGGUUGAUAUUGAAGCGAGUUUGGGUUACUUUUUCAUAGUGAAUGCUAGGGGUGGGCAAAAUACCCGACCCGAUCCGACCCGAAAAAAUUCGGGUUCGGGUCGGUUCGGGUUGUUAUUGAAACCCGAACGGGUGAAAAAUUGCAAACCCGAUCGGGUUGUGAUUGGGUCGGGUAAAACCCGAUCCGAUCCGAAUACCCGAUCGGGUCGCACAAAAAAAAAAUCACUAAACCUAUAAACACAUCACACAUGCACACACCAGACACCAGACACCACACACAUGGCCAUGCAAAGUUACAACUCAAAAAGUCACAAAAACAAGUGGCUAAAAAAAUAUUGACAAAUAAAAAACAAAAUAUAAUUAUAACCCACGCACACAGGCCACAGCCACACACAAACAUUGAAACAUAUCUUCGCUGCCUUCACAGCCCUCAUCCCCACAGCCCUCAUCCUUACACUCACAACUUCACACACACACACAAAUAUCGCAAAAGCCAAAAGCAAAGCGGCAGCUAGCAGCCAACGCAGAGAAGAGAACGGAGGAAGCGCAGCCAGUGCAUGCAGCCACCUAACCCGUGACUGGAUCUACUGCUCCGCGACAUCCGUAGCUACCAGAUCUGCUGUUGCCGGAUAUCUACAGGAUCUGUUGCUGUUGGAUCCGCUGCGCUGCUAUCGGAUCUGCUGCUGCAGCCUCCACCAUCACCGAGUUCCACCGCGAAGGUGCGAACCGGCAACUCGAAUUCUUUUCUUUUUUUGAUGUUUUGAUGGGAUAUAAUAAUAUAUUAUAUAUUAUCUGUUAAUUGCUAAGUAUAUGUAUUGUUAAAUGUUAAUAAUAAAAUGAGGGAAAUUCUUGUAUGGAAAAUUUUGGAGUUUAAUUUAUUAAGUCUGUGGAAGCUUAAAUAAUAAGUAUGAAUUGAUUUCUUUUUUUUUGUUUUGUUUUUAAUGAAUAGAUUAAGCAAAUUAAGCAUUAAAAUUAAAUAUUUUGCAUUUGAUCUGUGCAAUGUUUCACCCGAUCCGAAUUAACCCGAAUUUAACCCAAUUAUUUGACCCGAUCCGAUCCGAUCCGAAUAUAUUCGGAUCGGGUUACAACUUCGGGUUGAGUUCGGAUGAAUUCUUUUCUAACCCGAUCAACCCGAAAUCCAAUCGGGUUGAUCCGAACCCGACCCGAACCCAAAAAUGCCCACCCCUAGUGAAUGCCUUAUAAAUUUAACUUUUAUAUUCAAUGCAAACGUGUUCACAAUAGUUUUUUGUAAUAUUUUUGAUUUUUCUGACAUAAUUAUAGCUUGUUAGAAAUUAACUCUUACAAGAUGGUCGAGUGUAGUUUAGUGAAUUGAUGUGCUUUAGUAAGAGUAAAUGGUUUAAGGAUAUUUUGGCUUUCUUAUCAACGUCAAAAUUGAAAAAAAAAAUUGAUAAGAAUCUUAUCUUGAUAAUUAUAGGCCAAGAACGAGCUCGUGUGAUUGGGGUUAUUGUUGAUUGCUUCGUAUUGAGUUAAGUGAACUCAUGCAUAAUGUUUAUUAUAGUUAUAUAUGUAAAUAUCUAGAAAAGAAUAAUGUUAUUCAUAUAAAUUGACAUUUUAUGGUUUUGAAGUUAUUUUACUCUUAUAUUUUAUGAUAAUAAAUAAUGUUUUGAUUAAAACUUUAUUUAAAAUAUUUUCUUAAACUAUUUAAAAAAUAACUUUAAAAUAAUUGUCUUUCCAUAAAUUGGUCUUCCUUAAAAAUAUUUGUUAAGCUUGCCAAUUCAAUGUCUUAUAAGAGCAUUUUAUCAUAAUAUUACUGAAUGAUUGAUAUUGAAAGACUGAAAUUGUAUUUAAGAUUUUGGCUCAUUAACCGUAGUUAUUGUUGCUGAUAUAACCGAACAUUUAACUAUAUUGUGCGCACCUAUUGACGAUUAUAGUUGGGUAACGUACCCUAAUUGAACUACUAACCGAGUCAUCGGGGUUAUAGGUGACUUACUAAACUAAUACCGGGUCAUUAGGGUUAUAGGUGACUUAUUGAACCACUGGCCGGGUCACCGGAAGUACAGGCGACACUAUAUGACAUGAGCAAUUGAAUAAAUGAAUGGUUAUAUUGAUAAAUGAUUUCCGAAAUGAUUAUUUAUUAAAAAUGGUUAUUACAUUAUGAUUUAACUAAUUAUAAGUUUUAAUGUACACUUAUGGUACUUUAUAAUGAUUGUUUUGUAUUUUAUCGUUAUUAGUAACCUUAUGCAUGAGUUAGUGUUGAGUGUUAGAAAAUGCAUAUUUAUAAAGGAGAAAAUUGUCAUUUUACAUUUCACGUCUUACUAACAGCCCUUACUUUUAUGUAUUUAAGCUUCUUGUAAUUUAAUUAUGUGUGUUUUAUUUUAAUUAAGUAUUUUAUGUAUUUUAGGGGCAUCAUGGUCAUUUCACAAUAAACGAGAGAUCAGACGGCAAAAUGGACAUCACUUUUGAACUCAGGACGGUUGAAAACCUUAGGAGGAGCAUAAAAGGAAAAAUGACACUGUUCACAUGUACGGUACUGUCUAUGUUACUAUUCACGACACUGUUCACAUAGACGGAUCGAUGAUGUGGCAUUGACCGAUGAUGUGGCAUUGACUGAUGAGGUGUCACGAUCCUGUUGGACUAAAAUUCUUAUGCACUGUUGAUCGAUGACGUGGCAGCAUAUCAGUGGACCAAAAAUCUCGCGUACGGUACAUGCAUUAUAUAGGAUUAUUUUCAACCAAACUGAGUCACUGUUCAACUCGGGGCAAACCGUGUUACUGUUCAUCCAAGUGGUCAAACCGCAUACUGUUGACUGGUAACGUGGCGCAAUCCUGAGCGUCCAAACUGUUUUUAAUCCGAUGGCCACGAUUUACUUAAUGUAUCUACAAAAAGGGGGCCUCCCCUCUAAUUUGAUACCUCUGAAUCCAUUUUUUGGAUCCAUUUUCUAUAAUUCCUUCUCCAUCUUGUAUUUUCUACGUAUUUUAAUAAAUUUCUAUUUUGCCCCUAGUUCAAUUAUGAGUAACUAAUUUUCUUUCAAGCUUGGGUUGAAGGUGAAGUCUCAACAUGUGUCAUGGGCUUUAUUUGGUAAAUUUAUUUUCUCUUCCCCUCUAGUUUUUGUGGAUGUUUUGACUUCUCGUCGAUAAAUAAUAAUAAUAUUAUUUAGUACCGCCUUGGUUUCACCGGCUCCCUAAUACAAAGUUAUUGUUAUUUGGCACGAUAAGCCCUUAGCACCAUAUUGAUUAGAGCGUAGUUCAUGAGGUGUGAAUUCCCCCCUCAUGAUUUAAUUGGUAUUAAUAAGGAAUAUUUAGCCCAUGGUGCAUUUGAUAUGAAUUCAAAUACCCAAGUACGUCAAUUUAAUAGAUUUUCACUUUAAUUUCUUCUCGUCAUUUCAAUUCCAAUUUUUAGGAUAAUUUAAAUCACUUCCACCACAAAUCCAACCACCUCAUACAAAAUUAAUUCUAUAUAUAAUUAAAAUCCACCUCCUCGUGAGAUCGACACUCGUCACUAUUAGUCUAUUAUACAAUAGAUUCGUAAGCUUGCGAGUUCAAUAAAAUUUGCACAACAAGUUUUUGGCGCCGUUACUGGGGAGGUAAGUUAUUUUAAUUUGUAGAAUUAAUUUUUGUCAAUAAUUUCUUUUAUUUGUUUUCUUUUUUUUUCUUAUUAAAAAAAAGGGAAAAAAGAGAGUGAAUUUGCAUUUAGAGAUUAGUAUUUCUUUUCUUUUUCUCUUCUUUAAAAUUCUGUAAUUUAAUUUUCAAGUUAUUUUUUUCUUCUUUGUAAUUUUUGUUUAUCUUACUAAUUUUUUAAGUUAAUUUAUUUCACGUAUUUUUUUGUGUGUAUUUUUAUAGUAAGGUUGUAAUAGCGCGAUAAGGUUAGUAUCGUAAUUUCUCCCUCUUCUUUAUUUUUAUUUGUUUUGUUCCCAUCUUUAUUUUUAUUUUAUUUGUUUUACAUGCAUAGUCGAAGAUCAUUAUUACCUAAUCUUAAACCUAUAGACCUGGAACUAGAAAAAAUACUUCGCACACACAAGCACGUUAAAAAUAAAUUUGGAAUGGAUUUACAAGUACCACAAGAGAGGCCAUUUAAGGACUAUUUUAGUCCUUUAGCUAAUUUGAGCACAUCAUGUAUAAGAUACUCAAAUGUAGCUGCUACGAGUUUUGAACUAAGACCUAGUCUGCUAAAUUGUCUCCCAACAUUCUAUGGCCUAGAAAAUGAGGACCUUUAUAAUUAUUUGAAUGAUUUUCAUACUAUUUGUCAAACAUUUAAAUAUGAGAAUUUUUCAUAUGAUGAUGUAAAACUUAGACUAAUCCCAUUUUCUUUAAAGGAUAGAGCUCGUUCAUGGUUUAAUAUAUUGCCUGCUAAUACCAUUUCAUCAUGGGAACAAAUGGUAACGAAAUUUUUAAAUAAAUAUUUCCCAGUGCAUAAAACUAAUGCUAUUCGCAGGGAAAUUUCAAAGUUUACCCAUAGAGAAGAUGAGCAGUUUUUCGAAACAUGGCAGUAAUUUAAUGGGCUACUCUUGAAGUGUCCACAUCAUGGGUACGAGAAAUGACACCAAUGCCAAUACUUUUUGGAGGGAUUAUUGCUGAAUGUGUAAGAAUGACUAAUGGCAACAAGUGGAGGAGAGCUAAUGUCAAAAAGUGCAUCAGAGAUUUGGGAAUUCUUCUAGCGACAAGUGGAUAAUUCCCAACAACGGAGUCGAUCACUCAGGAAUACUAGAAGAAUUAAGGGAGUGAAUGAGGUUCACAUUGACGAGUCAACUUCAGGAAUCAAAGAAGUCAAGGAGAUGGUUGAAGGUAUCGCUCGACAAAUAGCAUCAUUAUCGACUGCUAAAUCAACAGAGCCACAUGACCAUGACUCAUACUCAGAUCAAGCCAAUACCAUAGGUGUAAUGAGAAGCCAUCAAAUUACAACCCAUACUCCAACACAUAUAACCCAGGAUGGAGAGACCACCCCAAUUUUUUAUGGUCUCAAGGAUUCCAACAGAAUGAAGCAGCAGCUCCAGCUCCACCAAUGCAACGAAUUCCUCAAGUUCCUCAAGCCUCUCAGCCACCAUUUAGACCAUACAAUCAGAACCAGAACUACUCUCAACCCAGACCAUGGGAGGAUGCAUUCCAGAAUUUCAAGAAUGUUACUCACUCUACGAUUGAGCAACAGAACCGCACCAUUGAUAGACUACGAAAUGAGUUGAGAGCAGGUUUCAACUCACAAGCCCAAUCAGUUUCAAGCCUUGAGAAGAUGGUGGGACAACUUGUUUCUUCAGUUCAGACCUUGGCAAUGACCGUUGAGAAAGGUAAAUUUCCAAGUCAACCAGUGCCUAAUCCUAAAGGAGUACAUGAUGCAAGUACUAGUUCACCACAGCAGCAUGGAGAGGUAAAAGUUGUCAUGACUUUGUGAAAAGAAAAAGAAGUCGACAACAAAGUGGAGAUGUAGGUGAUAAAAGAAAAUCAAAUUGUACCUGUAAAUGUUGAGGACUCAUCACCGGAGGAGAAAGAAGAAACGAACCUACGAGAAUAUGUUCCUAAAUCUCCAUUUCCUCAGAGGUUAGUAAAAGGAAAAAAGGAAAAAUUCACAGGUGAGAUUCUUGAAAUCUUCAAACAGGUAAGUGUUAACAUCCCUUUGUUUGACGCUAUAAAACAAGUUCCAUCUUAUGCUAAGUUUCUUAAAGACCUUUGUAUUAAAAAGAGAAACAUUCAUGUUCAAAAGAAGGCAUUUUUGACAGAAAACGUUAGUUCUAUACUCCAACAUAAAAUUCCUCUAAAAUGCAAAGACCCAGGCUCCCCCACUAUCUCAUGUAGUAUAGGGAACCACACAAUUGAAAAUGCUUUGUUGGAUUUAGGAGCUAGUGUAAAUCUGUUGCCUUAUUCAGUUUUCGUGAAACUUGGAUUGAGAGAAUUACACCCAACUCCAGUGGUGUUGCAGCUUGCAGAUCGGUCCACGAAAAUACCUCGUGGCAUUAUGGAAGACGUGCUUAUCCAGGUAGACAAGUUUUAUUUUUCUGUUGAUUUCAUUGUAAUUGACACUCAACCAAUUCAGGAUUCAAGGAAGCACAUCCUCAUUAUUCUAGGCCGACCUUUCUUGGCAACUGCAGAUGCUCACAUUCAAUGCAGGACUAGAAAUAUGCAGUUGUCCUUCGGCAACAUGACUAUGGAGCUGAACAUCUUCAACAUUGCCAAAUAGCCUCACAAUGCAGAUGAUAAAAUUGUUGAUGCAGAUUUAAUAGAAACAUUAGUUGAUAAUACCUUUGUUUCAAACCUUAGUGAUGACCCUUUACAAACAUGUUUAACUCAUUUUGGUUUAGAUUUUGAUAUUGACAGAUCAGUCGAUGAGGUCAACGCCCUACUUGACUCAGCACCAUCCAUGGAUACCAAUAAAUGGAAGUCAAGAGUUGAGCAACUAGCACCAUCAGGGAAGAAACUCAUCCCAUCAUUAGAAUCACCACCAAAACUCGAGCUCAAACCAUUACCCAACACUCUGGAAUAUGCAUUUUUGGGAGAAGAAAGUACUCUGCCAGUAAUCAUCUCAUCAUCCCUAAAUGACGAACAAAAAAGUAAGUUGUUGGAUGUUUUAAAAUAGCACAAAGGAGCAUUAGGAUGGACCAUAGCAGACAUAAAAGGUAUAAACCCAGUAGACUGCAUGCAUUACAUUCACCUCGAUGAAAAUGCUAAACCUACUAGGGCUCCUAAUAUGAAAAAAGUUGUUAGAACAGAAGUCCUUAAGCUAUUAGACGCAUGUAUUAUUUAUCCAAUUUCUGAUAGCUCAUGAGUCAGUCCUGUACAAGUUGUCCCUAAAAAGUCAGGAGUCACAGUAGCUACGAAUGCUGAUAAUGAAUUGAUACCCACUAGAGUGACUACAGGAUGGCGUGUAUGUAUUGAUUAUAGAAGUUAAAUUCUGUCACACGUAAAAACCAUUUUCCUUUACCAUUUAUUGAUCAAAUGCUUGAUAGAUUAGCAGACCAUGAAUUUUAUUGCUUUCUAGAUGGCUACUCAGGAUAUAAUCAGAUUACCAUAGCACCAAAAGAUCAAGAGAAUACCACUUUCACUUGCCCUUUUGGCACUUUUGCAUAUAUGAGAAUGCCAUUUAGAUUAUGUAAUGCACCUGCUACAUUUCAACGAUGCAUGUUAAGUAUUUUUUCUGAUAUGCUUGAAUGAUUUCUUGAAGUCUUUAUGGAUGACUUUUCUAUCUUUGGUGACUCGUUUGAUCAAUGUUUACAUCAUUUAACGCUAGUUAUGUAGAAAUAUAUCGAGAAUAACUUGGUCUUAAAUUGAGAGAAGUGUCAUUUUAUGAUAAAACAAUGUAUUGUUCUCGGUUACAUCAUUUCGAGCAAAGGUAUUGAGAUUGACAAAACAAAGGUGGAUCUUAUUUCUAAUCUUCCUCCAUCUAAAACAAUCAGAGAAGUAAGAUCUUUCCUUGGGCAUGCUGGUUUUUAUAGACGUUUCAUUAAAGAUUUUAGCAAAGUUUCUAGACCCUUAUGCAAUCUACUUGCUAAGGAUGUACCUUUUGUCUUUAAUGAUUCAUGUCUUGUGGCGUUUGAAAAACUAAAGCAGUUGUUGACAUCAUCACCCAUCAUUCAGCCCCCAAACUGGAGCUUACAAUUUGAACUCAUGUGUGAUGCAUCUGAUUAUGCAGUAGGAGCAGUAUUAGGACAAAGAGUUGAUCGAAUUUCCCAUGUUAUUUACUAUGCUAGUAUGACAUUGAAUAAUGCACAGUUGAACUAUCCAACUACUGAAAAAGAAAUGCUAGCAGUAGUGUUUGCAUUUGAAAAAUUUCGAUCUUAUCUCAUUGAUUGUAAAAUAAUUAUAUUCACAGAUCAUGCUGCUCUUAAAUAUCUUCUCAUAAAGAAAGAUGCAAAAGUUAGACUAAUUCGUUGGGUGUUACUUUUGCAGGAAUUUGACUUGGAAUUCAAAGAUAAGAAAAGCAUAGAAAAUGUUGUGGCAGACCAUCUCUCUCGUCUCUAUUUUGACACAAUUACAGAGCCUUUAACAUUGAAAGAGUCAUUUCCAAAUAAACAAUUAAUGAGUGUGGAAGUAUUACCUUGGUAUGCUGAUAUCGUUAAUUAUCUUAUUACAGGUCAACUUCCAGAGCAUUGGACUAAGCAAGAUAAGGCUAAAUUCUUUGUAGAAAUAAAGAAUUUCUUUUGGGAUGACCCUUAUUUGUUCAAGUAUUGUGCAAAUCAAAUUAUUAGACGAUGUGUCCCAGAAAAUGAAAUUCAGAAUAUCCUUUCAUUCUGCCAUGAACAAGCUUGUGGAGGCCAUUUCAGUACUAAGAAAACAACGACUAAAGUUUUACAAUAUGGUUUCUAUUGGCCAACUAUAUUUCGAUAUGCUUACACUUUCUGUUCUUCAUGUGAUAGGUGUCAACGAAUGGGGAGCAUUACACGAAGGAACAUGAUGCCACUAAAUCCAAUUUUAGUGGUUGAGAUUUUUUACGUAUGGGGUAUCGACUUCAUGGGACCCUUUCCCCCUUCUUUUGGCCAUCAAUACAUAUUGGUUGCUAUUGACUAUGUAUCGAAAUGGGUAAAAGCAAUUCUAUGUAGAACCAAUGGUCACAAGGUGGUGAUAGGAUUUUUGAAAAGCAACAUUGUUUCGCGCUUUGGAUUCCCUCGAGCAAUAAUCAGUGAUGGUUGUGCCCACUUUUGUAACAAAGCAUUCAAAACUCUUUUGACAAAGUAUUCAAUCACUCACAAAGUGGCAACUCUAUAUCAUUCGUAAACUAGUGGCCAAGUUGAGAUCUCUAAUCGAGAAAUAAAGCACAUAUUAGAAAAGAUGGUAAAGUCAGACAGAACAGAUUGGUCAUUAAGACUUGAUGAUGCAUUAUGGGCAUAUAGAACGGCUUUCAAGACCCCGAUUGGGAUGUCACCCUACAGGCUAGUGUAUGGAAAAGCUUGCCACCUACCUGUGGAACUAGAGCAUCGUGCAUAUUGGGCCAUCAAGAAACAACUUUGACAUGCAGCAAGCCAGCUCAGAAAGAAGAUUACAACUGGCCGAACUUGAAGAAAUUCGCAAUGAUGCAUACGAAAAUGCCAAGAUUUACAAGCAACGAAUGAAAGUCUUUCACGACAAGCAAAUUAUGAGAAAAACUUUUACUCUAGGUCAGAAAGUGCUUUUAUUUAAUUCUCGCUUGCACUUAUUCCCAGGUAAGUUACGCUCUUGAUGGUCUGACCCCUUUAUUGUUCAUACUGUUUUUCCACAUAGGGCAAUUGAAAUUAAGGACCCAAAGAACGGUGUCAUGUUUAAAGUUAAUGGUCAAAGAUUAAAGCCAUAUCUAGAGUACCAACCACAUGGAGAAGACACCGAAAUAAAUUUGAAUGACCCACCAGAUUUGAAUUGAUUUUUUUUCUUUUCGGUGAUUUGAUUUUUUUCUUUCUUUCUUUAUAUUAUUCUUUUGCUAUUUGGAAUUAUUUUUGCAUAAGUGUGUUUGUUUAACCAUUAAGUUUUUUUUUCUUAUCAUUAUUAAUCAUGAGUACUAUACUUAAACUAUUUCUCCUGAACAUUCUUAAACCACUUCAACGUGUAAAAUCUCAUCUCAAAAGACAAAUUUGAUUUUGUAAGGCACAUCGUAUUUGGGCUCUGCAACCACCAGAGUUAGUAUCCUAUGUUGAGGGUUUAGAAAGCCAACUCAAAGACAUUGAGAGAAGUGUUUACGACAUCCAGUUGGAGCUUGAGGUAAAUUCAAUAAGAGGAUGAUUUUAAUUUUCUUUGUGUGUUUUAAUUUAUUUUUUUGUUUGUGUGCUUUAGUUUGUUACCCCGGUGAAGUGACGGAUAACGGUACUCCGUGACAAUCAAGUCGGUUACUUCAGUUUUCCCAUAAUAACUGAUAUUCUGAGGCGAAUGUAUGGACAGAAAUGAAAUUCUAGCGAAGCUUCACAAGCGAUUCCCUUCACUUCCUCAGAAUGCCCUCCGUACAAUCUAUAAAGCCCGGUCCGAACGCAUGCGAUUGCUCAUGAGGAAUAACAUACCUGCUGACAUCCGUUGGUUAAUCGAGGCUAAAGUACGAUUGGCAGGUGAGUUACCUCCAAAAUUUAUUGCAUACAUGCCUGGGUGUGGUAAAGGAAAUUUUGCAAGAAAAUGACGAGCUCGAAGAAUUUCUGUUGCUUGUCAUAAGUGUACCAGAAUGAGUUGCGAUAAAAACCCAUGUUAUUUAGGAAUGGUGUCUGAUAACAGGGAAGAUAAGAUUCAAUUCAUUAGGGAUGGCUUAAAAAAGGAGUCAUUGGAUGAUAUCCUUCUAUCUCUUGAAACGCAUCCCAGUGGAUAUGUGCAAGGAGCGAUUCUCCAGUUAUGACCAUUAUUCCAGAAAGAGCAUGUAUGAUAUAGUCUCGGGAAUCUAACUAUAAAUGACCCUGUUUGCCAGUUUAUAAGAAAACUGGAUGGGAAGCACAUCCUCGACCCAUAGAGGGCGUUCAAGCCAUUUCUGGACGUAAAACCAGAGGAAGAUGUGUGCCACAGUCGCAACUACAUGUAAAUAUCCUUUUACUUCACUGUUAUUUUAUUUCACUGUUAUUUUAUCUUUUCCAUUAUUGUCUUUAAUAAUUUUAUUUUAUCAUUAUUUCUUUUUCUUUUUACUAUUUCCUUUUUUACUCGCGAUCCAUGUGCUUUACGCGGUAUUUGACACUGACAUGCCACCUCAUACACAGUUAUGACCCACUGUCACCAAGAUUCUUAAAUAUGACUUUUUUUUAAGCACUCACAAAUUAUUUUUGAGAAAUAUUCCAAUAGCAGCUAUCCCAAUAGACAAUUCAAGAACAUUUGUGUGCUUUCUGGAUUUACCUAUGGCAAACAUAAAGAGUUCAUUGAUGCAGCCAUAGAUCUUAGUUGAAGUAUAGAAGAGAGAAAAUUACACUUGGUGUAUGGAGGAGGUAACCGAGGGUUAUCAAAAUUGGUCUCAGAAGCUGCUUUUGUCAGAGGAAGCCAAGUGUUAGGCAUCAUUCCAAGAGCCCUAAACCUUUUGGGUAGUUUGUCUGACUCAUCGACUGGAGAAGAGCUAGUCGUCUCAGGUAUGCAAGAAAGAAUAACUGAAAUGCUUAAUCAUGUUGAUGUUUUUAUUUUCCUUCCAGGAGAUCUUGCAACACUAGAGGCAUUUAUCACGCUAGCAUCUUAGGCCCAUUUGCACAUUCACCAGAAACCCAUCGGUUUGUUAAAUGUCAAUAAUUUUUAUGAUGGCUUCAUCGCAUUUCUUAACCAUGCAAUAAAAAACUAUUUCAUUCCUUCCAAUGCGAAAAAGCUUUUUAUUUGUGCUCACACUGCUAAUGAGCUACUUGAUAUGUUAAAAGCUUAUAAACCGGAGCCAGACCCCUGGACCUUGUGUUGGAGCGUCCAAAUAAUGACGGUAACAGUAGCUGCAGUAAGAAGUACAAAUUAGAUUUAACUCUUCGCUUGUAAAUAUUUUCUUCUGUGUUGCACCACCCAGGUGAUGUCUUCUAAACUCUACUUCUUUCCUUUAAAACAUUGAGGACAAUGUUUUGUUCUGGUUGGGGUGAGGGAAUAGUCGACAAUUGUGGAAUUUUGGUUAAGUUUUUACUAAUUUUUUGUUGUAGAAACUAAGGUGGUGUUUGUUUUUUUAUCUGAAAUCUGAAUAGACCUGAAUGUCUGAAUCUGAAUAAUAUGUUUAUUUUUUCGUCUGAAUCUCGAAAAAUAAGUAUUAAGUUGUUUGUUUUUUUCAACUUAAAAAGUUGAAAAUAUGUACUUUUACAUUUGUAUCCUUAUUAAUUUUGAAUGUCAAAUAAAUAAUAUAUUAAAUACCACAAUAUUUUAACAUUUAUAAGUAAAACUAUAUUCAAGUGAAUACAUAAUUAUUUUAGAAUUUUAAUAUAUAAAAUACCAUAAAUUUCAAAUUUUAUCAUAUAUAAUAUAAGAAAGAAAAAAUAUGAAUAUUUUUAUAUGGGGUAAAUAUCUAUAGGUGAGUUUUGGGAUAGACAUGAAAAAUAAAUUAUAAAACAGGGAUAUUUUUUACAUUAGCAAGUAAUUGACUUAAUUCAGAUUUCUCCAUUAAGUAAAAGGCUAAAAAAAUUAGGUUAUUUUAUUAAGUCAAAAUUAUCUAAAAAGUCUCAUUAAGUUAUAAAAACAAACACCUCUAAUUAACUUAAUUAAUUAAGUUAAGUCACUUUAAGUCAUUAAGUUAAAAAAACAAACGCCACCUAACUAUUGCUAACUUUUUGUGUUGAAGAUGGCUGAAUAUGGAGUGUAGUGACUCUACAAACGCAUCUUCAUCGUUUAAAAAAAAAAAAAUUAGACAUUUUCUUUUUCUUUAUUAUGUUUUGAUAUUCAUUUUUCUUUUUCUUUUUAAUUUCUCCUUUAUAAAUAUACAUUUUCAAUUUUUUUUUUGAGUCGAAGAUGGCUGAAUAGGGAGUAUAGUGCCUCUAGAAACGCAUCUUCUCAAGUUAAAAAAAAAAUCAUUUUCGUUUUCUAUCAUUUUCUAAUUAGUUUUUCUGCAUCAUUUUCACAUUUCUGCAUGUAUAUUUUCGUUUCAUGUUUAGAAUAGGUUGGGGGGUAGGAUGUUGUUUAAAAAAAAAUUUUUUGUGAUUUGUUUUAACAUUGGAUGACAUGAUGAAUUUUAAAUUUUAGUAUUUGUAUUAUCUUUAGUCUGAAGUGAUGUUACGCUAUGUUUGCUACUCUACAUGUUGAUGUCGGAGACAAAUAUGAAUUGCUUGAAGGAAUGAACAUGUCAUAUUAGCCAAUAUCUUACAAGUUUCAUCACCUAUUUAUAUUUGAGAAAAAUGUAAAUAAAUAUUUUGUAUAGUGAAGUUAUGCCCAACAAAAGCAAACAAAAAAAAAUUGUUGUUUCAAAAAAAAGAAAAAAAUGACAAUAAUAUGUGAAAUCCACCUUGCAACUUAAAAAAAAAAAACAAAAAAAAAAUUUCUCUGCAUUUUUCUCAAACAUACACUUUGUUUUCCUUAUUUCCUUUCUUUGUUAACCAUGUCCCUAACCUACGUUACGUCCUAAUCAAAGUCCUUCUUGAUUUUAGGGAACUAUAAUAUGAAGUAGAAGCUAGUUAUAUGGGCUAAAAAGAUGUAGUGGUGCAUUAAAAAAAUAAUAAAUAAAAAGAAAUAAAUUGGGUUGACUAGUAUUUUUAUUUGACUUGAGAUCGUAUUAUUUCUAAGUUGCGGGCAUAUUUCUUUCAUCUUAGUGAGAGCAUGUGAUAUCACUUCUUUAUUAUUUUCUCUCAAUUACCAUUCAUUGGAGUGACUAUUUUUAUUGGGUUUAAUUUCUUUGUGAGAGUGUCACUACUUCUAGUGAGAUUUUGGGGUUUGACAUGUCAUUCUUGAAAGUAGCUGUGACAAAGUCUACUGGGCUGAUUCAUGUGGAUGGUUGAUGUGGGUGUGAUGUUUCUUUAGACUUGAGAUAAUGCUUAUACUUUUAUUUGAUUGUUAUCAUUAGUUUGAUUGAAUAAACAAGAGUGUUUAAAAAAAAAAAUCAUUUUGGAUUUGAAUUUUGUUUUCGCUUUAUUUGCUAGGGACUAGCAAUAAGCUGGUUGGGGGGUGUGUUGAGUGUUAGAAAAUGCAUAUUUAUAAAGGAGAAAAUCGUCAUUUUAUAUUUCACGUCUUACAAACAACGCUUACUUUUAUGUAUUUAAGCUUCUUGUAAUUUAAUUAUGUGUGUUUUAUUUUAAUUAAGUAUUUUAUGUAUUUUAGGGGCAUUAUGAUCAUUUUAUAAUAAACGAGAGAUCAGACGGCAAAACGGACAUCACUUUUGAACUCAGGACGGUCGAAAACCUUAGGAAGAGCAUAAAAGGAAAAAUAGCAUUGUUCACAUGUACGGUACUAUUCACAUGUACGGUACUAUCUACGUUACUGUUCACGACACUAUUUACAUAGACGGAUCGAUGAUGUGGCAUUGACCGAUGAUAUGGUAUUGACUGAUGAGUGUCACGAUCUUGUUGGACUAAAAUUCUUAUGCACUAUUUAUCGAUGACGUGGCAGCAUAUCAGUGGACCAAAAAUCUCGCGUACGGUACAUGCAUUAAACAGGAUUAUUUUCAACCAAACUGCGUCACUAUUCAAUCCGGGUCAAACCAUGUUACUGUUCAUCUGCGUGGCCAAACCGCGUACUGUUGACUGAUGACGUGGCGCAAUCCUGAGCGUCCAAACUGUUUUUAAUCUGAUGGCCACGAUUUACUCAAUGUAUCUAUAACAAGGGGGCCUCCUCCCCCUAAUUUGAUACCUUUGAAUCUAUUUUUGGGAUCCAUUUUCUGUAAUUCCUUCUCCAUCUUGUAUUUUCUACAUAUUUUAAUAAAUUCCCAUUUUACCCCUAGUUCAAUUAUGAGUAGCUAAUUUUCUUUCAAGCUUGGGUUGAAGGUGAAGUCUCAACAUGUGUCUUGGGCUUUAUUUAGUAAAUUUAUUUUCUCUUCCCCUCUAGUUUUUGUGGAUGUUUUGACUUCUCGUCGACAAAUAAUAAUAAUCUUGUUUAGUACCGCCUUGGUUUCACCGGCUCCCUAAUACAAGGUUAUUAUUAUUUGGCAUGAUAAACCCUUAGCAUCAUAUUGAUUAGAGCGUGGUUCAUGAGGUGUGGAUUCCCCCCUCAUGAUUUAAUUGGUAUUAAUAAGGAAUAGUUAGCCCAUGGUGCAUGUUGAUACGGAUCCAGAUACCCAAGUACGUCAAUUUAAUAGAUUUUCACUUUAAUUUCUUCUCGCCAUUUCAAUUCCAAUUUUUAGGAUAAUUUAAAUCACUUCCACCACAAAUCCAACCACCUCAUACAAAAUUAAUUCUACAUAUAAUUAAAAUCCACCUCCUUGUGGGAUCGACACUCGUCACCAUUAGUCUAUUCUAUAAUAGAUUCGUGCGCUUGCAAGUUCAAUAAAAUUUGCACAAUAGUUAGCUUAUCGAAUUAACAGCUCACUUAUCAUCUUCAAUAUUUUGCAGAUUGAUUUUAGAGAUGUGGGUUUUUUGGUCUAAAGAAGAGGAUUUGUUAGGUCAGAAACUUUGGUGUUUUCUAAAUGAAUAAGUUGUUGCUACUUUGGUUAUUGUUUAGACUUGAAUUUUUGUUUUAGAGAAUUAUUGUUAUAUUUAUUAUUUUAGAGACUAUGUUUCGACUAUAGCUAUUUUCGUUUAGGAAUAGCAAUAAGAUUAAUGUUAAGAGGUUUCGUUCUAAAUUUCUCUUGGGAUUCUUAAGUGAAUUUGGAGUGUUAUAUUUUUGGUAUCAGAGAAAAUGGUUAUAAGAUUCUGUAGACAUUUAAGGUCAAUGACCAAUAGCUUAGGAUUGAAAUCCUAUAGAGGUCUUGCACACUUUUAAGACUGUAGUGAUUUAUGAUAGGUAAAAUACAGAGCUGAUUAUAGGUAUGUCCAAAAAUUUAUUUUCAUUGAUGGAUUUGUACGAAUAAUUUCAAUGUUUCACAGUUUUGCUCUUGUUAAAGAGUUUGACUUUUAAGUUAUUGAUUUAUUCAUAUGUUUAUAGGUAUAUGAUUUUAUCUGUAAUUUGAAAAAAAAUGCAAUGUUCAAUUUUUCUACUUGUAUAUGCUUAAUGACCAACAAAAUAAUGCCUCCUAGCAAUGAUACUAGUUGAACCCUACCAUAUGAGAGUGAUAGAGUAGCUCGAGGGUAAUUGGUCCUUGGAUUAGGGUUGAUCCUGGUACUGCCUAAUGUAUUACAGUGGUGGUUGAGGUUGAGACGAGUAAUCUAUAGGGAGUAGUUAAGCAGAAAGCCCCACCCUUCAUGAAAUGGCUUAAAAUGCUAACCUGACAAUGCAGAUGUUAUUUUGAGAACGGAUUGAUUAGUAACCUAUCAUGCUAGUGUUGGGUAUUUCUCAAAGGAGAUUUUAUUUAAAAUUUUGGAGAUAUAGAAUUUCAGUUUAAAGGCAACCAAAAAAAUUAUGGGGGGCUAAUAUUUGUACUUAAGGCUAACAAGAUAUUAGCAAAAGGAUGUGAGGGCUUUUUAGCAUAUGUGGUGACCGAUAAUAAUAGUGAAGUUUGACUGAUAAUAAUAGUGAAGCUUCCCUUGGGGAUUUCAGGUGGUUGGGGAAUUUUUAGAUGUAUUUUGUUGUGCAAAUUUUAAUGAACUCGCAAGCACACGAAUCUAUUGUAGUGUAGAUCAAUGGUGACGAGUGUCGAUCCCACGAGGAGGUGGAUUUUAAUUGUGUGUAGAAUUAAUUCUGUAAAUGGGUGAUUGGAUUUGUGGUGGAAAUGAUUUUGAAUAUACUAAAACUUAAAUUAAAAUGGUGAGAAUAAAUUCUAAAAUUGGAAUUGAAAUAACGAGAAUAAAUUGAAGAGAAUUCUAUUGAAAUGACGUACUUGGGUAUCUGGAUCCGUAUCAACAUGCAUCAUGGGCUAAAUAUUCCUUAUUAAUGCCAAUUAAAUCAUGAGGGGGGAAUCCACACCUCAUGAACCACGCUCUAAUCAAUAUGGUGCUAAGGGCUUAUCGUGCCAAAUAAUAAUAACCUUAUACUAGAGAGCCGGUGUAACCAAGGCGGUAUCUAGACAAGAUCAGUAUUAUUUGUCGACGAUAAGUCAAAUCAUCCACAAAAACUAGAGGGGAAAAGAAAAUAAAUUUACCAAAUAAAGCCCAUGACACAUGUUGAGACUUCACCUUCAACCCAAGCUUGAAAGGAAAUUAGCUACUCAUAAUUGAAUUAGGGGCAAAAUGGGAAUUUAUUAAAAUACAAAGAAAAUACAAGAUGGAGAAGGAAUUACAGAAAAUGGAUCCCAAAAAUGGAUUCAGAGAUAUCAAAUUAGGGGGGGGAGGCCCCCUUUUUAUAGAUACAUGGAGUAAAUCAUGGCCAUCGGAUUAAAAACAGUUUGGACGCUCAGGAUUGCGCCACGUCAUCAGUCAACAGUCCACGGUUUGACCACGCGGAUAAACAGUAACACGGUUUGACCCGGAUGAACAGUAACACGGUUUGGUUGAAAAUAAUCCUGUGUGAUGCAUGCACCGUACGCGAGAUUUUUCGUCCACUGAUAUGCUGCCACGUCACCAUCAACAGUACAUAAGAAGUUUAGUCCAACAGGAUCGUGACACCUCAUCAGUCAAUGCCACAUCAUCGGUCAAUGCCACGUCAUCGAUCCGUCUAUGUGAACAGUGUCGUGAACAGUAACGUAGACAGUACCGUAUACGUGAAUAGUACCGUACAUGUGAAUAGUGCCAUUUUUCCUUUUAUGCUCCUCCUAAGGUUUUCGACCGUCCUGAGUUCAAAAGUGAUGUCCGUUUUGCCGUCUGAUCUCUCCUUUAUUGUGAAAUGACUAUAAUGCCCCUAAAAUAUAUAAAAUACUUAAUUAAAAUAACACACACGUAAUUACAUCACAAGAAGGUUAAAUACAUAAAAGUAAGGGUUGUUAGUAAGACUUGAAAUGUAAAAUGACGGUUUUCUCCUUUAUAAAUAUGCAUUUUCUAACACUCAACACACCCCCCAACCAGCUUAUUGCUAGUCCCUAGCAAAUAAUGCGAAAUCAAAAUUCAAAUUCAAAAUGAUUUUUUUUUUUUUUUUUAGAAACACUCGUGUUUAUUCAAUCAGAUUAAUUAUAGCAAUCAAAUAAAAGUAUAAGCAUUAUCUCCAGUCUAAAGCAACAUCACACCCACAUCAACCAUCCACAUGAAUUAGCCCAGUAGACUUUGUUAUAGCUACUUUCAAGAAUGACAUGUCAAACCCCAAAAUCUCACUGGAAGUAGUGACACUCUCACAAAGAAAUUAAAACCCAAUAAACAUAGUCACUCCAAUGAAUGGUAAUUGAGAGAGAAAAUAAUAAAGAAAUGAUAUCACAUGCUCUCACCAAGAUGAAAUAAAUAUGCCCUCAGCUUAGAAAUAAUACGAUCUCAAGUCAAAUAAAAUGUUAGUUAACCCACUUUAUUUAUCUUUUUUUUUUAUUAUUAUUAUUAUGCAUCACUACAUCUUUUUAGCCCAUAUAACUAGCUUCUACUUCAAACUAUAGUUCCCUAAAAUCAAGAAGGACUUUUAUUAGGACGUAACGUAGGCUAGGGAUAUGGCUAACAAAGAAAGGAAAUAAGGAAAACAAAGUUUAUGUUUGAGAAAAAUGCAGAAUUUUUUUUUUUUUUUUAAAGUUGCAAGGUGGAUUUCACCUAUUAUUGUUAUUUUAUUCUUUUGAAACAACAACUUUUGUUUUUUUUGUUUUUUUUUUUUUGCUUUUAUUUGGCAUAACUUCACUGAACAACAUAAUUAUUUACAUUUUCUCAAACAUAAAUAGGUGAUGGAACUUAUAAGACAUCGGGUAAUACUCCAAAUUAGAGUGGGUCAAGAUGAUAAGUUGACAAAGAAAUUUUUUUCUUCUUUUUUUUUUUUAAAGGCUCAAAAGGGGUAACUAUGGAUAUUUAAUAACAGGGAUGGCUAGAAAGGCUCAAACGGAUCAAAGAUGGCCUUUCCAUCGUUUUUUAGGGCUCUAAAUAAUUAUCCAUAUCUACUAGUUAGAUGGGCCUCCCAAUGUAGCAACACACAUUUUUUCUUUUUUUUUUUUAAUUUUACCAUUUUUUUUUAUAGGGUUAACUCAAAAGAAAUCUAGAGAUCGUGUAUAAAAUAAUAAACUGCUAAGCUGUAUAGAAAAUGGGCAAAAGGGUUACUCUCCAAGAAAAUGAUAGGCUCAACUACUCACUUGGCACUUAUUUAUGACAUGUUCAUUCCUUCAAGCAACUCAUAUUUGUCUCCGACAUCAACAUGUAAAGUAGCAAACAUAGCGUAACAUCACUUAAGGCCAAAGAUAAUACAAAUACUAAAAUUUGAAAUUAAUCAUGUCAUCCAAUGUUAAAACAAAUAACACAAUUUUUUUUGUUUUUUUUUAAACAACAUUCUACCCCCCAACCUAUUCUAAACAUGAAAGGAAAAUAUGCAUGCAGAAAUGUGAAAAUGAUGUAGAAAAAUUAAUUAGAAAAAGAAUUUUUUUUUUUUUAAACUAAGAAGAUGCGUUUCUAGAGGCACUACACUCUAUAUUCAGCCAUCUUCGACUCAAAAAUUUGAAAAUAUAUAUUUAUAAAGGAGAAAGAGGAAGAAAACGAUUUUUUUUUUUGUUUUUUUUUUGUUUUUUUUGUUUUUUAAACGAUGAAGAUGCGUUUCUAGAGUAACUACACUCCAUAUUCAGCCAUCUUCAACACAAAAUGUUAGCAACAGUUAGUUUCUACAACAAAAAAUCAGUAAAAACUUAACCAAGAUUCCACAAUUGUCGACUAUUCCCUCCCCCCAACCAGAACGAAACAUUGUCCUCAAUGUUUUAAAGGAAAGAAGUAGAGUUUAGAAGACAUCACCUGGGUGGUGCAACACAGAAGAAAAUAUUUACAGGCGGAGAGUUAAAUCUAAUUUGUACUUCUUACUGCGGCUACUGUUACCAUCAUUAUUUGGUCGCUCCAACACAAAGGUCCAGGGGUCUGGCUCCGGUUUAUAAGCUUGUAACAUAUCAAGUAGCUCAUUAGCAGUGUGAGCACAAAUAAAUAGUUUUUUCACAUUAGAAGGAAUGAAAUAGUUUUUUAUUACAUGGUUAAGAAAUGAGAUAAAGCCAUCAUAAAAGUUAUUGACAUUUAACAAACCGAUGGGUUUCUGGUGGAUGUGUAGAUGGGCCCAAGAUGCUAGUGUGAUAAGUGCCUCUAGUGUUGCAAGAUCUCCUGGAAGGAAAAUAAAAGCAUCAGCAUGAUUAAGCAUUUCAGUUAUUCUUUCUUGCAUACCUGAGACGACUAACUCUUCUCCAGUUGAUGAGUUAGACGAACUGCCCAAUGGUUUUAGGACUCUUGGGAUGAUGCCUAACACUUGACUUCCUCUGAUAAAAGCUGCUUCGGAGACCAUUUUUGAUAAUCCUCGGUUACCUCCUCCAUACACCAAGUGUAAUUUUCUCGCUGCUAUGCUUCGACCAAGAUCUAUGGCUGCCUCCACGAACUCUUUAUGUUUGUCAUAGGUAAAUCCAGAAAGCACACAAAUGUUCUUGAAUUGUCCAUUGGGAGUAGCUGCCAUUGUGAUACUUCUCAAAAACAAUUUGUGAGUGCUUGACAAAAGAUAAAUCACAUUUAAGAAUCUUGGUGACAGUGGAUCACAGCUGUGAAGGAGGUAACAUGUCAGUGUCAAAUAACGCGUAAAGCACGUGGCUCGCGAGUCAAAAAGGAAACAGUAAAAAGGAAAAAGCAAACAGUAAUAAAAUUAUUAAAGACAAUAAUACAAACGAUAAAACAACAGUAAAAUAAAACAACAGUAAAGUAAAAGGAUAUUUACAGGUAGUUGCGACUGUGGCUCACAUCUUCCUCUGGUUUUACGUCCAGAAACGGCUUGAACGCCCUCUAUGGGUCGAGGAUCGGCUUCCCAUCAAGUUUUCUUAUAAACUGACAAACAGGGUCAUUUAUAGUCAGAUUCCCGAGACUAUAUCGUGCAUGCUCUUUCUGAAAUAAUGGCCAUAAUCGGAGAAUCGCUCCUUGCACAUAUCCACUGGGAUGCGUUUCAAGAGACAAAAUGAUAUCAUCCAAUGACUCCUUAUUCAAGCCAUCCCUAAUGAAUUGAAUCUUAUCUUCCCUGUUAUCAGACACCAUUCCUAAAGAACAUGGGUUUCUAUCGCAACUCAUUCUGGCACACUUAUGACAAGCAACAGAAAUUCUUCGAGCUCGUCGUUUUCUUGCAUAAUUUCCUUUACUACAACCAGGCAUGAAUGCAAUAAAUUUUGGAGGUAACUCACCUGCCGAUCGUACUUUAGCCUCGAUUAACCAACGGAUGUCAGCAGGUAUGUUAUUCUUCAUGAGUAAUCGCAUGCGUUCGGACCGAGCUUUAUAGAUCGUAAAGAGGGCAUUCUGAGGAAGUGAAUGGAAUCGCUUGUGAAGCUUCGCUAGAAUCUCGUUUAUGUCCAUACUUUCGCCUCAGAAUGUCAGUUAUUAUGGGAAACUGAAGUAACCGACUUGAUUGUCACGGAGUACCGUUAUCCGCCACUUCACCGGGGUAACAAACUAAAGCACAAAAACAGAAAAACAAAUCAAAACACACAAAGAAAAUUAAAAUCGUCCUCUUAUUGAAUUUACCUCAAGCUCCAACUGGAUGUCGUAAACACUUCUCUCAAUGUCUCUGAGUUGGCGUUCUAAACCCUCAACAUAGGCUACUAACUCUGGUGGUUGUAGAGCCCAAAUGCGUUGUGUUUUACAAAAUUGAAUCUGCUUUUUGAGAUGAGUUUUGACACGUUGAAGUGGUUUAAGAAUGUUCAGGAGGAACGGUCUAAGUAUGGUACUCAUGAUUAACAAUGAUAAGAAAAAAAAACUUAAUGGUAAAACAAACACACUUAUGCAAAAAUAAUUUCAAUUAGCAAAAGAAUAAUAAAAAGAAAGAAAGAAAAAUCAAAUCAACAAAAAGAAAAAAUCAAUUCAAAUCUGGUGGGUCACUCAAAUUUAUUUCGGUGUCUUCUCCAUGUGGUUGGUACUCAAGAUAUGGCUUUAAUCUUUGACCAUUAACUUUAAACGUGACACCGUUCUUUGGGUCCUUAAUUUCAAUUGCCCGAUGUGGAAAAACAGUAUGAACAAUAAAGGGACCAGACCAUCGAGAGCGUAACUUACCUGGGAAUAAGUGCAAACGAGAAUUGAAUAAAAGCACUUUCUGACCUGGAGUGAACGAUUUUCUCAUAAUGUGCUUGUCAUGAAAGACUUUCAUUCGUUGCUUGUAAAUCUUGGCAUUUUCGUAUGCAUCAUUACGAAUUUCUUCAAGUUCUGCCAGUUGUAAUCUUCUUUCUGAGCUGGCUUGCUGCAUGUCAAAGUUGAAUUUCUUGAUGGCCCAAUAUGCACGAUGCUCGAGUUCCACAGGUAGGUGGCAAGCUUUUCCAUACACUAGCCUGUAGGGUGACAUCCCAAUCGGGGUCUUGAAAGCCGUUCUAUAUGCCCAUAAUGCAUCAUCAAGUCUUAAUGACCAAUCUUUUCUGUCUGGCCUCACUGUUUUUUCUAAUAUGUGCUUGAUUUCUCGAUUGGAGAUCUCAACUUGGCCACUGGUUUGCGGAUGAUACGGGGUCGCCACUUUGUGUGUGAUUGAAUACUUUGUCAAAAGAGCUUUGAAUGCUUUGUUACAAAAGUGGGCACCACCAUCACUGAUUAUCGCUCGAGAGAAUCCAAAGCGCGAAACAAUAUUGCUUUUCAAAAAUCCUAUCACCACUUUGUGAUCAUUGGUUCUGCAUGGAAUUGCUUCCACCCAUUUCGAUACGUAGUCAAUACCAACCAAUAUGUAUUGAUGGCCAAAAGAAGGGAGAAAGGGUCCCAUGAAGUCGAUACCCCAUAUGUCAAAAAUCUCAACCAUUAAAAUUGGAUUUAGUGGCAUUAUGUUCCUUCGUGUAAUGCUCCCCAUUCGUUGACACCUAUCACAUGAAGAACAGAAAGUGUAAGCAUCUCGAAAUAUAGUUGGCCAAUAGAAACCACAUUGUAAAACUUUAGUCGCUGUUUUCUUAGCACUGAAAUGGCCUCCACACGCUUGUUCAUGGCAGAAUGAAAGGAUAUUUUGAAUUUCACUUUCUGGGACACAUCACCUAACAAUUUGAUCUGCACAAUACUUGAACAAAUACGGGUCAUCCCAAAAGAAAUUCUUUAUUUCCGCAAAGAAUUUAGCCUUGUCUUGCUCGGUCCAAUGCUCUGGAAGUUUACCUGUAACAAGAUAAUUAACUAUAUCAGCAUACCAAGGUAAUACUUCCACAUUCAUUAAUUGUUCAUCUGGAAAUGACUCAUUCAAUGGUAAUGGUUCCAUAAUUGUAUCAAAAUGGAGGCGAGAGAGAUGGUCAGCUACAACAUUCUCUGUGCCUUUCUUAUCUUUGAAUUCCAAGUCAAAUUCCUGCAAAAGUAACACCCAACGAAUUAGUCUAGCUUUUGCAUAUUUCUUUGUGAGAAGAUAUUUAAGAGCAGCAUGAUCUGUGAAUAUAAUUAUUUUACAACCAAUGAGAUAAAAUCGAAAUUUCUCUAAUGCAAACACUACUGCUAGCAUUUCUUUUUCAGUAGUUGAAUAGUUCAACUGUGCAUCAUUCAAUGUCAUACUAGCAUAGUAAAUAACAUGGGGAAUUCGAUCAACUCUUUGUCCUAAUACUGCUCCUACUGCAUAAUCAGAUGCAUCACACAUGAGCUCAAAUGGUAAGCUCCAGUUUGGGGCCUGAAUGAUGGGUGAUGAUGUCAACAACUGCUUUAAUUUUUCAAAUGCCACAAGACAUGAAUCAUUAAAGAUAAAAGGUACAUCCUUAGCAAGUAGAUUGCAUAAGGGUCUAGAAACUUUGCUAAAAUCUUUAAUGAAACGUCUAUAGAAACCAGCAUGCCCAAGGAAAGAUCUUACUUCUCUGACUGUUUUGGGUGGAGGAAGAUUAGAAAUGAGAUCCACCUUGGCUUUGUCAACCUCAAUACCUUUGCUUGAAAUGAUGUGACCGAGAACAAUACCUUGUUUUACCAUAAAAUGACACUUCUCCCAAUUCAAGACUAAGUUCUUCUCGGUACAUCUCUGCAGAACUAGCGUUAGAUGAUGUAAACAUUGAUCAAACGAGUCACCAAAGACAGAAAAAUCAUCCAUAAAGACUUCAAGAAAUCGUUCAACCAUAUCAGAAAAAAUGCUCAACAUGCAUCGUUGGAAUGUAGCAGGUGCAUUACAUAAUCCAAAUGGCAUUCUCCUAUAUGCAAAAGUGCCAAAAGGGCAAGUGAAAGUAGUUUUCUCCUGAUCUUUUGGUGCUAUGGGAAUCUGAUUAUAUCCUGAGUAGCCAUCUAGAAAGCAAUAAAAUUUAUGGCCUGCUAAUCUAUCAAGCAUUUGAUCAAUAAAUGGUAAAGGAAAAUGGUCUUUACGUGUGACAGAAUUCAACUUUCUAUAAUCAAUGCAUACACGCCAUCCUGUAGUUACUCUAGUUGGUAUCAAUUCAUUAUCAGCAUUGGUAACUACUGUGACUCCUGACUUUUUGGGGACAACUUGUACAGGACUGACCCAUGAACUAUCAGAAAUUGGGUAAAUGAUACCUGCGUCUAAUAGCUUAAGGACUUCUGUUCUAACAACUUCUUUCAUAUUAGGAUUUAACCGACGUUGCAUUUCCCUAGUAGAUUUAGCAUUUUCAUCAAGGUGAAUGUAAUGCAUGCAGUCUACUAGGUUUAUACCCUUUAUAUCUACUAUGGUCCAUCCUAAUGCUCCUUUGUGCUCUUUUAAAACAUCCAACAACUUACCUUUUUGUUCGUCAUUUAGGGAUGAUGAGAUGAUUACCGGCAGAGUACUUUCUUCUCCCAAAAAUGCAUAUUCCAAUGUGUUGGGCAAUGGUUUGAGCUCGAGUUUCGGUGGUGAUUCUGAUGAUGGGAUGAGUUUCUUUUCUGAUGGUGCUAGUUGUUCAACUCUUGACUUCCAUUUAUUAGUGUCCAUGGAUGGUGCUGAGUCAAGUAGAGCAUUGACCUCAUUGACCGAUCUGUCAAUAUCAAAAUCCAAACCAAAGUGAGUUAAGCAUGUCUAUAAAGGGUCAUCACUAAGGUUUGAAAUAAAAGUAUUAUCGACUAUUGUUUCUAUUAAAUCCACAUCAACAAUUCUAUCAUCUGCACUGUGAGGUUGUUUGGCAAUGUUGAAGAUGUUCAGCUCCAUAGUCAUGUUGCCAAAGGACAACUGCAUAUUUUCGGUCCUACAUUGAAUAUGAGCAUCUGCAGUUGCCAAGAAAGGUCGGCCUAGAAUAAUUGGGAUGUGCUUCCUUGAGUCCUGUAUUGGUUGAGUGUCAAUUACAAUGAAAUCAACAGGAAAAUAAAACUUGUCUACCUGGAUAAGCACGUCCUCCACAAUACCACGAGGUAUUUUCGUGGACCGAUCUGCAAGCUGUAACACCACUGGAGUUGGGUGUAAUUCUCCCAGUCCAAGUUUCACAAAUACUGAAUAAGGCAACAAAUUUACACUAGCUCCUAAAUCCAACAAAGCAUUCUCAAUUGUGUGGUUCCCUAUACUACAUGUGAUAGUGGGGGAGCCUGGGUCUUUGCAUUUUAAAGGAAUUUUAUGUUGGAGUAUAGAACUAACGUUUUCUGUUAAAAAUGCCUUCUUUUGAACAUGCAUAUUUCUCUUUUUAGUACAAAGGUCUUUAAGAAACUUGGCAUAAGAUGGAACUUGUUUAAUAGCAUCAAGUAAAGGGAUGUUAACACUUACCUAUUUGAAGAUUUCGAGAAUCUCACCUGUGGAUUUUCCCUUAUUUCCUUUCGCUAACCUCUGAGGAAAUGGAGCUUUAGGAACAUAUUCUCGUGGGUUGGUUUCUUCUUUUUCCUCCGGUGGUGAGUCCUCAACAUUCACAGGUACAAUUUGAUUUUCUUUUGUCACCGGCAUCUCCACUUUGUUGUCGACUUCCUUUCCUUUUCGCAAGGUCAUGACUGCUUUGACCUCUCCAUGCUGUUGUGGUGAACUGGUACUUGCUUCAUGUACUCCUUUAGGAUUAGGCACUGGUUGACUUGGAAAUUUACCUUUCUCAACAGUAAUUGCCAAGGUCUGAACUGAAGAAGCAAGUUGUCCCACCAUCUUCUCGAGGCUUGAAACUGAUUGGGCUUGUGAGUUGAAGCCCGCUCUCAACUCAUUUCGUAGUCCAUCAAUGGUGCGAUUCUGUUGCUCAAUCGUGGAGUGAGUAAGAUUCUUGAGAUCCUGGAAUGAAUCCUCCCAUGGUCUGGGUUGAGAGUAGUUCUGGUUCUGAUUGAAUGGUCUAAAUGGGGGCUGAGAGGCUUGAGGAACUUGAGGAAUUUGUGGAGCUGGAGCUGCUGGUCCAUUCUGUUGGAAUCCUUGAGACCAUGAAAAAUUGGGGUGGUCUCUCCAUCCAGGGUUAUAUGUGUUGGAGUAUGGGUUGUAAUUAGAUGGCUUCCUCAUUACACCUAUGGCAUUGGCUUGAUCGGAGUAUGAGUCAUGGUCAUGUGGUUCUGUUGAUUUAGCAGUCGAUAACGAUGCUAUUUGUCGAGAGAGACCUUCUAUUAUUGCUUUGACUUCUUUGAUUUCUGAAUUUGACUCGCCAAUUUGAACCUCAUUUACUCCCUUAAUUCUUCUAGUAUUCCUGAGUGAUCGACUCCGUUGUUGGGAAUUAUCCGCUUGUCGCUGGAAGAAUUCCCAAAUCUCUGAUGCACUUUUUGACAUUAGCUCUCCUCCACUUGUUGCCAUUAGCCAUUCUUGCACAUUCGGCAAUAAUCCCUCCAAAAAGUAUUGGCAUUGGUGCCAUUUCUCGUACCCAUGAUGUGGACACUUCAAGAGUAGCCCAUUGAAUCGCUCCCAUGUUUCGAAAAACUGCUCGUCCUCUCUUUGGGUAAACUCCGAGAUUUCCCUGCGAAUAGCAUUGGUUUUAUGCACUGGGAAAUAUUUAUUCAAAAAUUUUGUAACCAUUUGUUCCCAUGAUGCAAUGCUAUUAGCAGGCAAUGUAUUAAGCCAUGAACGAGCUCUAUCCUUUAAAGAAAAUGAGAAUCAUCUAAGUUUAACAUCAUCGUCUGAAAAAUUUUCAUAUUUAAAAGUUUGACAAAUUGCAUGAAAAUCAUUCAGAUGAUUAUAUGGGUCCUCAUUUUCUAAGCCAUAGAAUGUGGGGAGACAAUUUAGCACACUAGGUUUUAAUUCAAAACUCCUAGCAGCUACAUUUGGGUAUCUAAUACAUGAUGUGCUCAAAUUAGCUAAGGGACUAAAAUAAUCCUUAAAUGGCCUCUCCUAUGGUGCUUGUAAAUCCAUUUCAAAUUUAUUUUUAACGUUCUUGUGUGUGCGAAGUGUUUUCUCAAGUUCAAGGUCUGUAGGUUCAAGAUUAGGUAAUAAUGACCUACGACCAUACAUGCAAAAUAAAUAAAAUAAAAAUAAAGAUGGAACAAAACAAAUAAAAAUAAAGAAGAGAGAGAAAUUACAAUACUAACCUUAUUGCGCUAUUACAACCUUACUAUAAAAAUACACACAAAAACAAAAAAUACGUGAAAUAAAUUAACUAAAAAAAAUUAGUAAGAUAAACAAAAAUUACAAAGAAAGAAAAAAAAAAUAAAUUGAAAAUUAAAUUACAGAAUUUUAAAGAAGAGAAAAAGAAAAGAAAUACUAACCUUUAAAUGUAGAUUUACUUUUUUUUUUUUUUAAAGAACAAAAAAAAAAUACAAGAAAACAAUUAAAUGAAAUUAUUCACAAAAAUUAAAUCUAUGAAUUAAAAUUACUUACCUCCCCGGCAACGGCGCCAAAAACUUGUUGUGUAAAUUUUAAUGAACUCGCAAGCGCACGAAUCUAUUGUAGUGUAGAUCAAUGGUGACGAAUGUCGAUCCCACGAGGAGGUGGAUUUUAAUUGUGUGUAGAAUUAAUUCUGUAAAUGGGUGAUUGGAUUUGUGGUGGAAAUGAUUUGGAAUAUACUAAAACUUAAAUUAAAAUGGCGAGAAUAAAUUCUAAAAUUGGAAUUGAAAUAGCGAGAAUAAAUUGAAGAGAAUUCUAUUGAAAUGACGUACUUGGGUAUCUGGAUCCGUAUCAACAUGCAUCAUGGGCUAAAUAUUCCUUAUUAAUGCCAAUUAAAUCAUGAGGGGGGAAUCCACACCUCAUGAACCACGCUCUAAUCAAUAUGGUGCUAAGGGCUUAUCGUGCCAAAUAAUAAUAACCUUAUACUAGAGAGCCGGUGUAACCAAGGCGGUAUCUAGACAAGAUCAGUAUUAUUUGUCGACGAUAAGUCAAAUCAUCCACAAAAACUAGAGGGGAAAAGAAAAUAAAUUUACCAAAUAAAGCCCAUGACACAUGUUGAGACUUCACCUUCAACCCAAGCUUGAAAGGAAAUUAGCUACUCAUAAUUGAAUUAGGGGCAAAAUGGGAAUUUAUUAAAAUACAAAGAAAAUACAAGAUGGAGAGGGAAUUACAGAAAAUGGAUCCCAAAAAUGGAUUCAGAGAUAUCAAAUUAGGGGGGGGGAGGCCCCCUUUUUAUAGAUACAUGGAGUAAAUCAUGGCCAUCGGAUUAAAAACAGUUUGGACGCUCAGGAUUGCGCCACGUCAUCAGUCAACAGUCCACGGUUUGACCACGUGGAUGAACAGUAACACGGUUUGACCUGGAUGAACAGUAACACGAUUUGGUUGAAAAUAAUCCUGUGUGAUGCAUGCACCGUACGCGAGAUUUUUCGUCCACUGAUAUGUUGCCACGUCACCAUCAACAGUACAUAAGAAGUUUAGUCCAACAGGAUCGUGACACCUCAUCAGUCAAUGCCACAUCAUCAGUCAAUGCCACGUCAUCGAUCCGUCUAUGUGAACAGUGUCGUGAACAGUAACGUAGACAGUACCGUAUACGUGAAUAGUACCGUAUACGUGAAUAGUACCGUACAUGUGAAUAGUGCCAUUUUUCUUUUUAUGCUCCUCCUAAGGUUUUCGACCGUCCUGAGUUCAAAAGUGAUGUCCGUUUUGCCGUCUGAUCUCUCCUUUAUUGUGAAAUGACUAUAAUGCCCCUAAAAUACAUAAAAUACUUAAUUAAAAUAACACACACGUAAUUACAUCACAAGAAGGUUAAAUACAUAAAAGUAAGGGUUGUUAGUAAGACUUGAAAUGUAAAAUGACGGUUUUCUCCUUUAUAAAUAUGCAUUUUCUAACACUCAACAUAUUUCCUGAGGAUUUGCCUAGUUUGCCUUCUGAUCAAGAAAUUGAAUUUUCUAUUAAUUUAUUGUUUGGCACUACACGUAUCUCCAAAGCACCUUACCAUAUGGCACCUCUUGAGUUGAAUGAAUUAAAGGUUCAACUACAGGAGCUUCUUCGUAAAGUUUUUAUUCGCCCUAGUUUAUCUCUUUUCAGAGCUCCAAUAUUGUUUAUAAAAAAGAAAGAUGGUUAUAUUGUUAGCCUAUGUGGCUAUAGAAUGUUGAUUUUGAUGAUAAUAAACCACAUGUUUUGGCUAAACAAAGAAUUAAACAUUUUUCUUUUAUAAAAAGAGAAUGAUUUUAUGAAAUUAGUUAUUUUUCAAGAUGUGGACUAAAAUAAAAAAAUUUUGUCAUCUUUGAUUUUAAUAAGUAUUGUUUUGAACUCUAGAUUUUGAUCUAUUUGCAAAUAUUUGAAACAUUUUGCACUAUACUAUAAUUUCUAUAAAUUUUGGGUUGUAUCAUAAUUUCAGUAAAUUUUAAAAUUGGACCUUUUUACAAAUUUUAUGACAUUUUAGGCUAUAGUAUAAUUUUAUAAAGUUUUAGGGUAAAACUAUAAUUUUAGAAAAUAAUUGUUUUACUUUAGCAAGCAGUUAGCCGGAUUUAUCAAGCGGCAAACCGGUUAUGGAUAGAAGCUCUCUGGAAUAAAAGCGGCCUACCGGAAAUGAAAAGUGGCAUGUUGGAUGUGCAAAAUUUCAAAUCUUUGAACAUAACGGUAACAUAAAACAGCAAGCUGGAUUCACAAAGCGGCAAGCUGGUUAUCACCAGAAAGUCUAUAACAACUAGUUUUUGGGCUGAAACUAUAUAAAUUCAAAUUCAAUUCAUAUUUAGAACCUUUUGCAAGCCAAAAAAAAAAAAGUAUAUAACAUAUAUUGAGCUUCCAUUUCGUUAAUCAUUUUAGAUUAAAUCUUCAUUGAGCUUUUAUUUAUAUAUUCGCUCUAAAAAGAGUUUUUAUUGCAAUCUUUAUUUUCUCAUCAAAUUUGUGAGUGUAUAAGUGUGAGAAACACUUGGGGUGAAGAGAUUGAGAGAUAAUCUCUUUGUUAUAAAGGUCUAUUAACACUUUGAAAGUCAAUUGUAAGCAUUUAAUACCUUGGGAGGUUUGGAUAGUGAAAUCCUCAAACUUGAUUUGCUUGGAGGCGUGGACAAAGGCGGAGAUUACCUAACAACAUAAAAAUUAUUGUGUUGCUCUCUCUUCUCUUACUCUUUUAUUAUUGUGCUUUAUUAAUUUAUUGUUUUUGAUUUCAUUGUGCGAUUUGUUUAGCUUAAGUUUUAAAAUCUCAAUUCACCCCCCUCUUGGAUUGCAUAACUAGCAUUUCAUCUAUGUGGUUAUGCAAUGGUUAGCGACAAUUGAAUUUGGUUUCCAUUUAGAACAAAUAUUCAUUUCUUCACAUUGAUGAUCUUUUUGAUCAACUAGUAGGUGCAACAGUAUUCUCUAAAAUGUAUUUAUGGUCUAGGUAUCAUCAGCUGAAAGUGAAAAAUGAGGAUGUGUUACACCGUUUCGAACAUGAUAUAGGCAUUAUGAAUUCCUUAUGAUGCCUUUUGAUUAACCAAUGCUCCAACAGCUUUUAUGGACUUGAUGAAUAGAGUUUUCUGACCUUUCAUUAAUUGAUUUGUCAUUGUUUUUAUCGAUGACAUUUUGAUGUACUCUAAAACCAUGGAGGAACAUGAGGAACAUUUAAAGGUGGUUUUUCAAACACUCUAAGAAGGGAAACUCUAUACGAAGUUCAAGAAGUGUGAGUUUUGGCUCAACCAAAACUCUUUACGAAGUUCAAGAAGUAUGAGUUUUCUGGGUCAUGUUGUUACUAAGAAGGGCAUAUUUGUUGAUUCAUCUAAGGUUAAGGUCAUUGUAAAUUGAACAAAACCAUUUAAUGUUAUUAUGAUUAGAAGCUUUCUGGGUUUGGGUGGCUGUUACUGGCGAUUCGUGAAUGGAUUCUCUAGUCUUACAACUCCAUUAUUAAAGUUGACUAGGAAGAACAUCAAGAUUGAAUGGAGUGACGAAUGCUAAAAGAGCUUCGAAGAAUUAAAGAAUAAAUUAGUUUCUAUUCCUAUUUUGACAAUUCCUUCUAAUGGUGGUGGCUAUGUCAUUUAUAGUGAUGCUUCUAGAAAGGGACUAGGAUACGUAUUAAUGCAGCAUGGUUAGGUAGUUUUGUAUUCAUCUUGACACUUAAAGAUUUAUGUGCUUAUUGCACUCACGACUCUAGUUAGUAGUUGUAGUCUUUACCUUAGCGAUAGAAGACAUUAUCUUUAUUGUGAAACUUGCGAAAUCUAUACAAAUCACAAGAGUUUGAAAUACUUCUUCACCCAUAAAGAAUUAAACUUGAGGCAAAAGGGAUGGUUAGAUAUGGUGAAAGAUUAUAAUUGUUUGAUUAAUUAUCAUCUUGGUAAGGCGAAUGUAGUGGCUAAUGCUCUUAGUAGAAAGUGAUCGGGUUACUCGGCAUGUAUGAUUACUAAUCAAGGUCACAUACUAGAGGAUUUGAAGAAAUAUUGAAGUUGUUUUACAUGGGCAAACUGAGGUUUUAUCUCAUUUGAAGGUUCAACCUACCUUGAUUGAUAGGAGAAGGCCACAUAUAGUGAGGAUCCACAAUUUAAAAAAAAAAAAAAGUUCGAGGAGUGAAGGCUAGACAUUUUGAGUCCAGACUUGAUAAGAAUGGUAUUUUGUUAUUUGGAUAGAGACUUUGUGUACCAAUAAAGGAUGAGUUGAAAAGAGAUAUUAUGCAAGAGGGCCAUGACUCAAGUUUUAAUGUUCAUCUCGGAAGCACUAAAAUGUGUCGAAACUUGAAGAAAAUUUUUUUUGGUGGAGGAAUAUGAAGGGUGAUAUUGCUUAUUAUGUUUUGAAAUGCUUGGUAUGUCAGCAAGUGAAGAUAGAGCAUUGAUAGGCUUGGCAAUUUAGCCUGACCCUAUUUUUGGCCCGACUGACCCGACCCUAAUUUUUAGGGCUUUGACCUGAAUUUUUGUGUUUCGGAUUAGGUUCGGGCCAAAAUUUUAAGGCCUGAUCAAAUUUCGGGUUAGGGUCGGGCUUAAAGCCGACCCGAACCUAUUUAAAAAAAAUGCUAACACAAGUUAACACACACAUACAUCACAACAUCACACACACAGACAACACAUAUCUCAUUUGCAUCACACACGCACACAACACAUAUGACAUAUCACACACGCACACUUCACUCUAAACCAUAAAUCACACACACCACAUACACUUACACAAAUUCACAAAAACCCUAAGUCAGCCACUCAGCCACCGUCCUAUCAGCCAACAUCGUGACCGUUCACCAAUCGCAAUCAGCUACACGACGCCACGAGGUGAACCAGCCACCCUUUGUCGUCGUCCUGCCGCGUCCGCCUGCCAGCCAAUGGCCAACGCACAUGUUCAACUACCAUGCACACAUUCUGCCGUCGGCAUUAGCUAUUUAGCUUUGGUAAUUUUAAUUUCAUAAAUAUUAAUUAAUGUUUUUCAUUUAAGCUUAUAAUUGAAUCUAUAAUUUAAUAAUUUUAGCUAAAUAUAUUCAUGUUAAUUAAUUAAUUAUGUAGUUGCUAUAAAUAUUAUAUUGUGGCUACAUAUAAGGCUAUAUACAAGGUUUUUUUAAUUAUUAUGUUAUGAUUGUAAAUUAACUUUAAUUAUAUCUUAAGUUUAUAAUUUCAUAAAUAUUAAUUAAUUUUUUUUCAUUUAAGCUUAUAAAUUUAUUUAUAAUUUUAGCUAAUUAUAUUCAUAAUGAUUAUGUAGUUACUAUAAAUAUUAUAUUUUAGCUAAAUAUAGCCUUAUAUAAGAUUGUAAGUAUUAAUUAUUAUGUUGUAAUUGUAAAUUAAUUUUAAUCAUAUUUUGAGUUUAUAAAUUAACUUAAAAUUUAUAAGUUCAAUCAUAUUUUAAGUCUAUAAAUUAAUUGCAACUUGUUACACAUUUAAUUUAGGUCAUUAUGUCAAAUUCACGUGAGGAUUCUCAUGUUGGCGAAGAGAAUAGAAAUGAUGGCCUUCCUCUUGAAGGGGUCCAGGAAGUAAAGAGGCAUUCUGUGGUGAUAAUGGGGUACAGCAAAGUAGUAAUUAAAAAAAGCGAGGUGUGGGAGAACCUUCUUAUGUUUGGUGACACUUCAUCAAGGUAACCAUUAAUGGUGAAUUGAAGGUGAAAUGUAAUCAUUGUCAAGCUAAGUUGGUAGCAUCUUGUCAUAAUGAAACCUCACAUUCGAAUAGACAUUUAAAAAUAUCAUGUAAGGCAAAGGGUGUUCCCUCAGUUCUUGAUAGCUUACAAAAUAACUCUUAGCGUGACGAGGAAAGAUGAUGGAACAAGUUGUAUUGAGACGAGAGAAUUUGAUCCAAUUGUUGCUCGACAAAAGAUAGCAACCUUGGUUGUAAAGCAUGAGCUACCACUUAAUUUUGUGGAAUAUGAGGCAUUUAGGGAUUUGAUGUCUUAUGUCAACCCUUUGGUGAAGAAUUUGAGUAGAAACAUUUUAAAGAGUGAGAUUUUUAAAUUGUAUCAAGCUGAAAAGGCAAAAGCAAUGGCUUUGUUGGAGAAUAAUGAUAGUAGGGUGGCAAUUACCACAAACAUGUGGACUGCGAGUAAUAAAAAGAAGGGGUACAUAGUUGAUACAAGACAUUUUUUGGACAAGUCUUGGCGAUUACAAAGUCGAAUUUUAAGGUACUUUUUUUAUUAAUUGAUAUUUAUUUUAAUUCAAUUUAAUUAAUUCUAAAAUUUAGAUUUUUGGUGAUGAAUAGGUUCAUAUAUUAGCAAAGUCGAUAUUAUGUUUACUUAUUUCUAGUUCAAUUUAAUUAAUUCUAAAAUUUAGUUUUUUUGGUAAUGAAUAGGUUCAUAUAUUUGCCGGCUCCACAUUCUGUUGAAUUUAUUUCUGAAGCAUUUUUUAAAUCUAUGUUGGAUUAAAAUUAGAUAGAAGGAUAUCGGUUGUAACUUUAGAUAAUUGCUCUACCAAUGAUGCUAUGGUUGAUAGGUUGAUGGAAUUGAUUCCAGUUGAUUCUAUGUUAAUGGGUAGGGAGUUUUUUCAUAUCAGGUGUAUGGCUCAUAUUUUAAACCUAAUUGUGAAGGAGGGGAUGAAAGUGAUUGAGGAGUGGAUUAAAAAGAUUAGAGAUAGUGUGGCUUAUUGGACGGGCACACCAAAGAGGGUAGAAACUUUUGAAAUGGUUGCGCGGCAAUUACAAGUUAAGUGUGAGAAAAUUUUGGUACUUGAUUGUGUAAUUAGAUGGAAUUCUACAUAUGUUAUGCUUGAUGUUGCUGUGAAAUAUAAAACAAUCUUUUCUAGACUGCAACAGCGCAACAAACACUACACCUCUUUGCCAACAGAUGAGGAAUGGGAGAUGGCUGAAAAGAUGUUGGAAUAUUUACUGCUGUUUUACUCUAUGACAAAGUUAUUUUCAGGUAUGCAAUAUCCCACACCUAAUCUUUUUUUUCCAAUGAUAUGUGAAAUGAAGAUUAAUUUGGAUGAAUGGGAACUUUCUGAUGUGCCUAUGGUUAGAUAAAUGGCUGGUCAAAUUAUUAUGAAAUUUGAUAAAUAUUGGGCCCAAAUUCAUGGGAUUUUGGUGAUGGCGGUUAUUCUUGAUCCGAUGUUUAAGAUGCAAUUGGUUAAUUAUUAUUUUCCACAACUUUAUGGUGAGGGUGCUACAAAUGAGAUUCAAAGGGUACGUAAUUUAAGUAACGAUUUGGUUAAGUUUUAUGAAGGUAAGAAUGGGAAUGUGAGUGAUAUGAUUGUUGGUAAAUCUUUUUUGGUCGAUGUUCAUUUUAAUUUUACUGUAGGAACUGGCUGUAAAUAUUUUGAUAUAAGUAAGUUUGAGGCAUUGGCAAGCCAAAAUAGUGAGACUAUGGUAUCGAAGUCUAACUUUAAGAGGUACUUAGAAGAGCUUUUAAUCAAAUCCACUAUGAACUUUGAUUUUCUAAAUUAGUGGAAGGUGACCAAGGCAAAUACUCUAUUUUGGCUCAAAUGGCCAAGGAUAUCUUAGUCGUUCCCGUGACAACCAUUGCCCCUGAAUCUGCGUUUAGCACUAGAGUUAGGGUCCUGACUCCACAUCAGAGUAGACUUCAUCCUAUGAUAUUGGAAGCGCUUAUGUGCACUCAACAUUGGCUAUGGGCAAACUCCAAAGGUAUGAAUACAAAUAAUGGACAAAAUAUUUAAAUAAUUGGUUUAGUAAUAAUUUUAUAAACUUAAAUUAUUUUCUCACUUUUUUUUUACAGGUAAAAUUCUCGAAAGCGAAAUUUUUAGUGGAGAGGAAUUUGUGGAUGAAGAUGAAAGUGGCCCGCAAGUGUUGAAGUAGUUCUUUUUAAAAAAAAAAAAUGUUUGGUUGUGGAAUUGAAUUAUGAGUUUUUAUUUGUAUAAGACAUGUUUUUUUUUAAUGUUGGGUUUUGGAACUAAAUUGUAUGUUUUUAUUUGUAUAAGACAUGAGUUUUUUCUUUUUGAUUUUUUUAUGUUGGUUUUCAAAUUGAAUUGUGUAUGGCUAAUAUGGUUGUGGAAUUACAUUGUGUGUUUUUCAUAUUGGAUUUUGGAAUUGAUUUGUGUGUGGCGUUGAAAUGGUUGUGGAAUUAAAUUGUGUUUGAAAUGGUUGAGAAAUUGCUGAAUUGGUUGAAAUGGUUGUGGGAAUUGAAUUGUGGGGUUAACUAUUUCGGUAGGGUCGAGUUGGGUCUAACCCAACCCUAACUAUAAAGUGUUUGGGUUUUUUUAGGGUCGGGUUUCAAAUUGUUUUUUAUCUGGUCGGGUUGGACUUGGCCAAGCCCGAACCCGAGCCCGACCCGAACUUUUGCCAUUCCUAAGCAUUAAAGACCUGCUGGGUAUAGCACAAAGUAGGCAGAAGAUUUAUGCUGAUCAAUUUAGACGUGAUCUAGAGUUCCAAGUUGAGGAUUAUGUUUUCUUGAAAGUAUCAUCUUGGAAAGGAGUUUUCCAUUUUAGGAAGAGAGGUAAACUUAGCCUUAGGUUUAUUAGGCCUCUUGAGAUUCUGAAGAGAAUCGGCACAAUGACAUAUUGAGUGGCUUUGCCAUCGAGCCUUUCAAGACUUCACGAUGUAUUUCAUGUGUCAAUGUUCAAAAAGUACAUGGCUGAUUCUUCUCAUAGCUUGGAUUACUUACCUAUCCAAAUCUCGAAUGAUAUGUCAUAUGAGGAGCAUCCAUUGGAGAUCCUGGACAGGAAGAAACAAGUUUUAAGGAGACAAAUAAUGCGUUUAGUGAAUGUUUACUGGGCGAAUCAUUCUAUAGAGGAAGCUACAUGAGAAUAAGAGGCAGAGAUUAUGGAGAACUACCAUCAACAUUUUGAGAAAUAAGGUAGAGUUUUAAAUUUCGAAGAAGAAAUUUCUUUUAAGGGGGGAGAAAUUGUAACAUCCAUUAUUUUUGUUUAUUAUUAUUAUUAUUAUUAUUAUUAUUAUUAUUAUUAUUAUUAUUAUUAUUAUUAUUAUUAUUAUUAUUAUUAUAUAUAUAUAUAUAUAUAUCUAUCUAUUUUAUAGAAUAUAGUAUUUUAGGCUGAGGAUUUUAAGAGUGUUUUAAUUUAUCUUUAUUUAUUUGUAUUUGCUUGAUUUACCAAUCUAUCAAAUACCUUAUUAAAAAAGGAAAUAAAUUCCUUAAUUGGUAAGGGUAUUAAAAGGCUUGGUUUUAUAAAAACAAAAACAAAAACUCCUCUUACUUGCUUUGUUUCUCAAAAUCCUAGAGGCUAAUAAAAAAGAAAAAAAAAAGAAUAACACACACAAGAAUAAACUUACGUUUUUUUAAAAAAAAAAGAGGAGAAGAUUUUGAUUGUAUUUUUCUUUUUCUAUAAAAGAAGUUAUUGAGUUUUGAUUCUUUUGAAGGUAGGUAAGAAUUUAUAAUCCCUUAAACUUGUUGUUUGAUUUUGAUUUUAUGUGAUUGAUUGAAUGAUUUUAUGUGUGUUAUAUUGAUAAAAUUAUGAAAUCAUAAUCAUAUAUUGAUUUAUGUUGUUAUUAAGUGAAAGUAGUGCUAUUAUGUUAUCCUGAAAAUUUCAAAUAGUAUAGAUUUAAUGUUAUACUACUUCCAUUUUCAAUAAGUUUCAUGCAUAAAACUCUACAAUUUAUUAAAGUAGACAUCUUUAUCUUUCUAUCUGUAUGUUUAUCGUUAAAAAACGCAUUGUAUAUUAAUUGUUUUGAUUUUUUGAAAUUGGAACACUAGUACUAGAAAAUUCUGAUUUUCAGCAGCAAUUCUCACUUCUAUAAUUUAGCGGAUAACUCAAAUGACCUCUGAAAAUUCUGAGAAUUUUUAUUAUUGUACGUAUAUAUGUUUAUUUCUGUAUAUUUAAAUUCAUAAUUUUUAGCUUUAUAUAAAAAUCAUUAAUAAUCAUAGAGUUGGGCUGCCGUAAUCCUGGAAAUUGCUUUCUAGAAUUGCGAGGGUUGAUAUUUAUGCAAGUUUGGGUUACUUUUUCAUCAGUAAAUGCCUUACAAAAUUUAAUUCUUAUUCUUUAACUCUAAUCAUCAAAUCUUAAAUCACUAUUUUGACUAUGUAUGACUAGUUAUGAAUUUUUAAAUCGGCAGUCCUCUGUUUUUUUUACCACUGGACAAUUUUGAUGUUUUUGCAAAAAAUCAGUUUUCAGAGAUGUUCAUGAACUCUAAUUAAUCUAGUUAACUUUUAUAUGAAAUGACAACAUGUUCACAGUAGUUUUUUUGGUAGUAUUUGUGAUUUUUCUGACAUAACUAUAGCUUGUUAGAAAUCAGCUAUAAGAUAGUCUACUGUAGUUUAGUGAAUUGAUUUGUUUAAAUAAGAGUAAAUUGUUUAAGGAUUUUUGGGUUUUCUCAUCAAGGUUAGAAUUGAAAAAAAAAAUAUUGAUAAGAAUCUUAUCUUGAUAAUUAUAGGUCAAGAGUGGGCUUGUGUGAUUGGUAUUAUUAUUGAUUACUUCGAAUCGAAGUAAGUAAAUUCAAGCAUAAUGUUUAUUAUGGUUAUAUAUGUAAAUAUCUAUGAAAAGGAUGAUGUUGUUAAUAUGGAUUGUCAUUUUAUAGUUUUGAAGUUAUUUUACUCUUCUACUUUAUAAUAAUAAAUUAUAUUUUGAUCAAAACUUUAUUUAAAAUUUUUUCUUAAAUUGUUUUAAAAAUGACUUUAAAAUAAUUGUCUUGCCAUAAAUUGUUUUCGUUAAAAAUAUUUGUAAAACUCUUCCAAUUCAAUGUCUUAUAAGAGCAUUUCAUCAAAAUAUUACUGAAUGAUUGAUAUUGAAAGACUGAAAACAAUAUUUAAGGUCUUGGCUCUUUGUCUGUAGUUAUCAUUAUUGAUAUAACUGAACAACUAGCUGUUUUGUGCGUAUGCAUUGACGAUUAUACAGGGUAACGUACUCUAAUUGAACUACUGACCGAGUCAUCAAGGUUACAGGUGAUUUAUUGAACUACUGAUUGGAUCGUCAGGGUCAUAGGUGACUUACUGAACUAUUGGUCAGGUUACUGGGAGUACAUGUGACGCUAUAUGACAUGAGUAAUUGAAAAAAUGAAAUGUUUUAUUGAUAAAUGAUUUCCUAAAUGAUUGUUUAUUUAAAAUGAUUAUUGCAUUAUGACUUAACUGAUUAUUUGUUUUACCAUAUAUAUGUAUUAGAUUAUAAAAUAUUUACUGGUUUCUAACUUAUGGUACUUCAUAGUGAUUAUUAUGUAUUUUAUCGUUAUUAGUAACAUUAUGCAUAAUCUUACUUAUCAAGUUGACAACUCAUCACUCGUCUCCAACAUUUUUCAAAUUAAUUUUAAAGAUGUGGACUUUUUGGUCUAGAGAAGAAGAUUUGUUAGCUGAGAAACUUUAGCGUUUUCUAGAUGAAUAAAUUGUUUUUACUUUGGUUAUUAUUUAGAGCUAAAUUUUUGUUUUGGAGGAUUAUUAUUAUAUUUAUAAUUUUAGAUACAAUUUUUCGAAUAUUACUAUUUUCUUUUAGAAAUAACAAUAAGAUUAAUGUUAUGAGGUUUCAUUCCAAAUUUCUCUAAAGACUCUUGGGUGAAUUUAGGGUGUUAUAGAUUCAAUCUAAACUUGUCUCCUUUAGCCACAGGAGAAUCACUUAGGUUUGCAAUCUUACAUGCAAUAUCACUUGAGAACUUUUUCGAUAUAACUCUUUUGUGAUAGUCCUAAAAUACCAUGGGAGGUCUUAGUGUAUCGGUAUGCCUAGUAAAAAAGAGGCGUCAUCAAGAUCUUUUAUCUCAAAAUUCUUAGCUAAAAAUCUCUUGGUGUCGUAUAGUAAGUCUAUAUCGUUGAUGGCAAGCAAAAUGUUAUCGAAAUAAAGAACAAGAAAAUGAAACUUACUCCUAAAGAACUUAUGAGUAUAUGCAAUUAUCAACCAAAUUCGUAUCAAAAUCGAAUGAGAUGAUCACUUGAUGAAACUUAAAAUAUCAUUGUCAAGAUGCUUGCUUAAGCCUACAGAUAGAUUUCUUAAGUUUGGAAUCUAUAUUCUUUGGGUCUUCUGACAUAAAUUUUUUUGCUUGCACAAUCUAGAUUAUCUCAUCAAUGUCACCAUUGAGAAAUAUUGUCUUUACAUUCAUCUGAUGUAACUCAAGAUUGAAAUAUGCCACUAAUGCCAUUAUGAUCUUAAAAGAGUCUUUUGAAGAAACUAGAGAGAAAAUCUCUUUGUAGUCUAUGUCUUCUUCAUAAUCAUCAUACACAUGUGAUUUAAUUUCUCCCAUCUUUAUAUUUUUCUUUUGUCAUUAAGAGUACUCUCAUCGGUAAGAGGUGAAGGAGAAUCAACCAUUAACGCAAGGUCGAGAUUCAUGAUUGCGAGAACUAUUAAGAAGUUCUCUUGCCAUGAAUUGAAAUUAAAGUCGUUUAGAAUAGGAAUGGAAUUGAUAUUGGCAUUAAUAGUAGCAAAAGUCAUAACUGAAUAGAGAACAACAAAUAAUUAAUGCAAGCUUAUAUAUCUUAAAAACAAAAAUAAAUUCAAUAAAGGUAAACCAUGUCUCAAGAUACCGGAACUCCAUUAAUAUUUCAUCUUUUGAAAAAAUAUUAACUUAUAAGUGAUAUCUUGUGCAGUAAUAAAACAUUGAUAGCAAGAAUAUGUCAAAUAAUAAAGUUUCCUUUGAGUUGAUUUAUUAUUCACAUGUAAAACAAAAUAAUCAUCAUGCGUCUACUACCACAGGUGCACAUACAAUUCUCUCAAAUAUGGACCUUAUUUUGAGCCGAACGAUAUUCAUAAAAAUGACAUGCACAUAGUUGUUUAUAUUUCAAAUUAAAUUAAUUUCCAUAAGAGAGGUCACUUUGGUGACAUAUUGCUUCAAUUAAUUCAUCUCAAUAUAUAUAUAUAAACAUAACAGGUGCACAUACAAUUCUCUCAAAUAUGGACCUUACUUUGAGCCGAACGAUAUUAACAAAAAUGACAUGCACAUAACUGUUUAUAUUUCAAAACAAAUUAAUUUCCAUAAGAGAGGCCACUUUGGUGACAUAUUGAUUCAAUUAAUUCAUCUCAAUAUAUAUAUAUAUAUAUAAACAUACCAAUAUUUAAAUUUAAAAUUGUAUUAAAAUUACCCUUUAAAAUGAAAAAAAAAUUAAGUUAAAAGCUGGUCUACAGUCUACUGUCAAUUACUGAAGGGUCAACCUUUAAUCGAAUCAGGCUAGAUCGGCCCAAACCAACCCGGAUCUUAAACUAGCCAAUUGCCUUAAUCGGGUCAAGGUUGGACUGGGUUGCGUCAACUAGACCUAGACCCUAAACCAUCCUAAUCCUAAUUUUUUUUUUUAAAUUUUCCUUCUUCUUGGUGAGGCAACCCUUUCACAAUCUAUUACAGCCAAUCUUGCCUUGCCGAUGGCCAAAAAGCGUCCCUCUUUUCUUUUUUUUCACCACCGUUUUUCCUCAAUCUACCGCAUCCUGUGACCAGGGACAUAGCAAGGAAUUUAAUUGAGCUGGGGCACAUUUAAAAUCGCAAUUAUAAUAUAAUUUAAUAAUACAUUUACUUAUUAUAAUUGUUCUAAUCGAGAAUUCCUCGACGGGAUUUCAUGUGUUGAAAAUGAUGUAUAAUAGUUUCAUUAUCGAUACAAUCAAAUACAUCUCUUUUAAUGUACACAACGGGGUUAUCAUUCAACAAUUCAUCUCCUAUUCGACUUCGUAGUCAAUUCUUCACAUAAUUCAUUGUUGAAAAAACUCUUUCAGCAGUGGCAGUGGCAAUUGGUAAAAGCAAUGCUAAUGUGACUAAUAAAUAGACUAAUGAAAACACCUCGUACUUGUUAGUCUCAACCAUUUUUUUGUGCAAGAUCACCAAUCCCAUUUAAUCCUGAAAAGUCAACACUAGACUGCAUAUCCAUUAUAUAAACAUCAAGUUGAGUAUCUAGUUCUAUGAGAUCAACUGGAGAAAAAUCUUUUGGAUAAAGUUGAGCAAAGCACAAUAACAUUUCUUUAUUGAAAGCUGCAAAUGAAUUUUUUGGACAUAAACAAGCCAAGCAAAGUAGUAAUUCAAUGUUUACCUUAUUAAAACGACUGUUUAACUCUUGAAGCUGCAUUUUCGAAAUAGUAUAAAAUAUGUCAAUGUGAUAAUGAUGCAUGUUUGUGAUCUCUUGAGGUCUGCGCCUUGAUCUUCUAGGAGUUAGAAACAUAUUUUCCAUGAUAGGAACACUAAUAAAAUGCUUCUUACUUAGAAACAUAUUUUCCAUGAUAGGAACAGUAAUAAAAUGCUUCUUACAAAAUGAAGAAACUUGACUAAGCAAAGAAUUCCAUCCAUGUUCCCUCAUCCUUUGUAGACAUAGUUUGCAAAUGCUGACUAAUUUCAUGGAAUUCACAGUAUCUUGAUCUUUCCUUUGUAAUGCUUGUGACAAUUCAUUUGCAAAACCAAGAAUAUUUUUCAUCAAGUAUAAAGUAAACACAAAAUCAAAUGUUUGCAUGAACUUCAAGGUUGAAUUUGCUUCAAAUCUUUCCUCAGAAUUUGAUGCAUCAUUUGUAAUAAUCUCAAGCACAUCAAUUAUGGAUGAGAACAUGGUAAUAAUGCUUAUUAAUGUACCGUGAUGUGAGCUACACCGUGUGUCGCCAGAACGCUUUAAAGUAAUCUCUUCAUUCAUACAUUGUCUACUUUUAAGCUCGCUCUUUUUAAGAGCUUCAAUAACUGUAAUACCAUGCUUUUCUCUAAGAAUAUCAAAUCGUUUAGAUGAGGUUGCAACAAUGUUAAUAACUUUAGCAACUAAACUGAAACAAAUCAUUAACUUCCUGGUGCUUUUUUACUACAGAAACAAGGGCCAACUAUAAUUGAUGGGCAAAACAAUGAAUGAAAUAAGAAGAUUUAUUCUCUUUCAGAAUGAGUAUUUUCAAACCAUUAAGUUCGCCUUCCACGUUACUAGCAUCAUCAUAUCCUUGCCCACACAACCUAGAGAUGCAUAAUCCAUGUCUAGCAAAUAGUGUGUUAUGUAAUGCUUUAAGAGAGCAACUUUGGUAUCAAUAACAUGUUCAAUACCAAUAGAACGCUCAAUCACAAGUCCUGUUUUAUCCAUGUAACACAACACAAUCAUAAUAGAAAAUAAAGAGUCACCAGUUUCUUUAAUGAUAGCUCAAGAAGUUUCAGAUGAACAAACAUUUACAAUCUAUUUUUGAAUAUUAAGAGAUAUCAUUUGGAGAUUUGUUAGAGCAUUGUUGAAAAUAACACUUUUAAUUUCCUCAUUGUGAUCAGUAAGAAAUUGUAGAAGCUUAAGAAAGUUUCCUCUAUUGUUUGAACUUUGAGAUUCAUUAUUAGCACGGAAUGCAAAGUCUUGUCUCAAAAGAAAUCAAAUGUAAUCAAUUACAGCUGUUAAACAAACGCGAUACUCCCUUUAAAUUUUUUUAGAAUGGUUAAAGAAAAAUGUAGCAGCAUGUGCCUUUUGAUUCGUCAAUGAUUCACAAUGACGCCUCACUAUGUUAUGAGCACUAUUUGCACCAUUAACAUCAAUGGCGGACCCAGAAACUAAAAUAAGGAGGGGCUUAGUUCAAAAAAUUUUAUUUAACUUAGAUUUUUUUAAUGUUCACUCGAAUACAUUUUAAGUCUUAUAAACUCAAAUUUUAUUACUUUUUUUUAAAUUCUAAAUAAUAAUAGUAAUAAAUUAUUAUUUUUAAAUGCGUGAAAAUAUCAUUUUUUGAAGUAGUAUUUUAAAUGCGUGAAAAUAUUAUUUUUCGAAGUAGUUUCCACAAAAUAUUUAAAAAAAUAAAAUAAUGUGGCUAAUGGGAUUUGAACCAAGGUUUCAAAAUCAUUAAAUAACACUCUUACCAUUGAACCACAAGUCUUUUAGUAUAUGAAAAAUGUGUCCAAAUUGUUUUAUCUAACUUUUUCAUAAGGGCAUUGGGGUACAUUUAAAAGAAAAUUUAAUGGUCCAGGGGGGCUGAAGCCCCUCCUGGGCCUUAAUUGGGUCCGCCCAUGAUUAACAUGUUGUCUCAACAUUUCUUUUUUCUUCUAAUUUCUAAACCCUUCACUAGUAAAGCAUGGACCCCCCUUUUAUUGCCAUCUUUUUAUAUGAAAAACAUAACAUUAAAGACACAAAACUGCAUCAUUUAUUAUGUUAUAUUCUAACCAAUCAGGAUAAUUAUCGAACCAACUCUGAACAAAUCGUCGUAAUUUUUCUCCUAACGACCUAAUAGGAAAAUCAUGACUCUAAGGUUGAAAAGGACCCAUUUGCAAGUAUGCUCUCCGAACUUCGUCUUGAAUAUUAGGAUCUAACUUUAAAAUUGACAUUCAUAAACCGAGAUCCCUUGGAAGAUCAUGCAAAUUAAGUCUAACUUUUUCUUUUGAACUACCACUCAUUUUUCCUAAUGAGGUUGCAAUUGUUGAAUUCUUUCUUAAAUAUUUAUCCAUGGCUUUCAAAGAAAUAUAUUUAUUGAAUAAGUAUGAUACUUAUUGUUCAAAGAAAAUUUUCAACAUAAAUAAAAAUAAUACACAUGAAAAUUACAUUUUACAGAACUAGAAAAAUAUUAUGGUUUUUUAUUACAAAUUUAGUGUACAGUGUAUUGAUCUUAAUAAAUUAACUUGUUCUUAAAUCUUUUAAUGAUGGCAAAAAUAUUCAUAUAUGGCAACACAAAAAUCAAACAUGAAUAAAAUUAGGGAUUUUAAAAUGGAAAAAACAACAAAAUAAUAAAAAAUUAGAAUUAAUAAACUUACAAUUUUAAAACAUUAGACCAUACAAAUGAAGAAAAGUGAGAAGACAUCCAUGCACACGGUGACACGCAAUGCUAAUCGCCUAAUCUUCUAUGGAGUCCACACUUUAUUCCACGAAAGAGACGAAAGAAAGAGUAAAGUUUAGAUUUCAUUUGUUUUCCUUGAUCUUUUAAUGGAUUUCAUUUGAUGAAGGUGGCUCUCUUCUUGUCUUUAUUAAUUUUCAUGAAAUUAUAAUAGCUAAUCAAACUAUUUCGAAUUAGACAUUUAAGUUAGGGAAAGCAUGAAAUUUUUUUAAAAUUACGUGUGGCACUUUCAGAAUUUCAUAAUUUACCUAGGGUAUUUUUAUAAGUAAUAAAUAAAAAAUAUUUUUUUAAGAUAACCAUAAAAAAAAAAAAUUUUAAGAGCCUGCUGGGGCACGGUCCUAUGCUAGCUACGCCCUUGUUGGUGGCCACAACUUGUUUACACAUAGCCCAACUGCCACACCUCUUGCCUUUUAUUUUUUUUUUUAUGCCUUACAUGGCAACCGUUAAGUAGCCUAUUUGCUUUUGCCACGAGAUUCAAUUGUAGUUAUUCCUUCUGAUGUAGCCAUGGCCUAGGCCAGCGACGUCGUUGCCAAUAGUAGAAUGGGCUGUCGUCGGCCUAAACGCACAAUGUCAAAAACUGAAUUUUUUGAAUCUUAAAAGAAAUAACCAAAUAUAUUGAAACCAAAUUUCAUAAUAUUUAUCUCAAUAUUAGAAGAUAGCCACACAUUUGUUCUUAAACUCAAUAAUAUGGGAAUUAUUAAAUUCAAGGAAACCAAAGAUUUAAUCAUUAAUAAAAAAUAAAUUAUAUUCUCAAUGAUUCAACAUGAAGAGGUUGUGAUACUACUUGUAAGAAUAAUAAUACUUUGGUAAAAACUAUCACCUUAAUCUAGGAAUAUUCAUGUCGUGCCACCAAAAAUUAAUAACAGAAUAUGUGGAAGCAUACCUAAAUUUAUAAUAUACAAUUGCUCUCUAAAGUUGUGUGAUCUGUCUUUCAAAUCAACACAUUCUCCUAGAGAAUCCUUUAAACUUCUCUUUGCACUCUCUCUGAUUAGGGGUGGGCAAACGGUUCGGUUCGGUUCUAUGAGCAAAAACCGAAUGGUUUAAAAAGUAUUGAACCAAUUGGUUUUUGUUCGUUUCAGUUUAAAACCGAACUGAACCGAAAAAUCGAUUAGUUCAGUUCAAUUUAAUUAUAAAAUAUUUAAAGUGAAAUAUAUGAAUUUAAAAUCAAAUUUCAAUCACAAAAAAUCAAAACCCUAAAUUGGAAAUAAAAAAUUCACGAUUGCAUCUAUACUGUUGCCCUUGCCUCUCUCCCUCGCGCCUCUCCCUCGCGUCUCUCUCUCUCCUCACGGCCCAGCUCCUCAGUGGCGGCACCACCCCUCGGCAGUAUCUUCCCCCUCUGCGUGUGCAUGGCGCAGUUCGGCUCAUCCCCUCUCGAUAUCUUCCUCGCGUCUCUCCCUCGCCUCACACCAUGGUCAGCGCCUAGCACAGCCCCUCCCCUCAAGCACAGUGACGUCGUCGUUAACCCUCGCACACUGUCAUCUUGGUUGCUACAGCUGCAGCCUGUGGGUGUCUUUUUUUCCUUUUAAAUUUUUGCCAUGGCCCGUCCGUUUUUUUGUUCUUAAUAACUUGAGUUUUUGGGUCCAUGGUAAUGGCUGCCUCAAAUCUCAAUCAAUUUCAAAUCAUUUUCGUUUUAUUUUAUUCGGUUUGGGUCUCAUAACAUCAGAGUACUCAUUGCAAGUUAGGAGCUGGCUAAGUUAAAGCAUCUGUAAGGUACAUAUGCUGCUUCAGCUAACCCCCAACCUUGCAUUUGCAUUGCUUUUUCUCUGUAAGUCAGGACACGUGUGCUAUUUGCUUUGGGUGUGUAAGUUACAGAUGUUGUAAUAUAGCAACAUCCUGCAAGUUAAUAUUUUAUGCAUGCUCUUAACUUUUCUUGUUAUUUUAAAAUCAUCAAAACGGAAAUGUUGUUACUGCAGUUAUAGAAGUUAAAAUAAACUUAUAAUUAAACAAAAAUCACUACUAGAAAAAUGGGCUUUACUGACACCAAUUUAGUGUCAGUAAUUACUUUUACUGACACUUGUUAAUUGUGUCAGUAAUGCUCAAGCCAGAACACACUGACACUAAUUUUUGGUGUCAGUGAUUUUUGCGUCAGUAUUUUGUGUCACUAUAGUAUCACCACAAUAGUGAUACUAUGAUGUUAGUAUCAGUUGAUACUAUUUCUAUGUCAGUAUUUUGUGUCACUAGAGAGUCACAAGGAUAGUGACUCAAUCGUGUUAGCAUUUAAUGAUACUAUUUACAUGUCACUGAUUUAUGUGACUACAGUAUCAGGAAUCCACUGACUUAGUAACAUAAAAAAUUCUUAUCGUCAUUUAAAUAAUUAGUGUCAGUAUUAACGGUGCUAUACCGGUUGUGUUUUAUUUUUUCUAAUCACAUUAUUCAUGUUUAUUUUACAAUUAAAAUAAACCCAAAAUAUAUUAAACAUACCAAAUCUUGUAAUGCAAUUCACAUAAUACACAUUUCAAAUACAUCAGUUAAAUUAAAAUAGUUCAAAUACAUCAUUGUUUGGGGGUAAAAAACAAGUUCAAGUACUAAAUUAAGCUUUGAACAAGUAGUAUACACGAUAAAGUACUAAAUUAAUUUUGGAAAAUUUAGCCAAGAAGAAAAAAUAGAAAACAAUGUCACUGAUUUUGGAGUCACUGAUUUUGGAGUCCGCAUAUGCCUUCAUUUUUUUUCCACCUACAAGUAUAUAAAAUCAAUUAGCACACCACAAAAAAUAAGUCACAUAUUUGUUUUAAGGAAAAAUAAUCAUAAAUUACUUGUAUGUUACCUCGCGAUUGUAGGCUAUAAUUAACUUGGCAACGUAUGUAGCCCACUGAUCACGAAGUCGCGAGAGGUCCUUGACAGUGUAUUCCUCAACUCCCUUGAACUUUAAUUUUAAAACAACAAGUUAUUCACCGAAAAUCCUUGACUAAACUACUUAAUUAUCAUUCAUUUAAAUAUAUUUGUGUGUUAACAAUUAAAGCCAACAAAUAAACUCCAACAAUGUUACUGUUUUAUCCAAAAUUAUAUAGGUAAAUACUGAACAUCCUGAUCAUGGUAAUUCCAAAAAAAAAAAAACAACUUGUGAACCCCAACAGCAACAAUAUUUGAUAGCCGAAGCAACUUGUGAACCCCAACAGUACGCAAUUUAAUACAAAUAUGGAUGUAGAUACAAAACCUUAAUUAGGGUGACAACUUAUCCUCAUCAAAGUAAAGUACAAGCAACGACACCAUAGCACAUCCCCACUAACAACUACUUUGCAAUCCAAACAAUUGUUUUGUGUUGGGAUAUGCAGUACAUUGUGUAUAUCCCAAAUCCUAAUUCAUGUCUAUAUGGAUAUUCAUAUAAUCUAUUCAACAGUAUGCAACAUAGUCACCAUUAUAAGUACCCUCACAGUUUAUAAAAUGCAUACAAUACGCAAUAAAAAGAUAACUGUAAAGAAGCACACAUGUGUUUGAGCUGAUUCAUUUCACAAUAAAUUAAAAAAAUAUGAUGCAGUAUUGUAAAAAUCAUUUUCAACACUUACAUUAUUUUUCAGAACGUUCACAUUUGUGAUGAUAUCUUGCAUGUAUUUCAUCACAUAGUAACCACAUUCAAAGCUGCUCGGCUGCCUCGGACACUAUAAGAUCAAAAUUACAUUAAUUUUUUUACUGUACGUUAACAAUAAUUAGUUAGGUUUGUCUGAUUUUUACCUUGACAGGUAUCCAUUGAACAUUGGCCUUUGUAUCAGAAUUUAAACUCUGAUGUAUUCGAAUCCCCCUACAAUUAAAAGACAUAGCUAACGUUAGUAAAUAAUUAGCAUAAGACAUAAAAAUAAAAUAACAUGAUCAAAGAUACAAAUAACAAACUUAACUGAUUGACAAUCUGCUUUAGCUCUUCAUCAGGACCACCUUCCAAAGGAUCAAGGUAAUAAGUUGUACGUCUCACCAUAUCAAUUGCCAAUAACACCCAGUGGGCACUAAACAAAGUAAAUAUUAUUCUCACACAUGAAUUACAAGUAAAAGUUUUUAACUUCGUGAUUAAUCUACAAAUUAAAUAAUAUAACUAGCAAAUGAAAAAGGUUAUACCCAGGGUUAUGCGGGAAUACGAUGACUUGUCCCAAUUCUGCCAAGCCUAACAAUUUUGAAAUGUAUUGAGUCCUGUCUUUGAAGCUGGCCCUUGGAUAUAACUUCUCAAAAAGCCCAAACUGAACUGGUUUAGUACUUCUAUUGCUCUCCAUCUCCUCAUACAGGUGUCUAAGAGGAAACAAAUAUAUAUAACGAAGUAAGUUUGAAUAUAAGAAACAAAAUAAUAGGGCCAAGCUUACUAAAACAUAAGUUAUGAUUUACCGUACUUGAUCCAUAUGUUAAUGAUGCAGUUUGAGACCUCUUUAAACUCGAUGAUUUCAGCACAAAUCAUUUUGUCCAAGUGUGUUUCCCAAAUUUCACCAAAGAUUGCUGUGUCAUGCCUAAUUCUGAUCAACCGAGGUAAAGAAUUCUCGAUGAACAUGGUAAACAUGUUCAUAUAUUCACUCCUGUCAUUCUUUCUUGAUCGUGCUGCUGCUCGUGUAUUCUUCACACGUACAUUGAGGUCUUUUGCUGCUGGUCUGAUGACUCGGGGUUCUUUUUUGGCUACUUCUGCUGGUCUGAUGACUCGGGGUUCUGUUUUGGCUACUUCUGCUGGUCUGAUGACUCUGGGUUCUUUUUUGGCUACUUCUGCUGGUCUGAUGACUAGUGGUUCUUUUUUGGGUACUUCUGCUGGUCUAAUGACUCUAGGUUCUUUUUUGGCUACUUCUGCUGGUCUGAUGACUGGUGGUUCUUUGUUGGGUACUUUGUCAUGACAAGAGAACUGCCUAUCUAGUACUUUAGGAGUUAGUCUAGGAGAUCUUCUGGGUGUGGGCUUUGAAGUAAUUUCACACUCUACUUUUUCGGGGGUUUGUUGAAGAGUUGCUUGGGAAAUUGUGGUGGGACUGUCCUUGAUUUUACUCUUCACAGAUUUUGGAGUCGACUUACCCGAUGGGAAAUCAGCCUAUGCAAUAAUCAAAAUACAUACCAUUAGUAGUAAUACAUGCAUAUACAAAUGGAAAUAAAAUAAUGACAUGUAACAGGCCAUAUACCUUUCUUUUUCUAAGAGUUUCAGGGGAUUGUUGAUCAUUGUCAAUCUGAACACCAGUGGAAGUUUUGGGCUUAGGAAAGUUAGAACUUCCAACUUCAGUAUUGCUGUACGCAUUUAACCUUGCAUUCAUGCGUUCUAAUUGAGCAGACAUGAAUUGGAAACUCUCUUGAUACAUCUUUCUUUCUCUUGCUAACUCAAUGGCAUCAGGGACAUGAAAGUACAUAGAUGGGGUGACGAAUUGCCCCACUCCUUACACCCUGCUUCCAUUUGGCUGCUUCUGAAGAGCUUCACCUAGAAUGUCAUGUGACCCUUGUGAUUGGAAUGUUCCUUGUUCAACCUGACUCUUCAGCUCAUUCUACAAAAAAAAAAUAUUGUAAAUCCGCAAUUACGAGUACAAGACAUCAGCUAAACUAAACUAAUAUCCUUCUUGAAUCUUUAAAAAUCAGCAAAUCCAUAUACAGUUCAAAUUGAAACUACAGAAAAUAUUACAAGACAACACCUCACACAAGUUUUAACUUUUUUAUAUGCGAAGAAAUAAGUUCUGAUGAAAUCUUACUGAGUUUCUGUCAAUUGUAAAUGUUGCCAUACAAUUAUUACAAAAAACAGUAUAUAUGUACGUAAAUAUCUACCCACACACACACAUAUUAUAAAGAAAAUUCAUAAGAAUUAAUUAUACAAGUGACUUACUAUUUUCUCAGCAAUUGGCGUGACAUCAGAAGCAUAUUUGCCAUCUUGGUCUGCUCAUGCCAUUAACCAAGCUUCACUGCGAUCAAUCUCCCGCUCAUAAACUCCACUCUCCUUUUUCUGUUACAAGGUGACAUAAAACAUAAAUAAUUGAUUCUAUUAUAUUAUACGUACUAGAUUACCUAUGUUACUGUAAUUACUCCAUAUUACCACACUUACUUUUCUAUACAACAUGCCACCAUAUCCUGUGCUACCCAAGCGAUGGUUGUAGACAUUCUUUGCUCUUUUGUCUUUUGCCUUCUUACUUUUUUCCUGCACAAACAGUUUAUAUGAAGAACAAAAAGUUACCACUGAUUAUUAGUAACUACCAACAAUUAAAUCAGGUAAUAUUAACAAACAACACACUUGAAAUUGUUCAGACAAAACUUUGUCAACAAAAAGUUUCCAAUCUUCUUUUUUAAUGCCUGGAUAUUCAAUAAGAGGCAACCUUAGUGACUUUCGAUUGUCCUUGUUAGGAAGAACGAAUUCAGUUGCCAGUUCACAUCGAAAGUUUCUUGAUGCAACCCUCAUCCACUUUAAUACUUGGCUUUUGCAUUUCAAGCUCAAUUUGAAUUUUUUCUGUAAACCAAUAACAUGGAUUAGAAACAACUUUAAACAAAUCUGGAAGUUAUAUAAAAUCUUUAAACAUACUAUGAAACAAGAAAACAAAACCUGAAAAUGAACCCACAAAGUUUCUUUCAUCUCCAGUGGCACACGCCUCCAAUCAUCAAGUAAAAUUGAAAUUGUUUCACGUACAAUGACUCCAAUGUAACUCCUAAGAUCAUUUCUUCCCUUUCCAACUGGAACACCAUAAGAAUUGUACUCAAUUGCAGCUUCAUGACUAACUUCUUGUUUUUACAAACCUUUUUUUUUUUUCUUCUCCUUGGUCUUCCGUCCAGCUCCGGAAGAGUGAACUCAACAUCAUCAGCCAUCUCCUACAAUCCUGAAAAUGAUUAAAAUAAAUUAGUAUAUCAUUUAGAUUAAUAAGUUAAUACAAGAGCAAUAGCAUAUAAUGAAAUAAAUAAAUCACUUACUGGAAAACUGUGAAAAUUGGUGCUGGAAACUAACUACAAUAAUGCAUUCACUGAUUUUCUAAAUCAAUAUCUAUUGGAAUAGCAUCACAAUCUUUUCUGUCAUAAAUUCCUUCAUCAUCUUUCUCAUCCAACUCACAUACUGGAAGUUUGUUAGAUAAUGGAGAAAAUACAUCCACGUCUUCACAUCUUUCCCCAUUUAACUUAUAAGCUUUGUCGGUCACUGAACAAACUAUUGAUUUAUUAUUAUCUAGCUGGUCCUUUACAUAAAAUACUUGCUUUGCAUGACAAGCCAGAAUAAAGCAAUCAGAUUUAUAGCCAAUCCGAUUUAAAUCAACUACAGUGAAACCUAAAUUGUCAGUGCAAACCCCUCUAUCAUCUACCCAAUCACACUUAAAAAGUGUUUUUUUAACUAUUAGAUAAUCAAGCUGCCAUAUCUCAUCAAUGACUCCAUAAAAUGUCAUGUCUCCAAAAUGAGGACUUUUAUCUUUUGAGCUUGAAAUCUGUAGAGUGUUAGCAACAACCCUAACACCACUAUUUUGGGUCACACAAUUACAGUCCCGGUCCCUCGUUGUAAAAUUGAAGCGAUUUAUCUCGUAGCCAGAGAAGGUCACCACGCUUGAGCGUGGUUUGUUUGCCAACCAGCACACUAUUUUGUCAAUCGGCACAUUAUUUGCUUUAUCAUGUGCCACCUAUAAAUUAAAUUAACAAGUACAGUAAUUAGUAACAUGUAGAAAAAUCUUGUUAAGUUUAUAUCCUAUAUUGUAUUUUAGUUAAGUAAUUCUAACCUUUGCUUGUAACCAACCAGAAAAUGUACGUAUGUGUUCAUUUUGCAACCACAUAUUUGUUUUUGCCUUAUAGGGGUUUCUUGAUGCCAAAUAAUGCAUAUGCUCCCUACAGUGAGACAUAUUAAGAUUUAAAAACUAGUAUAUUAAUCUAAUAAUACAAUAGUAAUAUUUUUUUGGAAAAAUUAACAACUUACUCGAUAUAUAUUUGGAUUUCAGGGGUGUUCAUUAGAACACACCGGUGUGCUUGUGCCAACAAAGGAUCAUCAACCACCUUUAUGUUUGCACCUCCCAAAGGCUUUUCGAUAGAUAAAUCAGUUGGACAACCAGUAGGCAGCCCAAUAACAUCACAAUUUGAGAGGUACUUAGCACAAAAUGCAAGUGCUUCUUCUGCAAUAUAACUUUCUACAAUACAACCCUCAAGGCGGUAGCGAUUACGAACAUAAUCCUUGAGAGUUUUCAUUUGUCUCUCAAAAGGAUACAUCCAUCGAAGAUAAACAUAACCUAACUUGUUCAACUAAGUGGAUUGUUAAAUGGAUCAUUAUGUCAAAAAAGCUAGGUGGGAAGUACUGCUGCAGUAAGCAUAAAGUGAUUACAAGUUCCUCUUGCAAUUGGUCAAGAGUAUUGGGAUCUACCACUUUACAGCACAAUGUAUUAAAAAAGAAGCACAUCCUGAUUAUGGCCCUUCUCACAUUUAUAGGCAAACAGUUUCGAAUGGCUAGUGGUAGAAAUUGUUGCAUCAAAGUAUGACAGUCAUGGGACUUAAGGCCUUGAAGCCGACAAUCAUCUAUUGAAACAAGGUUUUGGACAUUGGAAGAAUACCCAUUAGGGACUUUCACACUCAGCAAGGUUUCACAAAACUGUUUUUUUUCUUUUUUACUCAAAGUAUAAGGAGCCGGAGGUAGGACUUUGUGUUUUUUGUUUGAUUCAUCAGGAACUAGUUUUCCCCUGAUCUUCAAAGACUCAAGAUCUUUUCUAGCAUUAAUCCCAUCUUUUGUUUUGCCUGGUUGAUGAAGUAAUGUGCCAUAUAUGUUCUCGCACACAUUUUUUUUAAUGUGCAUCACAUCUAAUUGAUGGCGAACUAAUAAAUGCUUCCAAUAAUCUAACUAAAAAAAGAUUGACUUUUUUUUGUACAAUUUUUUAGUUAUGUUCUCAUCACCAUCACCGCCACCACCGCCAUCAUGUUUCCGCUUUUUUGCCUUCUUUUUCCCGAACUUAAUAUCUAUAUCUUCCACCAUAUUAAAGAUUUCCUCACCAGUCAAAGUUUUAGGAGGCUCAUUCCACUCUUGCUUCCCAUUAAAAACCUUUUUCAGUUUCUGAAAUAGGUGACCGAGUGGUAGAAAGCGGCGAUGGCCCAUAUAUGAUAUUUUCCUACUAUGUGGCAGCCAACAUGCACAAGUGUCUAUCCCACAAAUUGGGCAAGCAUAAUAGCCCUUAACAGUACAACCAGAGAGGUUUCCGUAUGCUGGAAAGUCACUGAUUGUCCACAUCAAGACAGCCCGUAAAUUAAAGGUUUCUUUUCUAUAAGAAUCAUAAACAUCAAUACCUACAUCACAUAGAGUUUUUAAGUCCUCAAUCAAAGGUGCUAGGUAUACAUCUAGAUCAUUUCCAGCUUGUUUAGGGUCAGAUAUCAAAAGUGACAACAUCAAAAACUUUCUCUUCAUACACAACCAUGGAGGAAGAUUAUAUGUUAUCAAUAUAACAGGCCAACAACUAUAAGUAGUGCUAAGUGUACUAUGUGGGUUAACCCCAUCAGUUGAGAGAGCUAACGGAGAUUUCUAGGUUCUUGUGCAAAUUUUGGCCAUUUAUUGUCAAUUAGUUGCCAGGCUGGUGAGUCUGCUGGGUGGCGAAGUUUGCCAUCUCUAAUUCUUUUAUUAGCAUGCCAUGUUAAAUUUUGAGCUGUUUGUGGUGAUUGAAACAAUCUUUUCAACCUAGGAAUAUGUGGAAAAUACCAUAAUACCUUUUUAGGAACCCCUUUCCUAAAUUUUGUUGAGCUAUCUUUUUUUAUUUGAUACCUAGAUGCUCCACAAUUUGGGCAUUCAGCAAGAUCAGCAAAUUCAUUCCUAUACAAAAUGCAGUCAUUUGGACAUGCAUGUAUUUUUUCAUACUCUAAGCCUAACACUUUCAUUGUUUUCUUAACCUCGUACAUUGACAUAGGUAGAGUAUUAUUAUUUGGUAAAAUAUCAGCAAGGACUUCUAACAAAGCAGAAAACCCUUUAUCGGACCACCCAUAGUUCCCUUUCACAUUGUAAAGUCUCAUUAAACUAGAUAACUUUGAAUGUUUUGCACCUGGGUACAAAGGCUUUUCAGCAUCUUCAAGCAUAUCCUUAAAAGAACUAGGAUCUCUAUCACAAUGCUCGUAAGCAUCUUCGACCAUGUCAAUUAUAUUAUUGUAAUCAUGACAUCUAAAUCUUUGACUAUGUGAAUGGUCUUCACAGUUUGUAAAUGUACAUUUAGAGUCAGUUUCACCAUGCCAAGUCCAAACAAUAUAUCUUGGGAGAAAACCUUUUUCAAAUAAAUGAUCCUUCACCUGUUGAGGAGUAUGAAACUCCAUAUUACAACAAAAGGUGCAAGGACAUCUAAUUGACAUUCGAUUUUCAGCAUUCAAAAUGGCAAAAUCUAAGAAAUCAGUAACUCCAGAACGAUACUCUACAUACAAUCUAUCACAAGUUAUCCAACUUCUCUCCAUUUCAAAUACUUUACAUGUUCACAUAUGUAAUGUCAGUUUAAGUUUAAUUAAAUUGCAUGAUUAAUUUAAAGUUCAAUGUUAUUAUGAUUAUAGUUGUAAUAAAAAACUUAUAAUUCUGGAAAAUCAUUAAUAGCCCCUAUAAAUCAUUAAUUAUAAUAAUAAUUUAGGCAAAAUCCUGAAAUUGAAACAAAAGAAGUUUUGAAACUUAAAUAGGAGAUUAAUAGGUAAGAUGGGUGCUAAUGGCUUUUUAAGUAGUCGAACUAAUUCAUAAGUCAAGUAACUAACAAAAGUUAAGAGUUCAAAUAAAUAAUGUCUUCAUACCACUUUGCAAGCCAUUUUUUAAGAUUCUAUAAAUCAUUUUUUAACUUCAAAUACAACAUGCAGAACUACUUUAAAACAAGCAUUUCUUUAUUGAAUCAAACACAAAUCAUCAACUUUAUACAAUCUCAAAAUAUUCACAACCACGAACUUAAUUAAUUCAUAUCAUAGUCAUUGUCUCUAUUACAAAUCGUCCAACCAAAACAGAAUAAAUAAACAAGUAGGAUUAUAUAACAAAAUUUUCCUCUCUUUACAUGAAACAGAGAUGUAAAUAGUUUGUAACCACUAAAUACACAGUCAUUCAGCCAAUAUAACACCCAAACAAUCAUCUCCUAAUCACAAAGGCAAAAGCUAAAAUGAAAUUUCAUAUUUUAGUACAUUCAAAAUCAACUAACUUAUUGCUCAAAGUUAAGAAACGGAGCUAACAGUUUAUUUUAGAAACUAAAAAAAAUGCACAUUCUUAGUUUUAAAUAACAAUGACAGUAAAUCACAUGCACAAAAGUUUGAAACUGACCUCAAAUGUGGCAAAAAAAACAGAGUCGCAGCAGCAAGUGUUUUGAGUUUAAGAAAUGCACCACUUAAAAUGCCUGUAUUUUUGGACUGCAUGUGAGUGAAGAUAUAGAAAAAUAAGAACAAAAAUUUCAAGUUACGAAUAAAUAAAAGAAAACAAAAAGAUUUGGAAAACAAAACCCACCAGGGUUGCACUACUGUUCAAUUUAUGAAUAUCUAAAACAACCCAAAAAUAAAAAUUCAAAAAUAUUAUUCAUAAGCCAAAUUAAAACAAACCCAAUAAUUAAAUUGCCCAAAAAAAAAAAAAUAUUCUGCCAUUACCAGCUGAUAACCUCCUCUACAGUUCUUUCUCUGGACUUGACUUGUCAGGGAGAAUGAGAUUACCUGAAUACCGAACCGAUGGUGCCACUUCACCCCUUGUCGAUGGCUUUUACUUGCUUGCCUAGUAUAGGCACUGGAUGGUUUAGUUGGAGAAAAACCCCUUCGAUAACAAGCGAUUAGGGUUUUGGUUUGUGUUUCAAUUUGGGGAAAAUGGAAAAAUGAAACAGAGUUUUAGCUUUUCAUUAUCUAUCUAAAUUAAUUGAAUUUAAUUUGUAAAUGGAUAGUGCAAAACAGAAGAGAUCGAGAAGAGAAAAACGAAAGCGAAAGUGAACAAUGAAAGCAAGAUAGAGACAGUCGAUAUAGUCUAGAUGGGGAAAAGUCAAGUGUGUUUUAUGUUGUUCUUAUUUAUAUUUUCAUUUUUUAAUAAUUUAAAUAUUAUUAUGACUUUGACUCAUCGAUAUUUGAUGGUCUGUGCUCCAAACAUUAAAGCUUUAAAUCUUAGAGCUCUCAGGUUCGAGUUGGAGCUAAAACAAAAUUUUUAUGAAUUUUUUUUUAUCACUGAUACUUUAGUGUUAGUGAUUUUUGAUAUUUAGUUUACUGACACCCUAGUAUCAUUAAUCUCUGAUUUCUAUUUGUCAAAAGCGGAAAAUGGUGCAUAUGUACAUAAGUACUGACACUUUUUGUAAAGUGUCAGUAACGAAGUGCAGUAAAGCCCAUUUUUCUAGUAGUGAAUGUUGAAUAUUUGCUAAGAUGAAUAUUGUGAUUAAACAGAAAUGUUGUUACCAAACCGAAUCGAACCAAACCGAACCGAAUUUAGGAACCGAACCAAAAUUUCGGUUCGGUUUGGUUCGGUUCCUAAAUUCGGUCCGAAUUCGGUUCAUCUUCUAAAAAACCAAUUGGUUUUGGUUUGGUUCGGUUCAGUUCAGGUCCCGAACCGAACUGAACCGACUAUUGCCCACCCCUAUCUCUGAUGAUGGGAUGUCAUUUGAGAAUAGAACGAUACAUAUGACUUGGGGAUCAUAACCAUUUAUAUAGGUAACUUUUCCUGUUGUCUUUAGGUAUUCCUAUUUCAGUCCAUCAUAAAAAUAAAAAUUACCCUUAAGUCUCUACACAUUAAAAGACCACACCCUAUUAGAUACAUUAAAAUUUAAUUUACUAAUAUCCUUAAUAAAUCAUUUUUAAUUGGGUUAACCUUAUAUUAUAAUCCACAAUACAUAAUUAUUCACAUAUAAGUCUAACAUUGGAUUAAGAAUCCAAUAAUACUGGAUUAAAUAUCUAACAAUAAGUUCUAUGAAUAUUGUGGUAUAACCUGUUAUGCUGUGGUCAUAGUAUUUCUAAUGGCUAUAUCAUGUAAAAUACUGAAUAGACCAUGUAAGAAUCUUAAAAAUUGCGUAUUUAUGCUUGGAAUCUUUUGAUGAUAUAUAACAGUGCUUAUAUUGGAUUAGUAUCUUUCUUUCUUGAAAUAGAAUUUUUGCAUACCUAUCUUGUUUUUAAUGAGAUUUCAA
RNAcentral lists this long non-coding RNA (122652 nucleotides) under Citrus maxima (pomelo). RNAcentral's name for it is "long non-coding RNA (CMAX_LNC002244)". Lineage: Eukaryota; Viridiplantae; Streptophyta; Magnoliopsida; Sapindales; Rutaceae. The record is from RNAcentral.